This 112808-nucleotide long non-coding RNA is filed under the name Citrus maxima (pomelo). Its description in RNAcentral is "long non-coding RNA (CMAX_LNC003928)". Lineage: Eukaryota; Viridiplantae; Streptophyta; Magnoliopsida; Sapindales; Rutaceae. The record is from RNAcentral.
CGGUAACAAACAAAGCAACCUUUCAUGGAGAGAAACUUUAGUCUCAGUAUGAUCACUGUGUCAUUAACCCACUUCCUGCUUCUUUGCUUGGUUGUUGCAGCAGCAGCAGCAGCAGCAAGCAACAAUAUUACCACAGACCAACAAGCUCUUCUUGCCCUGAAAGAUCAUAUAACUUAUGAUCCAACCAAACUUUUUGCCCAUAAUUGGACCUCGAAUACCUCUGUUUGCACCUGGAUUGGCCUCAGUUGUGAUGUCAAUAGCCAUAGAGUCACAGCCUUAGAUAUUUCUCAAUUCAAUAUACAAGGCACCAUCCCUCCUCAACUUGGAAACCUCUCUUCACUCACAACACUUAAUCUUAGUCGUAAUAAGCUUUCUGGAAGCAUUCCCCCCUCCAUCUACACCAUGCAUACGCUAAAAUUUCUAGACUUCACUGAUAACCUGCUCUCUGGUUCAGUGUCUUCCUCCGUCUUCAACAUGUCUUCAAUAUUAGACAUUCGUUUGACCAAUAACAGACUUUCUGGUGAGCUUCCGAAAAAUAUUUGCAACUAUCUUCCUUACUUGAAAGCCCUUUUUCUGGACAAAAACAAGUUGCAUGGCAAAAUUCCUUCAGCUUUAUCAAAUUGCAAACAACUGCAACAAUUGCAUUUGCAGUUCAAUAAUUUAUCCGGUGCAAUACCGAAAGAAAUCGGCAACUUGACUAUGCUCAAAUGGAUAGAUCUCGGCUACAACAAACUCCACGGUAUGUUUCAUAAUGCUAUCUAAAUAUUUUAAUUUAUCACUUGUUUAUUUUAAUUUCUCACUUGUUAUUUUUCUUGAAUACUUUAGAUAAGAUCUAGUAAGUGAGAUUUUUUGCAUCUAUGUUAAUUUACCAGGUGAGAUACCCCCCGAAAUCGCUAAUCUUCGAAAUCUAGAGGCUUUGGUGCUUGGAAUGAACAACCUAGUGGGUGUGUUACCAGCUACAAUCUUCAACAUGUCAACACUGAAGGUAGUUAUCCUCAUUAAUAACUCUCUCUUCGGAAGUCUCCCAUCAAGAAUAGACCUUUCACUUCCAACUAUUGAGCACCUUAACUUGGCACUUAAUAGAUUUUCUGGAACCAUUCCUAGUUCCAUCACCAAUGCUUCUAAGCUCACCUUUCUAGAGUUGGGAGGAAACACAUUUUCGGGCUUUAUUCCGAACACAAUUGGUAAUUUAAGAAACCUUGAGUGGCUCAGCUUGGGUAAUAACUACUUGACAUCUUCAACCUCAAAAUUGAGCUUUCUUUCCUCUUUGGCAAAUUGCAAGAAAUUAAGAGACAUAGGCUUAACAGGCAAUCCACUCGACGGUAUCCUUCCAAGUUCAAUAGGUAAUCUUUCCAUGUCUUUGAAAACACUUUACAUCGGCAAUUGCAGUAUUAGUGGCAACAUUCCUCAAUCAAUUGGCAAUUUAAGCAACUUAUUGGCCUUAGUAUUAGAAGGCAAUAAAUUGACCGGACCAAUCCCAACUACAUUCGGCCAACUGCAGAAACUCCAAGGCUUAUUUCUUACAUUCAAUAAGUUGGUAGGUUCAUUCCCAGAUGAGCUUUUCCAUCUAGCUAGGCUGGAUAAAUUGGUAUUAUUGGGAAAUAAGCUUUCAGGAUCUAUGCCUUCAUGCUUAAGUAACCUCACUUCUCUGAGAUCUCUCUACUUAGGGUCCAAUAGGUUUACUUCUGUUAUUCCCUCAACUUUCUGGAGCCUAAAAGACAUCUUGUUCUUUGACUUUUCAUCAAAUUUCUUGGUUGGUACUCUUUCUUUCGACAUAGGUAAUUUGAAGGUGCUUCUAGGAAUAAGUUUAUCAGAAAAUAACUUAUCGGGUGAUAUGCCAGCCACAAUUGGAGGGAUAAAAAAACCUUCAAAUUAUGGACCUAGCAUAUAAUAGAUUGGAAGGGCAAAUUCCUGAAUCAUUUGGUGACUUGACAAGUUUGGAGGUUUUGAAUUUGUCAAAUAAUAAAAUCUCUGGGUCUAUUCCAAAAUCCAUGGAGAAACUCUUUUACCUCCGAGAGUUAAAUCUCUCUUUCAAUGAACUAGAAGGUGAGAUUCCUAGUGGAGGAAUUUUUGCCAACUUCACAGCUGAGUCAUUUAUGGGAAAUGAGUUAUUGUGUGGUUUACCAAAUCUUCAAGUCCAACCAUGCAAAGUUAGCAAGCCGAGGACAGAACAUAAAUCAAGGAAAAAGAUACUUCUCAUUGUGAUUGUUUUGCCAUUGAGUAUUGCUCUAACAAUAGCAAUCACUCUACCUCUCAAAUCUAAGCUGAUCGAAUGUGGAAAAAGAAGCACAGUGUUGUCAAAUGAUAGUGUCUUGUCAUCACAAGCAACACUAAGAAGAUUUUCAUACUUAGAACUUUUACAAGCAACAGAUAAUUUUGCUGAAAACAACGUAAUUGGCAUAGGAGGUUUUGGUUCUGUUUACGGUGGAAGACUUGAAGAUGGGAUGAAGAUUGCAAUAAAAGUGUUUCACCAGCAAUGUGCAAGCGCAUUGAAGAGUUUUGAGGCUGAAUGUGAAGUGUUAAAAAAUAUUCGCCAUCGAAACCUUAUUAAAGUUAUCAGCAGUUAUUCAAACAAUGACUUCAAAGCAUUAGUUCUAGAAUACAUGUCCAACGGGAGCUUAGGGGACUGGCUGCAUUCUAGCAAUUAUGUGCUGAAUAUAUUUCAGAGGUUGAACAUAAUGAUUGAUGUUGCAUCAGCUUUAGAACAUCUCCACUUCGAUCAUUCGACUCCUAUUAUUCAUUGUGACUUAAAGCCUAGUAAUGUAUUGUUGGACGGAAAUAUGGUUGCUCAUUUGAGUGAUUUUGGCAUAGCAAAGCUUUUAAGUGGAGAGGAUGAGUCUAUGAUGCGAACAAAAACCCUUGCCACUAUAGGUUAUAUGGCACCAGGUUUGCUUCAAACAACUUUUUUUUUUUAGUUCAUUUUAAAUUUUGCAACUUAUUGAUUUUUACGAUCCUCACAUCAAAAUGUUAUUGAUUAUUUAUCUAAUUUUGAAAUUAAUUUGAUUCAUAGAGUACGGCAUAGAAGGAGAAGUAUCUACAAAAAGUGAUGUUUACAGCUAUGGGAUUAUGUUGAUGGAAACUUUUACCAAGAAAAAACCCACAGAUGAAAUUUUUGUUGGAGAAUUGAGCUUGAAGCGUUGGGUUAAUGACUUGCUUCCUACUUCAUUAGUGGAAGUUGUGGACAAAACUCUGCUAAGUGGAGAGGAAAAACAUUCUGCAGCAAAGGAGCAAUGUCUGUUGUCUAUCUUUAGUUUGGCUCUGGAGUGUACAAUGGAAUCACCGGAAAAGAGGAUUAAUGCAAAAGAUAUUGUUACAAGAUUACUCAAGAUAAGAGACACAUUGAGUAAAAGGAUAGGAAAUUUAAGUUAAUUUCGUUUGCUUUCAUUGAUAGUUAAUUCGAAUUCAUGUAAUAAGUCUAAGAAUCUUAUAUCUUCAAAUUCGCAUUUUAAAAUGCACAAAUGUUUGUGUAUACAUAAUUAGUAAUCGAUUCUCAAGCUUUGGACAUUUAAAAGCACUGCUAAAAGACAAAAUUUUAAUUCACUAUUUUUUUGUCUUUUAAUUUUCUUUAAGUUUUAAUGAUUCCGCAUUUUAAAAUCCUGUGGAACGUGCAUGUAAAAUUCUUUUAUCUUUUAGAGGAAAAUGGGCAAGAGAAGAAGAUUUGGCAAAGGAAUUGCAACCGCAUUUGGAGCUAGUUUUAAUUUUGUCUUUUAAUUCUUUUACACUUGGCUUUUGUUAUUGAUGUUAACUUCGAUGUGUGUGCGUGUGCGACUGAAUUCAACUUACAUGCUAUUGAUGCAGCCACCAAAAAGGGGUGGUCCAUCAUCAAUCAACAAGGUUUAUUAUUAUUAAUUUCCAUAUUGAUUUUCUUAAUUAUAAAUAAUACUAAUGCUAUUUCAUAGUUAUAAAUAUAUUAGAAUUAAUCGAAAUCAUUUUUUAGUGUGGCAUGGCUAAAACUACCUUUUUUUUAUUAUAAGUAAUUACUACUUUCACAUUAAGAAAAAUACUCCUAUUUUUAAGGAAAAGUCAAGUACCUGUAGUUGUGAAGACUCGAGCUCACUCCCUUAUGAUAAAUCUUCAUAUUAAUUACGUAAAUAUCCUCUAAAAUUUUAAAUUAGCUAUUCAAAAUUUGAUGUUAUACGGGUAUUUCAUUUAUUUGAGUAGGGGUUAGGGGUCAAUUGGAUACAAAUUCAAAAUUAUCCUUACUUGAGAAGGUGAUAAAAAUUGGGGAUUUAGUUUGGAUGUCAUUAGCUACAAAUAUUAAACUCAUACAUUUAAUUCAAAAUUAGAGGGCUGAUAUAUGCGCAUCAUCGUCCACGUUAUAGUGACACUGCGUCACCAUUCCACAACCUCUCCAAUGAAAAAUUGACAUGCUUCUUGUGCGCAUCUAAUCAGAAUCUUGAAAAUUAAUCACAAAAUUGUACUUUUAUUAUAAAAAGAAUAAAGAAACUCCAAGAAAAAAAAAAGACUUACAUAAAUAGAUUGAAAAAUCUAGAUUUCAAGUUGUCUAUAUUAGCUUGAUAUUUUUAUUAAUAGUCAUCCUCCCAAAAAAAUUCCAUCAAAAUAUAUUUUAAUUUUAUGUUAAUUCAUAAACUUGAAAAAAUCAUUUUAGAAUUAAUUAAAACAUAAUUUAUUGUUGCUCAAAAAAGGUAGAACUUAGUUAUCAGAAAAAAGUGUCUAAAAUAUAUGUUAAAAAAAAAUCAUGGUUGGUUGGACUGAUUGAAUUUUUUUUUCUUUUUUAAGAAUUAAGACAAUUGGAUGGAUUGAGUAAUAAUAAUACAUAUUUAUUUGGCAAAUGGCAGGGAGGCUUUCGUCUGAUGCAGAUUGAUUAGAGAGAAAAUAUAACAAUUUUAAGCUCGUCAGAUUCGAAGCUGCUUACCUGUCGUGUGGGGAUCACUUCCGUGUCUUAUUUUUCUAGAAAAAUCUGGACCAUUGGAUUUACCAUUAGUCAAUAGAGAAAUGUUGAUCUUGAUUCUUGAUCAAGAUCGAAGUUUGAUUCUAACUAACACGAUAUCAGAUUGCGAAGCAAGCAAAUUGAAAGUCACUUGUUCUAUGGAAGAAACACAAGUUCUAAUAAAACAUUCUCAUAGUAAAGUGAAUUACCAUCCAACGAUCCAACUCAUGUUUUCAAAUUGUAAAUUGCAAAUCGUGUGUUUGCUCCAUUACAGAGUUUCUUCAAUCUGAAAUAGCGAAUCAUUUGUGUUCUAGAUUAAUCGUGGGUCUAUAUCCAAAUCUAAAAAUUGACUAACUUGAUUUCUAUUAAAUUCUUAAUCCUAACAAGAAAAAUUGAAGAUUAAAAACGACUAAUUUGGUACCAUACCACUAUUGUAACAUAGGUAGAUCCUCUAUUAAUUGGAGUAAAGAUUGAAUUAUCUCAUUUAUUAAGGUUUAUCAAAAUCUUGUGUCAAAAUCUAUUAAUGAUAUAGGUUCAAGGAUGAAAAAGUCACUGCAUUACUUUUGAGUUCCCAAAUAGAUGAAUGGAUGUUAUUUUUAGAUUCCGGAGAGUCGAAAAUAUUAAGAUAGGUGCUAAAUCGAAUUAAGUUGUAGAUACGAUAGAAAUGGAUUUGGAGAGAUUGGAAUCCUAGGUAAUCCGGUGCACGUUGUCGUGUUAAAUUCUCGUUGACUUCACGUUGACUGAAGCAUUAUUGGAAGAAACAAGUUUAUUGAUGUGAGGCCUUUGAGGUUGUAAGUGUUAAAUAUGAGAAGAAUACCCACACACCCAUUAUCCUAUUACUCUUAUAUCACAUGAAGAGAAUUCAACAUUUGAUUCACACGGAAAAAAUUUGUGAGGAUUGUGAGGGUUGAUGGAAUAUAAUUUAGAUACAAAGUGUUUUACCAGUGCGAUGCUUCGCAAGUGUUCUUGAAUCAAUAUAAACUCACGUUAUUUUCAUAGUGAUUGUUUCAUGUGCACGUGGAUAUAAUCACAUGUCGAGAUUUUUUUCCUUAAAUUAUGGUCUUAUUUAGUAUUAAGGUGUUAUAUCUUUUAAGGUACAAUUAUUGUUGGAAAAAAGUUGCAUCUAUCAAAUAAAAUUAGUACUAUGUGCUAAAUAUAAUUGUUAAAUAAUAAUUUUGACAAAAUUAGUGAAGUUAUAUAGAUUUUUUUUCAUCAUACAAGCAUAAAAUCAAAUCAACUUAACUUCUAAGUUAUAUAUCGGCUACUUAGGGAUGGCAAUGGAUUGGAUCUGACCCAAGAUCCACGUGAUCCAAAUCUAAUCGGAUCGGAUUUGGGUCAGUUUAAAAUGAAUUUGGAUCGGAUUUGGAUAUUGAUGUGCGGAUCUAAGACGGAUCUGGAGCAGGUCUGGAUCUAUCUUAGUAUCUAAAUCCAUAUCCAUAUCCACCCAUCUUUUAAUUUAAUUUUAUUUUAAAAGUUUCUUAACAAUUGUGGAAUUAUAAUGAUAAUGAAUUUUAUUCAUAGCAUAUUAGUGGUAUUUACCAUGCAUUUAAACUCUUUAAAAUUAAAGGUUAGUUUUGUAAAUUUAAAGACUAGCCAGGCCCAAAGCAUGUACAUGCAAUAUUCAAAUUGCAAGCCAAGUAAUACAACCUGGCAAUUUAUUUUAUUAUAUUGGCCAAAUAAUUUUUAAGGAAUAUAGGUAUUCAUAUAUUUUGUCAAAUAUGGUCAUAAUAAAAAUAAUAAAGGACUGAAUAUAAAUCAUAUUUUAUUUAUAUGUCAUUAUCUAAUAUUAUAAGAAUGAGGGUGGGUGUGUUGUAGAUAUUAGAAUGAUGAAUGAGACAAUAGAAUAUUAGAUUGAUCUUACUCCUGCAAUUACUUUUAAAGGAUAUUUUAUUAUCUUAUUUGUUGUUUUGGUGUAAAAGUAUAAGUUACAAUAUUUAUUAUAUUUUUGAGAAAAAUUAUAUAAUUUAUUUGUUAUCAAUACAUUUUAACCUUCAAUUUUCAUUCUAAAAAAUUAUUACUUUUUAAUUGAUGAGUUUUAGAAUUCAUGACAGAUCUAGAGCAGAUUUGGAUUUUAAUUUUUUUUUUCAGAUUUGGAGCAGAUAUAAAUAUUUAUUUCUUUUAUGGAUAUGGAUAUGGAGCGAAAAAUAUAGAUUCAUGAUGGAUCUGGAGCAGAUACGGAUCUUGAUUUUUAUUAUGGAUUUGGAUCUGGAGCAGAGUAGAUCCAACCCAUAUCUGCCCCAUUGCCAUCCCUACGGCUACUGUUAAUCAUAUGUUUUAGUUCUGUAACUUUUAAGUUAUAGUUACCCAAUCUCAAUUCUAAACCAGACCUAUAAAGAUCAAAGAUUUCCUCAUUAAAUUAUAUGUCUUGUGAUUGCUUAUUUAAUUUAUAUUUUUUUUUAUUUAUCUUUAUUAAUUAUAAUCAUCUUUUUAUAAAUUAAAAUUGAAGGAAGUUGAUUGAUGUUGUUGACACACGCACACACGCACACACUCACAAAGAUAUAUUGGAAGUGCUUACGUCGACUCGAAGUUGUUGGGAAUUAAUGCAUGUAUUGAUUUAUUGGGAGUGUUUAAAUGAUUUUUUGAUUUACUUGAUUUAUUGAUUGAAUAUUGUUUGAUUGCUUCAUAUCCAUUCUAGAAAGUUUAUUUCUUUGUGAAAUUUCAACGAAAUAUGUUUUUUUUUUUAAAUAAGGGUGUUCUAAAUAAUUUAAAAAUAUAUAUGGACUAAUUAGAAUUAAUUAUUAGGUAAUUAACUCAAUCUGUAUAGGGUGAAACAACAUUUAUCCUAAUUAUAUCAUGAUAAAUACUUUUCCUAUUAGAAUUAGGAAAUCAUAGGUUUAUUGAAUUGUUUUUUUUUUUCCUUUGCGGAAACGGAUUAGAGAAUUAGAAAACAAUCAUGUUGAUGUCAAAAUCUGAUCUAGUCGGUUAGCGACUUAAUAUCAUAUUACUGCACCAACAUUAAAUUUAUUGGGUGGAGAAUCGACUGGUCAAUUGUCAAGAUGUCCUGCAAUCACUAGCGAUUAACCUACGAAUACCUAAAAUCACAGAAGACGGUAAGAGGCACCGGAAGUUUUUUCGGCGUGAACCUUCCGACGCUCAAGUCAGUUUAUAGGUUUACCAUAAUAAAAAUAAAUAAUUUCUAUUUAAAAAAAAAUAGAGUUCAAAAGCUCAAAAAUAAAACCCAAUCCCAAUAUGAAAAUGAAUUUUUUUUUUUUUUUUUCUAGCUUGGCCGAAUCCUUCUGCCUCCUAAAGAAACAUAACAGAGAAGCAGGUAGCCAUGUUCCCUAGGUAACGCCCCACUCCCCUCUUUUAUUCCUCCCCCUCUCUUCCGUUUCCUUCUUUUGCUCACUAUCCUUCAUAAUUUUUUAUGCUUGUCUUCCCAAAAUAGCCUUUUAAUACACAAGUAAAUGUCUAGGCUUUGGUGAGGAUAGUUUGGUCAUUGCAUUUUACAAGUAAGAUGAGUGGUGGAGAAAAAUGAGGAGUGCACAUAUAACGCUUCAGCAAAUCCCACCAGCAAUUCCAUUUUCUUAAUUAAUUAAUCUCUUCAGCAAAUCCCACCAACUCUUCAGCAAAUCCUAAUGAUAUUAUUAUCAGGUUUAAAACAGUACACAAAUAGUGAAAAGCUAACUAGUCUGUAGAGUAAUUUGCUAAUUGCUAUCUCCUCUCUCCGCGCGCUGAAUAAUUUGUUGCAUGCAAACUUUUUAUUUUAUGCAAAUCGUACGUACUGUAACAUUGGAAUUGAUGUAAAAGCAAAAAUACAAGAAUAUUUAUGUCAAUAAAAAUAGUUUUUUUGGCCUUUUUAAAUAAACACAACGCGAUAUUGCUCUGCUCUACAUUUUUGCUAUCUCUUUAUUCUUCUUUUUUUUUUUGGGCUUCUUAAAGCCUCAAACUUUGAUAACCAAAACUUCAUCGACCUAUGAAAAAAUCUGCAGAUUAGUUUUUAUUAUCGGAAUAAUCAUUUGAGAAUACUAAAACAAAAUAUAAAUAAGAAAAUAGGAGGUUAAAUUAGAGGGGGGAAAAAAGGUAUGUUGGAUAGAUUACUAUAGUUUAAGAAAAAAAAAUCCAAUUGGGAAUUUUUUUCUUUAAUUUUUGUUUUACUUGAUUGAGAUUUCUCCUUGGUCCUUACAGUUUUAAGUUUGGAUGCCGUAGGGUUAGUAAUUUAGUACUUCCUUUGCAAGCUGAGUGCAAGAAUGAAAAUCUUUAAAGAAAUAAAAAAAAAAAAAAAAAGCAUACCAAUAGGUAAUUAUAAAUAACCAUACAUAAACAUAAACAAAAUGAGGUAAUUAUUAAUAUUAUUUUUUGUUUUAUUUCUUACUUGUCUAUUUUAUUUGCUGCUUGAUAACCCGUAAAUACUAAUCUAGUACUGCUAAUUUCAGACACAAAAUUUUUAACUCUAGGCUGCAGUUUUACUCAAAAUGAUGACCACUGGCUUCGCACCAUUUAACCGGCAUACAUUUCUACAAAUUGAACAAGGCUAUUGAUUUUCAUUAUUAUUUUUUAUUUUUUUAUAAAUUACUAUUUUAAUUUUCACUUUUCAUUGGGUUGUUUAACGGAUUAGUGAAGUUGGUGGUCGUGAUGCACUCACAAGGUACAAUUUUAUUUUAUAAUUUCAAAUUUGUAUUUUAAAAUGCAGGUACAUUAUGUAUACAUAAUUAUUGAUUUUCGUAUGUGGGUGUUUUGAAAUAUUGCUAAAAGACCAAACUUUAAUAAACUAUUUUUCAUCUUUUUUUUUUCCUAAAGUUUAAGUGAUAUCCGCAUUUUAAAUUCAUGUGGAACAAAAGCUAAUGUAUGCACAAAAUCCUUUUAUUUUUUCCGAGAAAAAUGGUUAAGAGAAGAAGAUUUUUCUCUUGAAAAAGAAAAACUAAUACGAUGCAAGCAUAGGAAAGAGGUCAGUGUUUUGGAUUAGAAUUUAGUAUUGAGCUGAAUUUUAUACUAAACUCUUUUAUAGUACUGCGAUUAAUAAACUCAUGAUUUGCUUUUGCUUUUACCUCAAGUGAAAGAAAGAGGAAACCUUUUGUUUUUUGUUUGAUUCUUGACUAUAGGUGUUACCUAUAUAGAGAGUUGAGGUAGCUGCCUUAAGUGAUGGUGAUAAAAAGAUUAAGCAGCGCACACAAUCUUACUGUCGUCCAGACCAUCCAGCUGUGAUGACUCUUGUUUUUUGGUUACAUUAGCUUUAGUGGAACGGAGGGCCAAUUUAACAAAGACUAGAUUUGGUGGCUUACUAUAAUGCUUAUUCUCAGGGAAUCUAAUGUUAUAAGAUGAUUUAAUGAUCUUCUAUGAUUGUGAGUAGUAUAGUAUAAUUGAAAAGAGCUUGGGCUCCUAUGAUGAAUAUUUAAUAGUAACACAGUACUGUUAUUGAAAAAAACACAGUUACAAUAAACUCUUCAUUUAUUCAUUGUGGAGAUUGAAUGGCAAACAGAGAAUAAAAUGAAGCAGAGGAAUCUCAUUGCCAGUAAAAUUGACCCUCUUUAAUGUUAUAUGGCACAGGUGUGUGUACAGCAAGAUCAAGUUACUUGCAGUUUUUAUUGUAAAAUAUAUAGGUUAUGACCAUGAUCAUUGUAGUUAGGUUUUGAUGAUUUUAGAUGCUUUUUUUAUUUUUUUUAAAAUUGUGACACCUUUGAUUUAUGGUAGUUUUGCAGAAGAAAAAAAUAUAUAUAAAAAUUAGGAGGGAUGAGUUAACUAACGAUUGCAAUCAUUACAGUAAUGUUGAUGAGUGAUACAUCAUUUGAAAUUUACUUGUCAGUUGCUGAAAUGAUGAAAAAAAACAGUAAACAAUAGCAGUAAUAUUUUUUGGCAAUAUAAAAAAUUAUUGCGGUUAUUUUUUGGCAAUAUAAAAAAAUUUUAGCAAAUAAAAAUUAAUUUUUUUCCGAUUAACUAAAAAAUUAAUUAAAAACUUCUGCGAUGGCAUUUUUUAUGGGUGCAUAUACCCUCCCUUUAAAAGAAAAAAUAAUAAUUAAUACUUAAUAUAGUAUUAAAUACGAAAAUAUCAAUAUUUGACUACACAAAUUUAAUAGUCUUGUGUAAUUAGUGAGUGAGAGAUUGGGUGUAUUGGAGUUUUGGGUAGUGAGCCAAAAUAUUACAAUACUUGUAAUCUUUAUUUCACUAGUGAAAUAUUUUCCUUCUGUUUUUGCCCGUGGACGUAGGCUAAAAGCCGAACCACGUAAUUUCUGGUGUCCUCUAUUGUACUUGUUCUUUAUUUGCUUCCAAUUUUAUUUUAACUGCGCGUCUGCUUCACCCAUCAAUUUCCUAACAAAUCUUGAUCCCAUGCACACGCAAAUAUGUUAAUUUCUAUACGCUUCACUUACCUGUAGAAUCAAUUAUCUAAAAUGCAAGUUUGUGGCCACAAAAAAAGCCAAAGAAAGAAGAUAAUAACAAUUGACUUGUAUAUUAUACUCAUACAAUCCACUCGACAUAAUGAUAUCAUUUUAAUAAGGCAAUGGCUGAUGAUCUCCAUUGAAAAACUAAUUCAAUUUUUUUGCUUCAUUUAACUUUUUGGUUGUUGAAAAUAACCUUAAUUAUCAAAUAAUUGGAGAAAGAGUAAAGAACAUUUAACAAAUUUAUGUGCAAAAAAAAAAAAAAAGAAGUUGAAGAGAAAGGGUGCUUGCAGAAGUGGGUGUCAAAGAAACAUCGGUCCAUAAGAAUUAUUGCGGUUAUUUUUUGGCAAUAUAAAAUAUUUAUAGCAAGUAAAAAUUAAAUUUUUUCCGAUUUACUAAAAAAUUAACUAAAAACUUCUGCCACAACAUUUUUUAUGGGUACAUAUACCCUCCCUUUAAAAAAAAAAUAAUAAUUAAUGCUUAAUAUAGUAUUAAAUACCAAAAUAUCAAUAUUUGGCUACUCAAAUUUAUAUCAUUAGGUCCUUAAAAUUAAAAAUUGAUGAUACAAAAGGAAAUAUAUAUAAAUUUCAUUCUCAUGGAAAGGAUUCUCUUAUAAUCUUAUAAUAUUUGAGUUUUGAAAUUUUUUGAAGCAAAUGUAAUUUUAUUUGUGUACAAUCAAUAUUUACUUAUUUAUUAUAUUUUAAUUUGUUAACUAUCAAUCAUUUAAGUAUAUUUAGUCAGAAAAAUUAUAUCAAGAGAGAAUCCUAAUUUCACGCAAACACAAAUACAAGAUAAAUAUGUCAAUUUCUAUACUAUCCACUUUCCUGUAGAAUCAAUUAUCUAAAAUGCAAGUUUGUGGCUACCGAAAACUCGCCAAAGAAAGAAGAUAAUAACAAUUGAGCAUUGAUAGCAAAACUAAUGCAUCAUUUUCUUCUUGACUUGAUGAGAUGGUGCCAUUACAAAAAAAAAAGUACCUUAAUUGACGGGCACUGAGUGAUGUGAAUACUACCAGCCAGUUCAUCUCUUCCAGUCUUGCUUAAUCACAAUCACAAACACCACGAGAUUGACAUUUGCAUUAUAUAUAUCUUCAGCAAUCGAAACACCUUGCAUUACCAAAUUAACCGGUAACAAACAAAGCAAUCUUUCAUGGAGAGAAACUUUAGUCUCAGUAUGAUCACUUUGUCAUUAACCCACUACCUGCUUCUUUGCUUGGUUGUUGCAGCAGCAGCAGCCGCAAGCAACAAUAUUACCACAGACCAACAAGCUCUUCUUGCCCUGAAAGAUCAUAUAACUUAUGAUCCAACCAACCUUUUUGCCCAUAAUUGGACCUCGAAUACCUCUGUUUGUACCUGGAUUGGCAUCACUUGUGAUGUCAAUAGCCAUAGAGUCACAGCCUUAGAUAUUUCUCAAUUCAAUCUACAAGGCACCAUCCCUCCUCAACUUGGAAACCUUUCUUCACUUACAACGCUUAAUCUUAGUCAUAACAAGCUUUCUGGAGACGUUCCAUCCUCCAUCUACACCAUGCAUUCGCUAAAAUUUCUUGACUUCACUGAUAACCAGCUCUCUGGUUCAGUGUCUUCCUUCGUCUUCAACAUGUCUUCAAUAUUAGAAAUUCUUUUGACCAAUAACAGAUUUUCUGGUGAGCUUCCGAAAAAUAUUUGCAACUAUCUUCCUUAUUUGAAAGCCCUUUUCUUAAACAAAAACAUGUUUCAUGGCAAAAUUCCUUCUGCUUUAUCAAAGUGCAAACAACUGCAAAAAUUAAAUUUGCAGUUCAAUAAUUUAUCCGGUGCAAUACCGAAAGAAAUCGGCAACUUGACUAUGCUCAAAGGCAUAUAUCUCGAAUACAACAAACUCCACGGUAUGUUCAUAAUACUAUGUAAAUGUUUUAAUUUCUCAAUUGUUAUUUUCUUGAAUACUUUAGACAAGAUCUUGUAAGGGAGAUAUUUUUGGAUCUGUGUUAAUUUGCCAGGUGAGAUACCCCACGAAAUCGCUAAUCUUCGAAAUCUAGAGGAUUUAUUGCUUGGAAUGAACAACCUAGUUGGUGUGUUACCAGCUCCAAUCUUCAACAUGUCAACACUGAAAUUAUUUGACCUCAUAAAUAACUCUCUCUCCGGAAGUCUUCCAUCAAGAAUAGACCUUUCACUUCCAACUGUUGAGUUUUUUGGCUUGGCACUUAAUAGAUUUUCUGGAACCAUUCCUAGUUCCAUCACCAAUGCUUCUAAGCUCACCGUUCUAGCGUUGGGAGAGAACACAUUUUCGGGCUUCAUUCCAAACACAAUUGGUAAUUUAAGAAACCUUGAGUGGCUCAGCUUGGAGAAUAAUUACUUGAAAUCUUCAACCUCAAAAUUGAGCUUUCUUUCCUCUUUGGCAAAUUGCAAGAAAUUAAGAUUCUUAAACUUAGCAGGCAAUCCACUUGACGGCUUCCUUCCAAGUUCAAUAGGUAAUCUUUCUGUGUCUUUGGAAACACUUUUCAUCGGCAAUUGCAGUAUUAGUGGCAACAUUCCUCAAGCAAUUAGCAAUUUAAGCAACUUGUUGACCUUAGUAUUAGAAGGCAAUAAAUUGACUGGACCAAUUCCAAUUACAUUUGGCCGACUACAGAAACUCCAAGGCUUAGAUCUUGCAUUCAAUAAGUUGGUAGGUUCAUUCCCAGAUGAGCUUUGCCAUCUAGCAAGGCUGGAUCAAUUGGUCUUAUUUGGCAAUAAGCUUUCAGGAUCUAUACCUUCAUGCCUAAGUAAUCUCACUUCUCUAAGAUCUCUCUACUUAGGGUCCAAUAGGUUAACUUCUGUUAUUCCCUCAACUUUCUGGAGCCUAAAAUACAUCUUGUUCUUUGACUUUUCAUCAAAUUUCUUGGUUGGUACUCUUUCUUUCGACAUAGGUAAUUUGAAGGUGCUUCUAGGAAUAAAUUUAUCAGAAAAUAACUUAUCGGGUGAUAUGCCAGCCACAAUUGGAGGACUGAAAGAUCUUCAAUUUAUGGACCUAGCAUUUAAUAGAUUGGAAGGCCCAAUUCCUGAAUCAUUUGGUGACUUGACAAGUUUGGAGGUUUUGAAUUUGUCAAAAAAUAAAAUCUCUGGGUCUAUUCCAACAUCCAUGGAGAAACUCAUUUACCUUCGAGAGUUAAAUCUCUCUUUCAAUAAACUUGAAGGUGAGAUUCCUAGUGGAGGAAUUUUUACCAACUUCACAGCUGAGUCAUUUAUGGGAAAUGAGUUAUUGUGUGGUUUACCAAAUCUUCAAGUCCAACCAUGCAAACUUAGCAAGCCUAGGACAGAACAUAAAUCAAGGAAAAAGAUACUUCUCAUUGUGAUUGUUUUGCCAUUGAGUAUUGCUCUAACGAUAGCAAUCACUCUAGCUCUCAAAUCUAAGCUGAUCGAAUGUAGAAAAAGAGGCACAGAGUUAUCAAAUGAUAGUAUCUUGUCAUCAGAAGCAACACUAAGAAGAUUUUUAUACUUAGAACUUUUACAAGCAACAGAUAAUUUUGCUGAAAACAACAUAAUUGGCAGAGGAGGUUUUGGUUCCGUUUAUGGAGCAAGACUUGAAGAUGGGAUGAAGAUUGCAAUAAAAGUGUUUCACCAGCAAUGUGCAAGCGCAUUGAAGAGUUUUGAGGCUGAAUGUGAAGUGUUAAAAAAUAUUCACCAUCGAAACCUUAUCAAAGUUAUCAGCAGUUGCUCGAACGAUGACUUCAAAGCAUUAGUCCUAGAAUACAUGUCCAACGGGAGCUUGGAGGAUUGGCUGCAUUCUAGCAAUUAUGUGCUGAAUAUAUUUCAGAGGUUGAACAUAAUGAUUGACGUUGCAUCAGCUUUAGAAUAUCUCCACUUCGAUCAUUCAACUGCUAUUAUUCAUUGUGACUUAAAGCCUAGUAAUGUAUUGUUGGACGAAAAUAUGGUUGCUCAUUUGAGUGAUUUUGGCAUAGCAAAGCUUUUAAGUGGAGAGGAUGAGUCUACGAUACGAACAAAAACCCUUGCCACUCUAGGUUAUAUGGCACCAGGUUUGCUUCAAACAACUUUCGUUUUUAGUUCAUUUUAAAUUUUCCAACUUAUUGAUUUUUACAAUCCUCACAUCAAAAUGUUAUUGAUUAUUUAUCUAAUUGUGAAAUUAAUUUGAUUCAUAGAGUAUGGCAUAGGAGGAGAAGUAUCUACAAAAAGUGAUGUUUAUAGCUAUGGGAUUAUGUUGAUGGAAACUUUUACCAAGAAAAAACCCACAGAUGAAAUUUUUGUUGGAGAAUUGAGCUUAAAGCGUUGGGUUAAUGACUUGCUUCCUAAUUCAUUAGUGGAAGUUGUGGACAAAACUCUGCUAAGUGGAGAGGAAAAACAUUCUGCAGCAAAGGAGCAAUGUCUGUUGUCUAUCUUUAGUUUGGCUCUGGAGUGUACAAUGGAAUCACCGGAAAAGAGGAUUAAUGCAAAAGAUAUUGUUACCGGAUUACUCAAGAUAAGAGACACAUUGAGUAAAAGGAUAGGAAAUUUAAGUUAAUUUCGUUUGCUUUCAUUGAUAGUUAAUUCGAAUUCAUGUAAUAAGUGUAAGAACCUUAUAUCUUUUACUUUGAUUUUUUUUUUCUUGAGAAAACUGUUGUAGUCAUCUUGUUUCCAUGGGCGGAGUUGAUUUAGUUCUUCCAAGAAAUGCUACUGAUGACAUUUGUUUUAUACUUUCUCUUUUUUUUUGCAUGUGUUUAGGUAGAAUAGUGGUUUGGUUGCACUCUAAGAAGUCUAACUACACUAAAAGAAUAUGAUUUAAUUUAUUAAACAAAACUUCAAGUUCAAGAAAAGUAUCUCAUUGCCCCCAAUGCUUUGGACACCUAUUGGUAGGUUUGUACGUGUCCUCAACUUUUUUUUGGAGCACAAAAUUCGAGUCCCAUAAAGGCUCAAACAUUCCUUUCCUUCAUCCCGAGGGCGCCUUCUGUCCUCUGUUUUCUGUUUCCACACACAAAUAGCAAAAAGAAAUUAGAAUGACAACUGGGACAUAUAUAAGAGUGAAAUAAUUAAAAAAAUUAUGCUUUUUUGUCUGUCGUGUUAAAAUCGUAAGUACCGAAGUACUGUGAAAGAGAUUAAUUUACAGAAACUGAAGCCAAGGGUUCAAAAAAAACUAUUGAUGUAGGUAGAAUGCAAUGUCAUAUUCAUACAGAGAUGAAGUAUAUUAUUUACGGCUGGUAAGGACUAAGAAUUGAUGUAGCUAGAAUGCAAAGAUGAUGAGGUAUGUUGUACACUAUUGUUUUUAUUCUACAAUCAAUCUUGACCCCUGAUGCUUGGCUCUCAAUCUUGUCCAUUGAUCUUCUCUGAUUUUGGAGACUUGAAGACCUUUCAGUAUCAUGCCUUGUUGUUGGUGUCUUCCGUGCUGUAGAAUUCAUAUACAAGUUUUCCCGCCGACUUGCCAAGUAUUUGUUCAUUGAUGCAUUUUAUCAAACAGUUGGCCUGCUCAGAGCAAACAGCUCCUGUUUUAACUCCCCCUCCGUAGCUCAACUAUCUGGGAAGACAAUUAAUUGAGCUUGUUUCACAAUUAUAUGAAUCUGAAAGUUCAAUUAUAUCCUCUAAUGGAGAGAACUCAUUGCCUCAGUAUGAUCACUGUGUCAUCAACCCACUCCCCGCUUCUUUGCUUGGUUGUUGCAGCAAGCAACAAUUUUACCACAGAUCAACAAUAGUUUGUCCAUUUGUUCCAGUGAGGUCGUCAUUAAAAAUUAAUUUUCAUAUUGAUUUUCUUAAUUAUAAAUAAUACUAAUGAUAUUUCAUAGUUAUAAAUAUAUUAGAAUUAAUCGAAAUCAUUUUUUAGUGCGGCAUGGCUAAAACUACCUUUUUUUUUUUUAAGUAAUUACUACUUCAAGGAAAAUACUCCUAUUUUCAAGGAAAAGUCAAGUACCCGUAGUUGUGAAGACUCGAGCUCACCCUCUUAUGAUAAAUCUUCUUAUCAAUUACAUAAAUAUCCUCUAAAUUUUUAGUUAACUAUUCAAAAUUCGAUGUUAUACGGGUAUUUCAUUUAUUUGAGUAGGGGUUCGGGGUCAAUUGGAUACAAAUUCAAAAUUAUCCUUACUUGAGAAGGUGAUAAAAAUUGGGGAUUUAGUUUGGAUGCAUUAGCUACAAAUAUUAAACUCAUACAUCUAAUUCAAAAUUAGAGGGCUGAUAUAUGUGCAUCCUCGUGCACAUUAUAGUGACACGUGUCACCAUCCUACAACCUAUCCAAUGAAAAAUUGACAUGCAUCUUGUGCGCUUCUGAUCAAAAUCCUGAAAAUUAAUCACAAAGUUAUACUUUUAUUAUAAAAAGAAUAAAGAAACUCCAAAAAAAAAAAAAGACUUACAUAUAUAAAUAGUUUGAAUAAUCUAGAUUCCAAGUUGUCUAUAUUAGCUUGAUCUUUUUAUAAAUAGUCAUCUUCGAAAAAAAAUUCCACCAACAUAUAUUUUAAUUUUAUGUUAAUUAAUAAAUAGAAAAAAAUCAUUUUAGAAUUAAUUAAAACAUUAUUUAUUGUUGCCAAAAAAAGGAAGAAUUUAGUGAUAAGAAAAAAGUGUCUCAAAUAUACGUUAAAAAAAUUAAUCAUGGUGGGUUCGAUUGAUUGAAUUUUUUUUUUUAAUCUUUUUCUUUUUUAAGAAUUAAGACAAUUGGAUUGAUUGAGUAAUAAUAAAAUAUAUUUAUUUGGCAAAUGGCAGGUAGGCUUUCUUCUGAUGCAGAUUGAUUAUAGAGAAUAUACAACAAUUUUAAGCUCGUCAGAUUCGGAACCUGCUUAUCUGUCGUGUGGGGAUCACUUCCGUGUCUUAUUUUUCUAGAAAAAUCUGGACCAUUAGGCAGUAGAGAAAUGUUGAUCUUGAUUCCUGAUCAGGAUCGAAGUUUGAUUCUAUCUAACAUGAUAUCAGAUUGCGAAGCAGGCUAGUAUGUAAAUUUCUUUUAUCUUUUAGAGGAAAAUGGGCAAGAGAAGAAGAUUUGGCAAAGGAAUUGCAACCGCAUUUCUAGUAUGUUCUGAUCAGAGAAGCGAAAUCCAUCACGGUCUUUUAUCUUUACCCAUGUGGAGAAAUCAAGGGAUUUCGAAUCAGAGAAGCGAUGGGAUUUAGUUCUGAUCUGGGAUUUUGGAGACUUAGGGAGUGUGCGGUCUUGGACCAACAUUGAUGACGAUGACGCUUCAAAUUCAAUGACUUGAAAGCAGAAAACAAAGACAGACAAAAACAGACAUGCACUACAGCAAGAAAGAUUGACUGAAUCUUGGGUUACUGUGUCUGUGGUCUCAAAUGAAACACAAGUGGGAAGCCUUGCUGCAGUUUCAGCUUUGGUUUGUGUUUGAAGUUUUGAAUGUAAAAAGAGAACCGAGCAUGUGGUUGCCGACAAGAAUGGCCUGAGGUUUCUUAAGCUUCAUUGUAAUGUUACAACUGCUACUAAUUUGGUGGGGUGGGAGGUCGCUGGGUCGCUGUCAGUCCAUUUGCUUCUUUUCUUUCUUUUUGUUAUUUGUUGAGUUUUUUCCAUUUCUACUUUUCUUAAUAUAUAAAUUAUCAUUUUUUUAACAUGCAAAAUAUAUAGAACAUUUUAUGAGUUUAUAAAUAAAAAUUAUAUUAUGGGAUAAUAGUGAAUGAGUUCCUGGUGCUUUGGAGUUCUUUAAAUUAAGGGCCCAGUUUGUCCAUUUGUUUUAGUUAGGUCCUUCUUAAAAAUUGAUUUUCUUAAUUAUAACUAAUACUAAUGAUAUUUCAUAGUUAUAAAUAUAUUAGAAUUAAUCCAAAAUAUUUUUUAGCGUGGCAUGGCUAAAACUACCUUUUUCUAUAAGUAAUCACUACUUUUGCAUUAAGGAAAAUAUUCCUAUUUAAAAAAAAAUUGAAUAUCUAUAGUUGUGAGGACUCGAACUCACUCGCUUAUGAUAAAUCUUUGUUGAUGCGAGAUUCUGGUUACCCACUCGACCACGUCCAGGAUCUCUGCUCAAUCAACUAACUCGACCACGAUCAGGAUCUCUCCUCGUAUGCUUUCUUCUUCAAAAAUUCCUGCGUACACAGAAACAAGUCAGAGCACGCCAGUUGUUUUCCCGGCGUAAACCCUCCGACGCUCAAGUCAGAUAUGAAGGUUUUGUGUUCCUGGGAACGUUAGCCACUAGUCUUAAGCUUUGCUUUUGGUAUCGAUUGCUGAAUGCUCUCUUUAUCUCAAUUUCCGUAUUAAAAGUUAACCCUUUUACCUUCGUUGGCUGCCUUUUUAUAGGCUCCACCUGAGUCCAGAUCCUCCCCUCCAUUCACGCCCGUUACCUUCCCACCUCUCGAAAGUGGAUGCUUUGUUUCCGUAAUCGUGGGUGAUUGCAUGGCCUUCGUGCCUCGAUUCUCAGGCUGGAGAGUACGUCUCGCCAACUGUCGUUGACUGGGUCUCCUCGCCUCAAACCUUAGCAGGAAUGGCUUUAUGCUUCUAACAAGAGACCGGCUUCGCGGAUGGCGUAUUCAUGGACGAGCAGAUAUUCCUGCUUAUGUUCCAAUGCUACCAGACCUCUGCUCAUCACGGCUGGUCUCGUCGAAGUACAUCCCCCAAACACCGGUCCCCCAGUUUCUGGUGUUGGGUAACAUAGUGAGCCAACAGUAGAAACUCGACAGUUCUUGCUCGCGCGAGAUAGGAAAAGACUGCCAAGAGUCGUGUCGCAUUUAAUGGCGGAUGAGGUGAUGUGGCAGAAAUCUACCCCUCCAUUUGAAUUUCAAACCGACGGUUACGAAACCCUAGGGAUUUGUGCCGUUAAAUGCCGGCAGCCCAAGAGUUUGUUCUUCAUUAGGAAAACCCAAAACCCCCAAAAGAGGAACUCGUCUUUUACUCCGUUUCUGUCUCUCCUGCGAAUGAGUCCUUCCUCUCCCUCGGCGUAAAAGCUUCCUUCCUUGUCUCUCUCCGACUAAGUCACAACUUCAGGUACUAUUUCUUUUUUCCUCGGUCGUGGAUAGUUGUAAACAAUUUCUUUUACAUUUUGCUUGGGUAGUGUUUGGUGGUGCAGUUCUGGUUAUAGUUUAGGGAAUGUCGAAAGGUAAGGAGAAAGUCAUUGAGAUUGAUGACGACGAGUUAGACUUCUUGCCUAGUCUGCUCGCCGAUUCUGCUUUCGACACCGGGAUCCCCUUAGAACCCGUUAGACCUAAUGUUGCGACUAGUGCUAGGAGGAUGUCCCCCCAAGUAACCUCCUCAACUGGAAAUAGCGACGACGAGGGUUCUUCUGGUUCGGAAGACACUUUGAGUGAAGAUCAGGGAAAUGAUUCUGGUGAGAUGUCCUCACCAGGAACAUCGUGACCAGAUAGGAGGGGCAUAGUAGGAGGUAGAGCUCUAUCACAGAAUUACACUAUUGAUUUUAUGACGUGCACGACCACAGUAGAUGAGCUAGUUAGUCUCCGGGCUAGAUACGGCAUCCCUGAUGAAAUUUCCCUUAGGAUCCCAGGAAAAAAAGAUACCCCCAGCCGGCCUCCUAGGGGAUAUAUUACUCUGUUUCUAGAGAGUUUUAAACUUGGGCUAAGGUACCCCAUACAACCCUACUUUGCCCGAAUACUCAAUGGGUUGAAUUUAGCUCCUGGUCAACUGAACCCCAAUGGGUGGUGAGUACUUUCUGGUCUGUUCAUAUUGUGAGACAGAUGUUGCCAAAGCGAGCCAACAAUUGACGAGGUGAAGCACCUGUACCAGCUAAAGAGCAGCCCCAAAGAUGUCGGCUGGUAUUACUUCCAGUCUAGUACCAAGACCAGGAAACCCAUAACCGAUCUUCCAACUGGUGGUGGUAGGACUUGGAAGAAAAAAUUCUUUUUUGCUGGGGGUCCCUGGGGUCAAGUUGCACAGAUUGACGAGAAGGAUUACCGUGUCCCACCUCAUUUCGUGGUCCCAGGUUGCCUACUCGCUUAAGAUGUUUUGUCUCCAUAGUCGUUCUCAUUUUGCUGAUUUGUUUCUAAUCCAAAAUCUGUUCGCAUUGCAGGUUCCUGGGGUGUGCACUACCAGCUUAAACCCGAGCCGCUCAAGCGAGUCGAAGCUGUACUGGCCAAUUUCUACACGAACCGAGAGCUGCUAACUACUUUCAAUUUGGUCGAAUCUCGUUUGGUGUCUACCGGCCAUAAAAUGGAGGAUGCUGUGAUCGGGGCUCUGACUCGGAAACGUCCCCAACCUCAUGCUACCAAGCAGGACCAGAAUAAAUAUGCUCCCACUGCGAAGCGGGUGAACAUUGUGCAGCAGGUUCCUCCCUUGAAGACCCUACCACCUCCUUCUGCCAAAGUCGGAGAAACUAGCGGAGCAGCCACCGAUCCCGCUUCCUCUUAUCCUCCAGUCGGGCCGAGAUCUCGUUUAUCUGACAAUCGAGCAAAACAUUUGGUCCCCUAUAUCAACGAGUUCUCUAAACUCGUGAGCAAGAGGGACCUAGAGGACUUUGACGACAGCACCUUGGGUGAGCUGGUGGGGGCCAUGCAAUAUAGCGCUUUCCAUCUCGACUGUAUGGCCACUUACUACAAGGCCAAGGUUGGUCGUUAUGACCGAAAGAUGAAGGAGGACAUUCAAUCGGCCAUGAUCAAAGCUGAUGCUGCCGAGAAGAAAGCAGGGGACUUGAAUCUCGAGAAUUUGAAGUUGAUAGAGCGAGAAUCUCUUGCUCAAGCAAAAGCCAUUACUCUCGAGGAUGAGCUAGCUAAGGUCAAGGAGGAUCUGCAAAGACAGCAGGCUAUGUACGAGGCCCAGCUCGAAUCUCUUCGGGAUUCCCACAAGGUUUAGGUCGAGAACCUGGAGAAGGAAGCUGAUAAUCAAUAUGACCAGGGGCUUCAGCACUCCUAUCAUUGCAUCAUGGCCGUCCUUGGGAAGCAGCAUCCGGAUAUGAAAAUGGACGAGCUUGCUACUGGUGUUGCUCAGCAUAUGGAUGAGGAGGCAGCAAAAGAGGACGCCGAAGAGGUGGAGCCAACUGAGGUUGAGGAGGGAAACACUCCUCCUCGUGCAAUCCUUGCUGAUGUCGCUGAGGCGAGUACCCCCCGAAUGCAACUGGUGAUACCCCCUGCCCCUGAGGUGGACCAGCCAACCAAGGCUGCUCGGCUUACUGACCCGCCGUCCUCUUGAUUGUAUUUUGUGUUGUAGUUGCUUUCUUGAAACGCUAUAUGUUAUGACUAGCAGUUUUUUCUGGUUGUUGAUUAAUAAAUAAGAAUGUUCUCAUUUGCUUUCUCGUCGUAAAUCAUUUUAAGUUUGAGGGUCUACUUGCCUUCUCUUGUACUAGCAGUUCUUGACACGCUUGGCUUCUGGUCUCGCCAUAGAACAUGCUUGUGACUUGGUGAGCCUUUGCAUGCCUUAGAAAUUUUUUCAAUGUUGGGAUUCUGCUCGCCUUCGCUUGGUCGAGCAGAUCUUGGCACGCUUGGCUUUUGGUCUCGCCAUAAAAACAGGCUUUGAAAAUUGGUGAGCCUUUGCAUGCCUUAGAAAUUUUUUCAAUGCUUGGGAUUUUGCUCGCCGUCGCUUGGUCGAGCAGAUCCUGGCACGCUUAGCUUUUGGUCUCGCCAUAAAAUAGGCUUUGAGACUUGGUGAGCCUUUGUAUGCCUUCGAAAUUUUUUCAAUGAUAGGGAUUCUGCUCGUCGUCGCUUGGUCGAGCAGAUCCUGGCACACUUGGCUUCUAGUCUCGCCAUAAAACAGGCUUUGAGACUUGGUGAGCCUUUGCAUGCCUUAGAAAUUUUUUCAAUGCUUGGGAUUCUGCUCGCCGUUGCUUGGUUGAGCAGAUCCUGGCACGCUUGGUUUCUGGUCUCGCCAUAAAACAGGUUUUGAGACUUGGUGAGCCUUUGCAUGCCUUAGAAAUUUUUUGCACAGUUACAAGUGAAUGAAAUUCCUCGACGUUUCAUUAAUUACAGAAUUCAACUUACAUAGGAAUGCAUAGCAACGAGAACAAAUUAAAGUAAUUUUUGAACAUGAGCAAGUCUUACUGGAAAUAUUUCCUGAGGUGCGCUGCGUUCCAUAGGCGUUUCACCUCGUGGCCAUCCGUGCGAACAAGCUUGUAAGCUCCGAGUCCCACUAUCUGCUUGACCCUGUAUAGCCCCUGCCAAUUCGGUCCAAGCACUCCUUGAGUCGAGUCUUUGGUGUUCUGAUUCACUCUCCUUAGCACCCAAUCUCCGACCCUAAACUGCCGUACAUUCACCUUCUGGUUAUAAUACCGAGCAACCCUCUGCUGGUAAAUGGCUAAUCGCUUCGAUGCUUGCUCCCUCUUCUCUACAAGCAAAUUCAGAUUCAAGCACAUCUGCUCGUUGUUAUCUUGCUCAUUGAAAUGAUCUGUCCGGUGCGUGGUCGUUCCUAUCUCGGCUGGUACGACCGCUUCAUGUCCGAAGGCCAAGGCGAACGGUGUUUCUCCAGUUGCUGUUUUGUAGGUUGUCCUGUAUGCCCAUAAAACACAUGAUAGCUCAUCAACCCAUGCUCCAUUUUUUGCUCCAAGCCUGGUUUUCAAAAGCCUCUUGAUCGUCUUGUUGGCUGCUUCUACUUGUCCAUUGGAUUGAGGGUGAGCAAGCGAGCAGUACUUCAACUCUAUCCCGAGGUUCUGGCAGAAAUCCCUGAAACUGUGAUUAUCGAACUGCCUGCCAUUAUCCAUUACCAAGGCAUAGGGGAUCCCGUACCGACAGACCAGGUUUCUCCAUACGAAGUCUGUUGUCUUCUUCUCUGUGAUCUUGCUGAGGGCUUCUACUUCUAUCCACUUCAUGAAGUAGUCUAUUGCUACUAUUCCAUGUGUUGUUGCUCCUCGUCCCCUUGGCAACGGCCCGAUCAGAUCAAUUCCCCACUGAGCAAAUGGCCAAGGGGAGGCUAUAGAGGUGAGCUUCUCUGGUGUUUGGCUGGAGAAACUUGCAAAACUCUGGCAGCUUAAGCAGCUCCUGGUCUUCUCCUGCGCAUCCUGGUGCAUUGUCGGCCAGAAAUAUCCCUGCCUUAGAACCUUAUGGGCAAGGGACCUCCCACCAGAAUGGUUUCCGCAAAUUCCUUCAUGUACUUCUCUCAGUACGUAGUCUGCGUUGUCCUCAUCUAAGCACCGAAGGAACGUGAGUGUAUAUCCUCGCCGAUAUAGCACCCCAUCAAUCAUUGUGUACCUUGAGUCUUGGGCUCUAAUCUUCCGAGCUCGUAGCUUAUCUGGUGGUAACACCCCGUCUCUGAUAUAUGAAAUUAUCGGAUCCAUCCACGAGCCUUUUUGUUCUAUCUGCAUCACCUUCAAAUUCUGCUCGAUGCUAGGGUUGGUUUUCACUUCCAAAGGGACCGUCUUAGGCAUUUUAGGGUCUGCUACAACUGUCAUCCUGGCCAGAAUAUCGGCUCGACUAUUUUGUUCCCUUGGGAUUUGUAUCAACUUAACCGCUUCGAACUUCCUCAUCAUCUGCCUGACUUUCUUCAAGUACUGCUCCAUCUUCUCAUCUCUCGGUUGAAAACUUUCACUGACAUGAUUUGCGACCAGCUGAGAAUAAGUUCUGAUCUUCACCCUAUCUGCUUUCAUUGCCUUAGCCAAUUCCAAACCUGCUAUCAAGGCUUCGUAUUCUGCCUGGUUAUUUGUGGCUGUGAACUCUAACUUUACAGCAUAAGAAAUCUCCUCCCCCUCUGGGUCUUUUAAGACAAUUUCUGCUCCUGAUCCUUGCUCACCUGAUGACCCAUCUACAGACAUCUGCCAUACUCGAGCUUUGCUGCUAUCUGUAGCGGUGUCCAGUUGGUCCAAACAUACUUCAAGCUCCGCGAAUUCUGCUAUGAAAUCGGCCGUUGCCUGAGCCUUUAUUGCUGCUCGGGGUUUGUAAUCUAUGUCGAACUCGCUAAGCUCUAUAGCCCACUUCACGAGCCGACCAGAAGCAUCUGGCUUGUGCAGAGUUUGACGCAAUGGCUGGUUUGUUAUUACCGUGACGGGGAAUGCUUGAAAGUACGGCCUCAGCUUCCGAGCAGCAACCACAAGGGCGAGUGUCCAUUUCUCCACCAAUGGGUAUCUGGUCUCGGCAUCGAGCAGGGUCUUGUUGGUGAAGUAUAUCGGGUACUGAACCCCUUCUUCUUCUCUUACUAGAACAGAACUUGCAGCAUGAUUUGAUACCGCCAAAUAUAAGAACAACCUAUCGUCAUCCCUUAGUGUGGACAGCAAAGGUGCUUGUUGCAAGUACUGCUUCAAGUUCUGGAAGGCUUCUUCACAUUCUGGGGUCCAUUCUGUAUUCUUUCCUCUCCUUAUCACUUGGAAAAAUGGCUGACACUUAUCUGUAGCCUUGGAUAUGAAUCGGCUUAAUGCCGCCAACCUCCCCGUAAGGCUCUGUGUCUCCUUCAGGUUACGAGGUGACCUCAUCUGCACGAUCGCCUGGAUCUUCUCAAGAUUUGCCUCGAUCCUGCUCGAACAUGGGGAUUUGGUUGUAUCCCGAGAAUGCGUCCAUGAAGCUGAGCAAGCCAUGUCCGGCUUUUAAGUCUACAAGCUGGUCAAUCUUUGGUAAUGGAAAGCUGUCUUUCGGGCACGCCUUGUUGAGGCCCGUGAAAUCCACACACAUCCUCCACUUGCCAUUAGCCUUUUUUACUAACACCACAUUCGAUAUCCACUCGGGAUAAUUGACUUCCCGAAUGAACCCUGCUUUCAAGAGCUUCUCCACCUCGCCGUUUAUAGCCUCAUACCUCUCCUGGUUGAAGCACCUCCUUUUCUGCCUUACUGCCCGAGCACCUUUCUUUAUUGCCAGUUUAUGACAUGCGACCUAAGGGUCGAUUCUUGGCAUGUCUUCAUGUGUCCAAGCAAACACAUCUGCAUGAGCCCGCAAGCAUUGCACCAACUCCUGCUUCUGCUAUUCUUUAAGCCUCAACCCAAUUCGGAUCGUUUUUCCCAGAUCCUUUGGUCCUAGGCUCACUGUCUUCAACUCCUCUACAGGUUCUUGUCUACCAGUCUUGGUUCCCACUCGGGUAUCAAGGGAUGUUAUCUGCAUUGCUUCCCUUGCUGACGAGGAGUAAUAGCUUCGUGCGAUUCUCUGGUCUCCUCAUACCACUCCAACUACCCCAUUCACCCGGUACUUGAGAGCUAGAUAAUGGUUGGAUGACACCGCUUUACUCAUCCUCAGAAAUGGUCGACCUAGGAUCAUCUGGUAAGGACCCUCUUCAUCGACUACCAAAAAAUCCAGCAUCAUAGUCCUUUCUGUCGGGGAGCUUCCAAUCGUGAUAGGCAGCUCAACCACGCCCAGGGGGACCAGCUUUCCUCCUCCAAAUCCCUUCAAGGAGGUAUUGGUGUGCUCCAACCUCAGGUCUGUUAUUCUCAUCUCCUCCAGAGUUGACUUAAACAACACAUCAACUGAGCUCCCUGUGUCAACCAGUAUCCGGUCAAACUUCUUGCUGGCGACGGUGGCCUUGAUGACUAAGGCAUCCUUGUGUGGGUAUAGAAUCCCUUAUUCAUCCUCAUCUGUCCACAUGAUUGGCACUUGUCAGACUCUUGCUCGUUUGGCUGCUGGGGUGUUGAAGAACACAUCUUUACUAGUCAUGGCAAAUUUAGCAUAAUUUUUCCUCGAUCUGUUGGAAUCUCCGGCCAACGUUGGACCCCCUAACAAUCACUCUUACUAUAGGCUGCCUGUGGCUCAAGUUCCUGUUACCCUGCUCCUCUUCACAUAUCGGGGCCACCGUCGGAAAAGUCCCAUCGAUAAACUCGUCCAGGUAUCGAUUUCUCACCAAAUCUUUAACCUGGGUCUUAAGGUCUCUUCAUUCUAUUGUGGUAUGGCCAUGAGUACCAUGGAACUUGCAAUAGUGCCCCUAUCCCUUCUGCUGGGUAGCUUUGUUAUUGGGGCUGGGAGGUACAGUAAUCCCCAGUCCUUUAUGGCCUCACAGACUUCGUCCAGUGGGAUAUUCAAGGAAGUAUACUGCCCAUAGUCCUGGUUCUGGUCGAUCAUAUGCACUGCCCUUUCUCUGUUUGUGCCAUUCUGAGUUGGAGGUGGUGGCAGCGCUUCUGGUCUGCUCCCCCUACUACCAUGGGGGUGUGGGUGAAGGUGACCGUAUGUCGCGUCAUGCCUUCUCCUAGGCUCCCUAGCUGGUGAGCGAGAAGGUUGCGCCCUGCUGUGCUGAUACUGUGGUGGCCUCUAAUGAGGUUGGUAAGCGGUUACCCGACCUCUUGUACCACUACCUAAGGCAUGGUGGUCCCUCCUCUUAAUCGGCCCAUUUCCUGGUACGGCUCUCUUCUCUUUCCUCUUUAAUCCUUCCAGCUGGUCUGUCUUAAUCCGUGCCGCCUUUUCCUCCUCUAUUUCUAUGUCUCUCUUAGCCUGCUCGUAAGCAACUGAAUAUGUCUGAAUAACUGGGCUUCUCAAGUUAUAUCACAUCCGUCUUAUCUUCACUCCUUCUUUCAAUCCCCUUAAUGCCUGAGGAUGGUUGAAGGCUCCCAAGUCGAGGACAGCACGGUGGAACCUUUUGAUGAAUUCCCGAAGGGUUUCCUCCUCUCUCUGCUUCAUGCUCGUUAACUCCAUCAUAUCAUCUUCCGGUGCCAUUACCCCACGAAACUGCUCUGCAAAUUCCUGGCACAUCUGCUCGAAGGCUUUAAUGCUCCCUCGAGGAAGUUUCCUGUACCACUCGCGUGCUCGUCCCUCUAGAGAUAGUGGGAACACCCUGCAUCUUUGGGCUUGAGAUAGUCCUUGCACCCCGGUCAUGUUGUUGAAGCGCUCUAUGUGCACCAACGGAUCAGUUCGCCCCAAAUAUCUGAGGUCUGGGAGGCGAAAAUCUCUUGAAAUGACUGCCCUCAUGAUCUCUGCCGAGAGCGGGGUUUCUCCGUCCAGCAUUAUCCUCCAACCAGGUGCUCUACUCCUUCCUUGCAUAUCAUCAAUUACUUGCGCUAGUUUGCGCACUUCCUUCUCUAGCUGCAUUGCACGACCAGGGUCACGUGCUGUAACUUGAUCCCGCUCUUUCUCUACAUCAUGUAAGUAUUGCCUGAGCUCUGUUUCCUCUGCAUUCACCACCCCAUCAUCCUCAUCAAAAAUCUAUCUUCUUGGGGAUUGCUCUUCUUCUCUAUGAAUUCCUCCCCGUAAAGAUAAGUUACCUCUCUCACCACCAAAUCUCCUGGUGGUCUGACUUCUCAUCAUACCAUCGUGCCCUGGUGCCACUCUGCCACCUCUCACCCUUUUCUCAUGGGUUCCCCUUCGUUCACUCCUUAGUUCAUGUAGGAUGGUUGUCAGGGUCUCCAUCUGCUUUUCCAUCCGUUCCAUUCGGUCAUGCAUGGCUUUUUCCCGUGCUUCAAUGGCUAUCUCCCUUAACGUCAUGGAUUCGUUAAGCCUCAUAUCACCUCCUUGUGCACUACUUCCUCCUACAUCCAUUGUUUCUUCUCUUGCUUUGUUUUUCCUUUCUCUGUCAACAGAAGUUUUUUUAUCAGCUCCCUACAGACGGCGCCAAAAUGUUGAUGCGAGAUUCUGGUUACCCACUCGACCACGACCAGGAUCUCUGCUCAAUCAACUAACUCGACCACGAUCAGGAUCUCUCCUCGUAUGCUUUCUUCUUCAAAAAUUCCUGCGUACACAGAAACAAGUCAGAGCACGCUGGUUGUUUUCUCGGCGUAAACCCUCCGAUGCUCAAGUCAAAUAUGAAGGUUUUGUGUUCCUGGGAACAUUAGCCACUAGUCUUAAGCUUUGCUUUUAGUAUCGACUGUUGAAUGCUCUCUUUAUCUCAAUUUCUGUAUUAAAAGUUCUAACCCUUUUACCUUCGUUGGCUGCCUUUUUAUAGGCUCCUCCUGAGUCCAGAUCCUCCCCUCCAUUCACGUCCGUUACCUUCCCACCUCUCGAAAGUGGAUGCUCCGUUUCCGUAAUCGUGGGUGGUUGCAUGGCCUUCGUGCCUCGAUUCUCGGGCUGGAGAGUACGUCUUGCCAACUGUCGUUGAUUGGGUCUCCUCGCUUCAAACCUUAGCAGGACCAUUAUGCUUCUAACAGGAGAUCGGCUUCGCGGAUGGUGUAUUCGUGGACGAGCAGAUAUUCCUGCUUCUGUUCCCAUGCUACCAGACCUCAGCUCAUCACGGCUGGUCUCGUCGAAGUACAUCCCCCAAACAAUCUUCAUAUUAAUUACGAAAAUAUCCUCUAAAUUUUAACUUAACUAUUCAUAAUUCAAUGUCAUUCGGAUAUUUCGUUUAUUUGAGUAGGGAUUAGGGGUCAAUUUGAUACAAAUUCAAAAUUAUCCUCAUUUGCGAAGGUGAUAAAAGUUAGGGAUUUAGUUUGGAUGUCACUAGCCACAAAUAUUAAACGCAUGCAUCUAAUUCAAAAUUAGAGGCAUUAUCGUUAUAUUGACAUGUGUCACCAUCCCACAACCUCUCCAAUGAAAAAUUGACAUGCAUCUUGUGUGCUUCUUAUCAAAAUCCUGAAAAUUAAUCACAAAAGUUAUAUUUUUAUUAUAAAAAGAAGAAAGAAACUCCAUGAGUGAAGAAAAAAAAAAAAGACUUACAUUAAUAGUUUGGAUAAUCUAGAUUUCAAGUUGUCUAUAUUAGCUUGAUAUUUUUAUAAAUAUCAAGAUUUCAAGUUGUCUAUAGUAGCUUGAUAUCUUCUAAAAAAAACUCCAUCAACAUAUAUUUUAAUUUUACGUUAAUUAAUAAAUAGAAAAUCCAUUUUAGAAUUAAUUAAAGCAUUAUUUAUUGUUGCCAAAGAAGGAAGUAUUUAGCGAUAAGAAAAAAGUGUCUCAAAUAUAUGUUUAAAAAAAAAUAAUCAUGGUUGGUUGGACUGAUUGAAUUUUUCUUUUCUUUUUUCUUUUUUAAGAACUAAGACAAUUGGAUUGAUUGAGUAAUAAUAAAAUAUAUUUAUUUGGCAAAUGGCAGGUAGGCUUUCUUCUGGUGCAGAUUGAUUAGAGAGAAUAUAUAACAAUUUUAAGCUCGUAAGAUUCGGAACCUGCUUAUCUGUCGUGUGGGAAUCACUUCCGUGUCUUAUUUUUCUAGAAAAAUCUAGACCAUUGGAUUUACCAUUGGGCAGUAGAGAAAUGUUGAUCUUGAUUCCUGAUCAGGAUCGAAGUUUGAUUCUAUCUAACAUGAUAUCAGAUUGCGAAGCAAGCUAGUUGUGAGUAACUUGUUCUAUUUUGAUGGAAGAAACACAAGUUCUAAUAAAAAAUUCUAAGUAUACAUUUUUUUUUUUAAUUUUUUUAUUGUGAUCAAUAUAACUAGUCAAAUCUAUUUUUAAACAUUUUUUUUAAAUAUUUUGUUAACAAUGAUAUGAAAAUAUUCGAACCCCUCCUCAUAUAGUAAAGUGAAUUACUAUCCAACGAUCCAACUAACGUCUUCAAAUUGUAAAUUGCAAAUCGUGUGUUUGCUCCAUUACAGAGUUUCUUCAAUUUAAAAUAGAGAAUCGUUUGUGUUCUAGAUUAAUCGUGGGUCUAUAUCCAAAUCUAAAAAUUGACUAACUUGAUUUCUAUUAAAUUCUUAACCCUAACAAGAAAAAUAGAAGAUUAAAAAUGACUAAUUUGGUUUCUAUUAAUUUGAGUAACGAUUAAUAUUUAUCAUUCAAUAGUCACUUAUAUUAUCAAAAUCUUGGGUCGAAAAUAUUAGGAUAGGUGAUAAUUGGAAUUAAGUUGUAGAUAAGAUAGAAAUGGAUUUGGAGAGAGAUUGGAAUCCUGGGUAAAUCCGGUACACGUUGGUGUGUUAAAUUCUCGUUGACUUCACGUUGACCGAGGCAUUAUUGGAAGAAACAAGCAAGCUUAUUUUCUUCUCUCAUUUUUAACCUUUGUCUAAAUUUAUUGGUGUGAGGCCUUUGAGAUGGUAAAGUGUUAAAUCUGAGAAGAGUACCCACACUAUUACUCUUAUUUUAUCACGUUUUAUCACAAUAUUACUCUUAUAGUCAAUGUUUGAUUCGCACGAAAAAAAAUUUGCGAGGAUUGUGAGGGUUGAUGCAAUAUAAUUUAGAUGCAAAGUGUUUACAAGUGCGAUGCUUCGUAAGUGUACUCGAAUCAUUAUAAACUCACGUUAUUUUCAUAGUGAUUAUUUCAUUUGCACGUGAAUAUAAUCAUAUAUGUGGAGAAUUUUUUUUCCUAAAUUAUGGUCUUAUUUAGUAUUGAGAUGUUAUAUCUUUUAAAUUAUAAUUAAUAUUAGUAAAAAAACUGCAACUAUAAAAUAAAAGUUAAUAUUAUGUCCUGAAUAUAAUUGUUAAAUAAUAAUUUUGACAAAAUUAGUGAAGACAUACAGAUUUUUUUAUCAUAUAAGUGUAAAAUUCUAUCAACUUAGCUUUUAAGUUAUACAGCAUCUAUUGUUUACCAAAUACUUUAGUGUUGUAACUUUUAAGUUAUAACUGUCUAACCUUUAACCUCAAUCUCAAACGAGGCUUAUAAAGAUCAAGGAUUUCCUCAUAAAAAUUAUUACGUCAUGUGAUUGCUUAUUUAAUUUAUAUUUUCGUCAUUUAUCUUUAUUAAUUAAACAUGCACAUAUUAUUUCCUUUUAUUUUCUGCUUGGUAACCCGUAAAUACUAAUCCAGUACUACUAAUUUCAGACAGAAAAUUUUGAACUCUAGGCUGCAGUUUGACUCAAAAUGAUGGUCACUGGCUUCGCACCAUUUUACCGGUAUACAUUUCUACAAACUGAACAAGGCUAUUGAUUAUUAUUAUUAUUAUUUUAAUUUGUUUAUAAAUUACUAUUUUAAUUUUCACUUUUUAUUGGGUUGUUUAACGGAUUGGUGAAGCUGGUGGUCGUUGAUGCACUCACAAGGUACAAUUUUAUUUUAUAAUUUCAAAUUCGUAUUUUAAAACGCAGGUACAUUAUGUAUAUACAUAAUUAUUGAUUUUCGUAUGAGGGUGUUUUGAAAUAUUGCUAAAAGACCAAACUUUAAUAAACUAUUUUUGAUCUUUUUUUUUUUUCCUAAAGUUUGGGUGAUAUGCGCAUUUUAAAUUCACGUGGAACAAAAGUUAAUGUAUGUAUAAAAAUUCUUUUAUUUUACUGAGCAAAAUAGGCAAGCGAAAAAGUUUUGGCAAAUGAGUUGCAACUGAAUUCAAAACCAAUACAAUGCGAGCAUAGGAAAGAGGCCAGUGUUUAGGAUUUGAAUUUAGGUAGCGUUUACUUUUUGGAUUGGAUUGGGAAUCCUGGGGAGUGGGAAUCCUAGGAUUGAGAGUGUGGAGUGGGAGUGGGAGUAGGUUGUUUACUUACACUGGAAUGGAAGCAUGGAAUGGAGAUCAGAAUCCAAUUUAUGUGUUUACUUUGUCUUGGAUUGGGAGUAAAUAGUUUCAAAUUACAAUUUUAUCCUUAUUUAAAGAAUUAUAAUUUUAAUUACAAAACUAAUAAAAUAUAUAUUUAAUGAAUAAUAUUUAUUUUAUUAUAUUUGUAAAUUUAUUAUAAUUAUUAAUAUUCUUAAUUAUGAACAAUAAAUUAUUAAUUGUAAUUUUAAUAUAAAAUGAAAUGUUAUUUUAUUUAAUAUAAUUAUAUUAAAUUUAUUAUUAUAUAAAAUAAUAAUAUAAUAUUAUUUAGUACAAAAUUAAUAUUUUCUUAGAAUAAAGUAUUUAUUAUUAUUAUUAAAUAAAAUAUAGUACUAUUAUUUUUAAAAUAAAUAUAAUAAUAUUAUAUUUAUUAAUUCUCUAUUAAUAUAAUAAUAUUAUUUUAAAAUAAUUUUAACUUAGAAUCAAUGUAAAUUAUUAUUUAGUUAAAUAUAAUAUUAUUAUUUAAAUAAAUAUAAUAUUAUUAUUUAAAUAAAUAUAAUAUUAUUUAUUUUAUUUUAUUAAUUAUAAAACAUAAAAUAAAAAAAAAAAGGGUAGAAAUGGGAGAGGUGGGAGUGGAUUCCCACUCCCACCUCCCCCAAUGGGAGUCCCACUCCCACUCCCCACUCCAAAAAUGGGUGGGGCCCACGGAGUGGGACUCCCAAUUCCUUCUCAUUUUAAGUAAGUAAACGCUGGAGUGGGAGGAAUCCACACUCCUCACUCCCACUCCAGCAAGUAAACACAACAUUAGUAUUAAGCUGAAUUUUAUGGUAAGCUCUUUUAUAGUACUGUGAUUGAUAAGCUCAGCCCCGGAUUUGCUUUUGCUUUUGCUUUUACUUCAAGUGAAAGAGAGAGGAAACCUUUUGUUUUUUUCUUUGGUUUUCAACUAUGUUACCUAUACAAAGAGUCAAGAUACCUGCCAUAAGUGAUGGUGUUAAAAAGAUUAAGCAGCGCACACAAUCUUACUGUCGUCUAGACCAUCCAGUGAUGACUCUAGUCUUUUGGUUACGUUAGCUUUAGUUGAAAGAAGGGCCAAUUUAACAAAGACUAGAUUUGAUGGCUUACUAUGUUUAAUGUAAUGCUAAUUCUCAGGGAAUCUAAUGUUAUAACUUAUAAGACGAUCUCCUAUGAUGAAUAACAGUAACACAUUACUGUGAUUGAGAAAACUCAGUUACAAUAAACUAUUCAUUUACUCAUUGCGGAGAUUGAAUAGCAAAUAGAGAAUAGAAUGAAGCAGAGGAAUCUCAUUGCCAAUAAAAUUGACCCUCUUUAAUGUUAUAUGGCACAGGUGUGGAGGAAGAACAAGUUACUUGCAGUUUUUAUUGUAAAAUAUACAGGUAUGACCAUGAUCAUUACAGUUGGGUUUUGAUAAUUUCAGAUGCUUUUUAAAAAAAAAAAAAAUUAUGACAUCUUUGAUUUACGGUAGUUUUGCAGAAAAAAAAAUAUAAAAAUUAAGAGGGAUGAGUUAAACUGACGAUUACAAUCAUUCCAGCAAUGCUGAUGAGUGAUACAUCACUUGAAAUUUACUUGUCAGUUGCUGAAAUGAUGAAAAAAAAACAAUAAACGAUAACAGUAAUAAUGUUCCGUUGCUGAAAUUCAAUUUUGACUUUCUACUCUUGGCUUUUAUGGAAAGUAAAAUGACUUGUAUAUUAUCCUCAUACAAUCCACUCUACAUAAUGAUAUCAUUUUAAUAAGGCAAUGGCUGAUGAUCUCCAUUUAAAAACUACAUCAUUUUUUUUGCUUCAUUUAACUUUUUGGUUGUUGAAAAUAACCUUAAUUAUCAAAUAAUUGGAGAAAGAGUAAAGAACAUUUAACAAAUUUAUGUGCAAAAAAAAAAAAGGAGAAGUUGAAGAGAAAGGGUGCUUGCAGAAGUGGGUGUCAAAGAUAAAUCGGUCCAUAAGAAUUAUUGUGGUUAUUUUUUUGGCAAUAUAAGAACUUAUGCGAUAGCAUUUUUUAUGGGUGCAUAUAACCUCCCUUUAAAAAUAUAUAUAAUAAUUACUGCUUAAUAUAGUAUUAAAUACAAAAAUAUCAAUAUUUGACUACUUAAAUUUAUAUCAUUAGGUCCUUAAAAUUUAAAAUGGAAGAUAUGAAAGGAAAUAUAUAUAAAUUUCAUUGUCCUGGUAAAGGGCCCUCUUAUAAUCUUAUAAUAUUUGAACUUUGAUAGAUUUUUUGAAACAAAUGUACUUUUAUUUGUGUACAAUCAAUAUUUACUCAUUUAUUAUAUUUUAAUUUAUUAACUAUUAAUCAUGUAAGUAUACUUAGUCAGAAAAAUUAUAUCAAGAGAAAAUUCUAAUUUCACGCAAAAACAAAUACCAAAACAAAUAUCUCAAUUUCUAUACUAUUCACUUUCCUGUAGAAUCAAUUAUUUAAAAUGCAAGUUUGUGGCUACAGAAAACUCGCCAAAGAAAAAAGAUAAUAACAAUUGAGCAUUGAUAGCAAAACUAAUGCAUCCAAUUCUUCUUGACUUGAUGAGAUGGCGCCAUAACGUAGACACAAGUACCUAAAUUGACCGGCACUGAGUGAUGUGAAUACUACCAGCCAGUUCAUCUCUUCCAGUCUUGCUUAAUCACAAUCACAAACACCACGAGAUCGACAUUUGCAUUAUAUAUAUCUUCUGCAAUCGAAACACCUUGCAUUACCAAAUAAGCCCGUAACAGACAAAGCAAUCUUUCAUGGAGAGAAACCUUAGUCUCAGUAUGAUCACUGUGUCAUUAACCUACUGCCUGCUUCUUUGCUUGGUUGCUGCAGCAGCAGCAGCGGCAAGCAACAAUAUUACCACAGACCAACAAGCUCUUCUUGCCCUGAAAGAUCAUAUAAUUUAUGAUCCUACCAGCCUUUUAGCUCACAAUUGGACCUCGAAUACCUCUGUUUGUACCUGGAUUGGCAUCACUUGUGAUGCCAAUAGCCAUAGAGUCAAAACCUUAGAUAUUUCUCAAUUCAAUCUACAAGGCACCAUCCCUCCUCAACUUGGAAAUCUCUCUUCACUCACAACACUUAAUCUUAGUCAUAACAGGCUUUCUGGAAGUGUUCCCUCCUCCAUCUACACCAUGCAUACGCUAAAAUUUCUUGACUUCACUGAUAACCAGCUCUCUGGUUCAGUGUCUUCCUUCGUCUUCAACAUGUCUUCAAUAUUAGUAAUUCGUUUGACCAAUAACAUAUUUUCUGGUGAGCUUCCGAAAAAUAUUUGCAACUAUCUUCCUUAUUUGAAGGCCCUUUUCUUAAACAAAAACAUGUUUCAUGGCAAAAUUCCUUCUGCUUUAUCAAAGUGCAAACAACUGCAACAAUUAAAUUUGCAGUUCAAUAAUUUAUCCGGUGCAAUACCAAAAGAAAUCGGCAACUUGACUAUGCUCAAAGGGAUAUAUCUCCUCUACAACAAACUCCACGGUAUGUUCACAAUACUAUAUAAAUAUUUUAAUUUAUCACUUAUUAUCUUUCUUGAAUAAUUUAGUUAAGAUCUUGUAAGAGAGAUUUUUUGCAUCUACGUUAAUUUACCAGGUGAGAUACCCCACGAAAUCGCUAAUCUUCCAAAUCUAGAGGCUUUAGCGCUUGGAAUCAACAACGUAGUUGGUGUGUUACCAGCUCCCAUCUUCAACAUGUCAACACUGAAGGUACUUAUCCUCAUAAAUAACUCUCUCUCCGGAAGCCUUCCAUCAAGAGUAGACCUUUCACUUCCAACUGUUGAGCAACUUAACUUGGCACUUAAUAGAUUUUCUGGAACCAUUCCUAGUUCCAUCACCAAUGCUUCUAAGCUCACCUUUCUAGAGUUGGGAGCAAACACAUUUUCGGGGUUUAUUCCAAACACAAUUGGUAAUUUAAGAAACCUUAAGUGGCUCGGCUUGGCUAAUAACUCCUUGACAUCUUCAACCUCAAAAUUGAGCUUUCUUUCCUCUUUGGCAAAUUGCAAGAAAUUAAGAUUCGUAAACGUAAUAGGCAAUCCACUGGACGGCUUCCUUCCAAGUUCAAUAGGUAAUCUUUCUGUGUCUUUGGAAACACUUGGCAUCGGCAAUUGCAGUAUUAGUGGCAACAUUCCUCCAGCAAUUAGCAAUUUAAGCAACUUGUUGACCUUAGUAUUAGACGGCAAUAAAUUGACUGGACCAAUCCCAACUACAUUCGGCCAACUGCAGAAACUCCAAGGCUUAGAUCUUGCAUUCAAUAAGUUGGUAGGUUCAUUCCCAGAUGAGCUUUGCCAUCUGGCAAGGCUGGAUCAAUUGGUCUUAUUUGGCAAUAAGCUUUCAGGAUCUAUACCUUCAUGCUUAAGUAACCUCACUUCUCUAAGAUCUCUCUAUUUAGGGUCCAAUAAGUUUACUUCUGUUUUUCCCUCAACCUUCUGGAGCCUAAAAGACAUCUUGUUCUUUGACUUUUCAUCAAAUUUCUUGGUUGGUCCUCUUUCUUUAGAUAUAGGAAAUUUGAAGGUGCUUCUAGGAAUAAGUUUAUCAAAAAAUAAUUUAUCCGGUGAUAUCCCAGCCACAAUUGGAGGACUGAAAGAUCUUCAAUUUAUGGACCUAGCAUAUAAUAGAUUGGAAGGCCCAAUUCCUAAAUCAUUUGGUGACUUGAUAAGUUUAGAAGUUCUGAAUUUAUCAAAUAAUAAAAUCUCUGGGUCUAUUCCAACAUCCAUGGAGAAACUCUUUUACCUCGGAGAGUUAAAUCUCUCUUUCAAUAAACUAGAAGGUGAGAUUCCUAGUGGAGGAACUUUUGCCAACUUCACAGCUGAGUCAUUUAUGGGAAAUGAGUUUUUGUGUGGUUUACCAAAUCUUCAAGUCCAACCAUGCAAAGUUAGCAAGCCGAGGACAGAACAUAAAUCAAGGAAAAAGAUACUUCUCAUUGUGAUUGUUUUGCCAUUGAGUAUUGCUCUAACAAUAGCAAUCACUCUAGCUCUCAAAUCUAAGCCGAUCGAAUGUGGAGAAAGAAGCACAGUGUUGUCAAAUGAUAGUAUCUUGUCAUCACAAGCAACACUAAGAAGAUUUUCAUACUUAGAACUUUUACAAGCAACAGAUAAUUUUGCUGAAAACAGCAUAAUUGGCAGAGGAGGUUUCGGUUCCGUUUAUGGAGCAAGACUUGAAGAUGGGAUGAAGAUUGCAAUAAAAGUGUUUCACCGGCAAUGUGCAAGCGCAUUGAAGAGUUUUGAGGCUGAAUGUGAAGUGUUAAAAAAAAUUCGCCAUCGAAACCUUAUCAAAGUUAUCAGCAGUUGCUCGAACGAUGACUUCAAAGCAUUAGUCCUAGAAUACAUGUCCAACGGGAGCUUAGGGGAUUGGCUGCAUUCGAGCAAUUACGUGCUGAAUAUUUUUCAAAGGUUGAACAUAAUGAUUGACGUUGCAUCAGCUUUAGAAUACCUCCACUUCGAUCAUUCAACUCCUAUUAUUCAUUGUGACUUAAAGCCUAGUAAUGUAUUGUUGGACGAAAAUAUGGUUGCUCAUUUGAGUGAUUUUGGCAUAGCAAAGCUUUUAAGUGGAGAAGAUGAGUCUACGAUGCGAACAAAAACCCUUGCCACUAUAGGUUAUAUGGCACCAGGUUUGCUUCAAACAACUUUUUUUUUUAAGUUCAUUUUAAAUUUUCUAAAUCAUUGAUUUUUACGAUCCUCAUAUCAAAUUGUUAUUGAUUAUUUAUCUAAUUGUGAAAUUAAUUUGAUUCAUAGAGUAUGGCAUAGGAGGAGAAGUAUCUACAAAAAGCGAUGUUUACAGCUACGGGAUUAUGUUGAUGGAAACUUUUACCAAGAAAAAACCCACAGAUGAAAUUUUUGUUGGAGAAUUGAGCUUAAAGCAUUGGGUUAAUGACUUGCUUCCUAAUUCAUUAGUGGAAGUUGUGGACAAAACUCUGCUAAGUGGAGAGGAAAAACAUUUUGCAUCAAAGGGGCAAUGUCUGUUGUCUAUCUUUAGUUUGGCUCUGGAGUGUACAAUGGAAUCACCGGAAAAGAGGAUUAAUGCAAAAGAUAUUGUUACCGGAUUACUCAAGAUAAGAGACACAUUGAGUAAAAGGAUAGGAAAUUUAAGUUAAUUUCGUUUGCUUUCAUUGAUAGUUAAUUCGAAUUCAUGUAAUAAGUGCAAGAAUCUUAUAUCUUUUCCUUUGAUAUAUUCUUUUUCUUGAGAAAACUGUUGUAGUCAUCUUGUUUCCAUGGGAAGAGUUGAUUUAGUUCUUCCAAAAAAUGCUACUGAUGACCUUUGUUUAAUACUUUCUCUUUUUUUGCACGUGUUUAGGUAGAACAGUGGUUUGGCUGCAGGCUAAUAAGUCAAGCUACGCCAAAAGCGUAUGAUUUAAUUUAUUAAACAUAACUUCAAGUUCAAGAAGUGUUUCUCAUUGCCACCAAUGCUUUGGACACCUGUUGGAAGGUUUGUUGUCCUCAGCUUUUGUUUAGAGCAAAAGUUCGAGUCCCAUAAAGGCUCAAACAUUCCUUUCCUUCAUCCCGAGGGCGCCUUCUGUCCUCUGUUUUCUGUUUCCACACACAAAUAGCAAAAAGAAAUUAGAAUGACAACUGGGACAUAUAUAAGAGUGAAAUAAUUAAAAAAAUUAUGCUUUUUUGUCUGUCGUGUUAAAAUCGUAAGUACCGAAGUACUGUGAAAGAGAUUAAUUUACAGAAACUGAAGCCAAGGGUUCAAAAAAAAACUAUUGAUGUAGCUAGGAUGCAAUGUCAUAUUCAUACAGAGAUGAAGUAUAUUAUUUACGGCUGGUAAAGACUAGGAAUUGAUGUAGCUAGAAUCCAAAGAUGAUAAGGUAUGUUGUGCACUAUUGUUUUAUUCUACGGUCAAUCUUGACCCUUGGUGCUUGGCUCUCAAUCUUGUCCAUUGAUCUUCUCUGAUCUUGGAAACUUCAAGACCUUUCACUCUCAUGCCUUAUUAUUGGUGUCUUCCAUGCUGUAGCUUUCAAAUACAAGCUUUCCCGCCAACUUGCCAAUUAUUUGUCCGUUGGUGCAUUUUAUCAAACAGUUUGGAUACUUAUACCAAACGCCUUCUGUUUUAACUCCCCCCCUCAAGCUCAAGCAUCUGGGAAGACAUUAAUAAGCUUGUUUCUCAAGUAUAUAUAUCUGAAAAUUAAAUUUUAUAAAUUAUAUUCGGACUCUACAUUUUCUAAUGAACAUUGGUUUGGCUUAUAAGCUUAUUAUACUCAGGUUUGGUAGGAGCCAUAUCACAAUGUUAACGCUAACCAGCAGUACUGCCAAAGCUGGCCAACUCAGCCUGCAAGUUCAUAGCAACCAUAGUUACAGUCCUAGUCCGGUACAAAAAUCGUAAAUAUCAUUUACAUUACAAUGGUGUGGGGGGGGGGGGGGGGGUUUGUUGGGUGGCUGGAGAGGGAAUCAACAAAGAUCUAGAACGAAGGGUAGGCUUGUAUCCGUAACCCAUGUCACAGUGUUAAUGCUAACCGUGGACCUUAUUAUAUUAGUUGCUGGACUAUUAUUACUUUUGAAUUGCCAUCUUUGAAUUUACGUUCAUUUCUGCCUCGACAAGAUGUUUGUAAAAAUAUGCUAAUUAUUAAUGUGCCGUGUACAAAUAAGCAUGUUACUGUGCAAGGAUUGUAGUCAUGAUACAGUGGUGCAAAAUGUACAUGCUACUUCUUCUUUUCCUCAGUUAGGAUCACCGUCGUCACCAUUUAAUUCUAAGUCCACCCAUGCGGCCUAUGCAAUUGAAAUCAUGUGACCAUGUAAUUUUAGGUUCUGAUCUUCCUUGUGGGGUUAAACCUCAAAACUGUGACCAUUUUGGGACUUUUAAUCAGUUCCAAUCAUUUUCUGGUUCCCAUUCGUCCACCCAAGCCUUGAUUCCCCCGAUAUAGCAUUGCAAUAUAUAUAGGAAUAUUAAGGUUGUGUACAGUUUUUUUCUUUUCUGUUUUUAAUUUGAUAUAAAUUAUCAAUCAUGAAUCUACAUAAAGUUUCAACUAGGCUACUACCACAAUAAACAUUUGGAUGAACUAUUAUUGAAACCUUAUUGAGAAGUAGGACAUGUCGCAUACCAAUGCACUGACAUAUCUUCAAAUAGUGGUAACUCCACACAACAUGGCACAAUAAAUUAAGAGUUAUAUAGAUAAAAUCUUUCACUCUUUGGUAAUCAUCAAUGUCGGCAUGACAAUGCGUCCCACAAAUAUGGCUCCUUAUCAAAAUUCAUAAAUCAAAACAAAAAUAGAGAAUCAUAUUUGUUCUAGAUUGUAGUGAUGGUUGUUGAUGCACUCACAAUUUACAAUUUUAUUUAAUAUCUUCAAAUUCGCAUUUUAAAAUGCCCAAAUGUUUGUGUAUACAUAAUUAGUAAUCGAUUCUCAAGCAUGGCCAUUUAAAAGCAUUGCUGAAAGACAAAAUUUUAAUUUACUAUUUUUUGUCUUUUAAUUUUCUUUAAGUUUUUAAUGAUUCCGCAUUUUAAAAUCCUGUGGAACGUGUAUGUAAAAUUCUUUUAUCUUUUAGAGGAAAAUGGGCAAGAGAAGAAGAUUUGGCAAAGGAAUUGCAACCGCAUUUGGAGCUAGUUUUAAUUUUGUCUUUUAAUUCUUUUACACUUGGCUUUUGUUAUUGAUGUCAACUUCGAUGUGUGUGAAGACUCGAGCUCACUCCCUUAUGAGCUAGUUUUAUUUUUCUACUUUCACAUUAAGAAAAAUACUCCUAUUUUUAAGGAAAAGUCAAGUACCUGUAGUUGUGAAGACUCGAGCUCACUCCCUUAUGAUAAAUCUUCAUAUUAAUUACGUAAAUAUCCUCUAAAAUUUUAAAUUAGCUAUUCAAAAUUUGAUGUUAUACGGGUAUUUCAUUUAUUUGAGUAGGGGUUGGGGGUCAAUUGGAUACAAAUUCAAAAUUAUCCUUACUUGAGAUGGUGAUAAAAAUUGGGGAUUUAAUUUGGAUGUCAUUAGCUACAAAUAUUAAACUCAUACAUUUAAUUCAAAAUUGGAAAGCUGAUAUAUGCGCAUCAUCCCACAACCUCUCCAAUGAAAAAUUAACACGUUUCUUGUGUGCAUUUGAUCAGAAUCCUGAAAAUUAAUCACAAAAUUGUCCUGGAAAAAAAAAUGCUUACAUAAAUGGUUUGAAAAAUCUAGAUUUCAAGUUGUCUAUAUUAGCUUGAUAUUUUUAUAAAUAGUCAUCCUCUCAAAAAAAUUCCAUCAAAAUAUAUUUUAAUUUUAUGUUAAUUCAUAAACAUGAAAAAAUCAUUUCAGAAUUAAUUAAAACAUAAUUUAUUGUUUCUCAAAAAAGGUAGAACUUAGUGAUAAGAAAAAAGUAUCUCAAAUAUAUGUAAAAAAAAAAAAAUCUUGGUUAGUUGGAAUGAUUGAAUUUGUUUUUUUUUUCUUUUUUAAGAAUUAAGACAAUCGGAUUGAUUGAGUAAUAAUAAUAUAUAUUUAUUUGGCAAAUGGCAGGUAGGCUUUCGUCUCAUGCAGAUUGAUUAGAGAGAAAAUAUAACAAUUUUAAGCUCGUCAGAUUCGAAGCUGCUUUCCUGUCGUGUGGGGAUCACUUCCGUGUCUUAUUUUUCUAGAAAAAUCAGGACCAUUGGAUUUAUGCGAAUCGUACUGAACAUUGGAAUUGAUGUAUAAGAAAAAAAUUCUGUAGUUUAAGAAGAACAAAAAGGCAUGUUGAAUAGAUUACAAUAGUUUAAGGAAAAAAAUUAUUCAAUUGGGAAUUUUUUUUUCUUUAAUUUUUGUUGUACUUGAUUGAGAUUUCUCCUUAGUCCUUAGAGUUUUAAGUUUGGAAACCGUAGGAUCAGUAAUUUCGUACUUCCUUUGCAAGCUGAGUAUAAGGAUGAAAUUCUUUUAAGAAAUUAAAAAAGAUAAAAAAAAAGCAUACCAAUAGGUAAUUAUAAAUAACCACAAAUAAAUAUAAACAAAAUGUUUAUGAAGUAAAUUAAACAUGCUCAUAUUAUUUUCUUUUAUUUUCUGCUUGGAAACCCAUAAAUACACUAAUCCAGUAUUACUAAUUUCAGACAGAAAAUUUUGAAUUUAACCAGUAUACACUAAUCCAGUAUUAUUUUUAUUAUUAUUUUAAUUUGUUUAUAAAUUACUAUUUUAAUUUGUUUAUAAAUUACUAUUUUAAUUUUCACUUUUUAUUGGGUUGUUUAACGGAUUAGUGAAGCUGGUGGUCGUUGAUGCACUCACAAGGUACAAUUUUAUUUUAGAAUUUCAAAUUCGUAAUUUAAAAUGCAGGCACAUUAUGUAUACAUAAUUAUUGAUUUUCAUAUGUGGGUGUUUUGAAAUAUUGCCAAAAGACCAAACUUUAAUAAACUAUUUUUGAUCUUUUUUUUUCCUUUGUACCUAAAGUUUGAGUGAUAUCCGCAUUUUAAAUUCAUGUGGACCAAAAGCUAAUGUAUGCACAAAAUUCUUUUAAUUUUUUCCGAGAAAAAUGGGUAAGAGAAGAAGAUUUUUCUCUUGAAAAAGAAAAAAUAAUACGUUGCAAGCAUAGGAAAGAGGCCAGUGUUUUGGAUUUGAAUUUAGUAUUGGGUUGAAUUUUAUGCUAAGCUCUUUUAUAAUACUUUAUAGAAUAAAAAUGUAAGGGAUAUUUGGCUAGGCAUGUACUUUAUAGAAUAAAAAUGUAAUAAUGUAAGUCAGUGCAAUGAUCUGCUGUCAUAGUAGUUAUAAAUAUUUAUGUGUAAUACAGUAACAUGAUGCUUAAUCAGUUAAAAAAAAAUUGUAUAUCUUUUUUUAUUUUUUUUAUUGUGAUCAAUAUAACUAGUCAAAUUUAUUUUUAAAUAUUUUUUUAAAAAUAUUUUUAUCGUGUGUUUGCUCCAUUACAGGGUUUCUUCAAUUUAAAAUAGAGAAUCAUUUGUGUUCUAGAUUAAUCGUGGGUCUAUAUCCAAAUCCAAAAAUUGACUAACUUGAUUUCUAUUAAGUUCUCAACCCUAACAAGAAAAAUAAAAGAGUAAAAAUGACUAUUUUGGUUUCUAUUAAUUUGAGUAACGCUUAAUAUUUAUCAUACAAUAGUCACUUAUAUUAUCAAAAUCUUGGGUCGAAAAUAUUAGGAUAGGUGAUAAUUGGAAUUAAGUUGUAGAUAAGAUAGCCUUUCAAAAAAAAGAAAAGAAAAAAAGUUGUAGAUAAGAUAGAAAUGGAUUUGGAGAGAGAUUGGAAUCCUGGCUAAUCCGGUGCACGUUGUUGCGUUAAAUUCUCGUUGACUUCACGUUGACCGAAGCAUUAUUGGAAGAAACAAGCAAGCUUAUUUUCUUCUCUCAUUUUUUACUUUUGUCUAAAUUUAUUGAUGUGAGCCCUCUGAGAUGGUAAAGUGUUAAAUCUGAGAAGAGUACCCACACACCCAUUUGUUGGAGGAUUAACAAUUAAAACACACUAUUUUAUUUCUUCAACAACACUCCUCACCAAUUACAACUCUUAUUUUUCACUCUCUACACCUUAGAGAUUUUGCUGCUUCACUUGAUGUUUAAACCAAAAGGGAGAGGGGGUAUUUAUAUAUGAAACAAACUAAUCACAACCAUUCAUUUAUUCAACUAAUAAACACAUCCUCACCAUCCAUUAAAACCUACCACUCACCUACUUCACCAACCACACCUAACACACCUAACACAAAUAAUUCAAACCUCACCAACCAUACCUACUCAUGGAACCUUCCAUGAGUUGGGCUUGAUUUAUUCAUCUUGGAUCAAGUUUAUGAUCCAACACCUCUCCUUAAACUUGAUCCUGUGACACCAAGCAAACUUCUGAAUCUUACAAAGUCUUCUUGUUUGAGUGGUUUAGUGAAGAUAUCAGCUGCUUGAUCUUGUGAUUUUACAUACUUGAUUUGCACUUCUUUUCUUGCAAUACACUCUCUUAUGAAAUGAUAGCGAGUGGCUAUGUGUUUACUUCGAUCAUGAAAGACUGGAUUCUUGGAUAGGGCAAUUGCUGAUUUGUUAUCAACACAAAUCUCAGUUGGCUCUUCUUGUGCCAAACUCAACUCCUUUAGCAAAUUUCUGAGCCAAAUUGCAUGACAAACACUUGAUGUGGCAGCUACAUAUUCAGCUUCACAGGUGGAUAGCGUGACAAUUGGUUGCUUCUUUGACAUCCAUGUGAAAGCAGUAUCUCCUAUGAAGAACACAAAUCCUGUGGUGUUAUUUCGAUCAUCUACAUCUCCACCCCAAUCGCUAUCGCUAUAUCCAACAAGCUUGUAGUCAUUAGAAAAUGAGUAUAGCAAGCCGAAAUUAGUUGUACCUUUGAUGUAGCGAAGGAUUCUUUUUGCAGCUUUAAAAUGGGUGGUCUUUGGAUUCUCCAUGUAUCGGCUCACAAGUCCAACAACAUAAAGGAUAUCUGGUCUUGUGCAUGUCAAAUAACGUAGGCUUCCAACCAAACUUUUAAAGAAUGUUGGAUCUAUAUCUUCGCCUUCAUCAUGUUUGGAUAACUUGACUCCGCAUUCCACUGGCGUGCUUAUAGGCUUACAAUCAUUCAUCUUGAACUUCUUGAGAAUCUCCUCUGCAUAGCUUUCUUGGGAGAUAAAUAUGCUUUCUUCCUUUUGCUUGACUUCAAUGCCGAGGUAAUAUGCCAUCAGUCCGAUGUCAGUCAUCUCGAACUCUUUGAUCAUCACUCUCUUGAACUCUUCAAACAAGCCUGGAUUACUUCCAGUGAAAAUGAGAUCAUCCACAUACAGGCACACAAUCAAAAUAUCUCCAUAUUUUUCUUUGACGUAGAGAGCAUGUUCAUAUGGGCAUUUGGUGAAGCCUUUCUCUUGAAAAUACUUGUCAAUUCUGCUAUUCCAUGCCCUUGGUGCUUGCUUUAACCCAUAAAGAGCUUUCUUCAAUCUCAAAACUUUGUCCUCGUGUCCUUUCACCACAUAGCCUAAUGGUUGUUCGAUGUAAACUUCUUCUUCAAGGAAUCCAUUCAAGAAAGCAGACUUCACAUCCAUUUGAAAAAUCUUCCAUUUGUUCUGAGCAGCCAAAGAAAUAAUAAGUCUAAUAGUUUUAAGUCGAGCUACAGGAGCAAAUACCUCGUCAUAGUCUAUGCCAGCCUUUUGACUAUAGCCUUUUGCAACUAGCCUCGCCUUGUGCCUUUCAAUUUCUCCCUUCGCAUUUCUUUUUGUUUUAUACACCCAUUUGACACCGAUCGCCUUGUGACCUUUUGGAAGAGUAGUAAGCUCCCAAGUAUCAUUCUUCACAAUGGCUUUGAUUUCUUCAUCCAUUGCAAUUCUCCACUUCUCAUCUAGUGCAGCUUCUUGGAAGUUGACUGGCUCACAAUCAGCAAAGAGGCAAAAGAGAGUGAGAUUAUCAUGUCUCUCAGUUACCUCAUAGAGAUCUUGAAGACUCCUUGCACGUUCUUCGGUUCUUUCAUUUAAGAAAGACGGCGGUGAAUCUCCGCAUGUGGUUGGUGCUGGUGAGAUAGGUGGAGUGGCAGGCUCUUGUUGUUCGUCUACUUGUUUUACCUGUGUAUGAUCAUCUUCUUCAAUGGGAAAGAAGUUGAAGUCAUCCACACCAGAGCCAAAAUCUCAUUCUCCUUCUUCAUCAAAAAUUACAUCUCGACUGAUCACAAUCUUUCCGUUGUUUGGAUUGUAAAGCUUGUAUCCUUUGGAGUUGUUGUCGUAGCCGAUGAAGAUGAACAACUCACUUUUGUCAUCCAGCUUGGCUCUACUUUCGUCUGGUACAUGUACAUGGGCAAUGCUUCCGAAAACUCUUAGAUGGGUGAUGCCAGGUUUUCUUCCACUCCAAGCUUCUUGUGGCGUCUUGCCCCACACGCUUCUUGUUGGAGAUCGAUUGGAUAAGUAGAUUGCACAUGCAACUGCUUCAGCCCAAAAUUCUUUAGGUAGCCUCUUACUCUUAAGCAUGCUUCUUGCCAUGUCGAGGAUGGUUCUGUUCUUCCUUUCUGCAACACCAUUUUGUUGGGGGGAUCUUGGAACUGUCAAAGGGCGUCGAAUUCCAUUUGCUUCACAAAACUCUAAAAAUUCUUUGGAAGUGAACUCUCCACCUCGAUCAGAUCUCAUGGCUUUAAUCUGGUAUCCACUUUCUUUUUCAACUGCAGCUUUAAACUUCUUGAAAGCUUCAAAGACUUCUGAUUUUUGCUUCAAAAAAUACACCCAAGUUUUUCUUGAAAAAUCAUCUAUAAAAAGAAUGAAGUAGUUACUUUUACCAAGGGAGUUUGGCUUGAAUGGACCGCACACAUCAGUAUGAAUGAGCUCGAGUGGCUUCUGAGCUCUUGAGUUUGACUCCUUUGGAAAGCUCUUUCUGAACUGCUUGCCAAGUAAACAUCCUUCACAAAGUUGAUCAGGGUGAUUGAUGUAUGGUAAGCCUUUCACCAUGUUCUUCUUAGAGAGUAGCUCCAGUCCUCUAAAGUUGAGAUGCUCAUAUCGAAGAUGCCAAGUCCAGGAUUGAUCUUUGUGACAGGCUUUGAGACAUUUUGCAACAUCAUUUUGAAUAUUUAAAGGAAACAUUCUAUUCUUUGACAUUCUCACUUUUGUAUUUAGAUUUCCUUUUUCAUCUCUUAGAAAAAGACUAUAAUCUUUUAAGUGAAUAUCAUAGCCCUUUUUCUAAAAGUUGACCUAAACUAAGAAUGUUGCUUUUCAUAUUGGACACAUAGUAAACAUUCGAAAUUAUUUGGUGGCUACCAUCUUUUGCACGAAAAAGAAUGUUACCUCUACCCUUCACUGGUACUUUUGAAUCAUCUCCAAAAGUGACACUGCCAUUCACAAAUUCACUUAGUUGCACGAACAUGCUUCUGUUUCCACUCAUAUGAUUGCUAGCACCUGUGUCAAGAUACCAUGUAUUUUCUUGACCUCCAUUUGUGUCAUUGCGUGCUAGUAAAAGUGUGUCAUCUUCACCAUUUUUCUCUUCAGCAUAGUUCACUCUCUCUUUAAUUCUGGUGCUUGGAGCUCUGCAUUCUGAAGCAUAAUGCCCAAACUUUUGACAAUUAUAGCACUGUACUUGGGAUUUGUCAUACCUCGAUCUUGAAUUGCCUCUGCCUUGUUCUCUGGUUGAGCUUUCUCCUUUGGCAUAAUUGGAGUUGUUGUUGUUGAAAUUCCAACCUCGUCCAUGACCACGACCUCUACCUCGUCCUCGACCUCUACCUCGGACAUAGUGCCUUCUCUCAUUGUCGGAGCUUUCUUCUCUUUUCUUUGGAUUGACUUCCAUCUUGAGAAGUUGUUCUUCGAUUCCUUGCUUCUUUUUUUGUUUUUCUUCAUAGGCUUGCAACCUUCCUUGAAGUUGCUCGAUCGUCAUAUCCUCCAGAUCUCUUGUUUCUUCAAUUGUCAUAACAAUAUGAUCAAACUUCGAGUCUACUGAUCGAAGUAUCUUUUCAAUGAUCCUUACCUCUUUUAACUCCUCGCCAUUUCUUUUUAAUUCAUUGGAAACGGUCACAACUCGAGUAAAGUAGUCAGAAAUUGACUCCGACACCUUCAUGUGUAAGGACUCAAAUUCUCCUCGUAAUGUUUGGAGACGAACCUUCUUAACUUGCUCUGCUCCUUUGUAAGAGGUCUUUAGUUUCUCCCAUGCUUCUUUUGAGGAGGUUGUACCAGCAAUCUUUUCAAAAGCAUCUUCAUCUAAUGAUUGAAAGAUGAGAUACUUUGCUUUAUUCUCUUUCUUCUUCAAGUCUUUUAAAUUCUCCUUCUGCGCCGCAGUUAAAGUGGCUUCAUUUUCUGGCACAAUAAAGCCUUUCUCCACGACAUCCCAUACGUCAUGUGCACUCAAUAGAGCCUUCAUUUUAAUACUCCAAUUGUCAAACUUACUUCCUUUUAAUUGUGGAACUUGAAAUGACAUCAUCAUACCACCGUUUGCCAUAACUCACAAAUUGAGUGAGAAUUUGGAGAUUCUGAAUGCACAGAUGGAUCCGGCACGUCGAAAAACCUUGGGAAGGACUCGAGUCAACUUUCGGUCAACGGUCAACGUCGGUCAACGGUCAACACCGGCUUGGUAGUCUCGGUUCGGUCCGGAUUGGUUCAGCUCGAGUUGGCUCGGUUCGACUUGAUUCGGUUCAGCUCGGCUCGGCUUGGUUCAGUUCGGCUCAGCUUGGUUCAACUCGGUGAGUCGACUCAGCUUCAGGACAUAAAACUUCCGGCGGCAGGUGUGGGCGCGUACGGUCUCGGAUCGGGAUGAUUUUUGCGGCGUCACGUUCCUCUCGUCGAGAUCUUCGAUUUGAUAUGCUAUAUGACUAUAUAUAGCAUCAAACACUAGCUCUGAUACCACUUUGUUGGAGGAUUAACAAUUAAAACACACAAAAAACACACUAUUUUAUUUCUUCAACAACACUCCUCACCAAUUACAACUCUUAUUUUUCACUCUCUACACCUUAGAGAUUUUGCUGCUUCACUUGAUGUUUAAACCAAAGGGGAGAGGGGGUAUUUAUACAUGAAACAAACUAAUCACAACCAUUAAUUUAUUCAACUAAUAAACACAUCCUCACCAUCCAUUAAAACCUACUACUCACCUACUUCACCAACCACACCUAACACACCUAACACAAAUAAUUCAAACCUCACCAACCAUACCUACUCAUGGAACCUUCCAUGAGUUGGGCUUGAUUUAUUCAUCUUGGAUCAAGUUUAUGAUCCAACACCAUUAUCCUAUUACUCUUAUUUUAUCACAUGCAGAGACGUCAACGUUUGAUUCGCACGGAAAAAAAUUUGCGAGGAUUGUGAGGGUUGAUUCAAUAUAAUUUAGAUGCAAAGUGUUUACAAGUGCGAUGCUUCGUAAGUGCACCCGAAUCAUUAUAAACUCACCUUAUUUUCAUAGUGAUUAUUUCAUCUGCAUGUGAAUAUAAUCAUAUGUGGAGAUUUUUUUUUUCCCUAAACGAUGAUCUUCUCUAGUAUUGAGGUGUUAUAUCUUUUAAAUUAUAAUUAUUAUUAGUAAAAAACUGCAACUAUGAAAAAUAAAUUUAAUAUUAUGUCCUGAAUAUAAUUGUUAAAUAAUAAUUUUGACAAAAUUAAUGAAUAUAUACAGAUUUUUUUAUCAUAUAAAUGUAAAAUUAUAUCAACUUAGCUUCUAAGCUAUACAACGGUUACUAUUUACUAAAUACUUUAGUGUCGUAGUUUUUAAGAUAUAUUUAUCCACCCUCAAUCCCAAACAUAACCUGUAAGGAUAAAAAAUUUCAUCCUAAAAAUUAUACGUCUUGUGACUUAUUUAAUUUAUAUUUUUGUUAUUUAUAUUUAUUAAUUAUAGUCAUCUUUUAAUAAAUUACAAUUGAAGGAAGGUGGUUGAUGUUGUCGAGACACACACACAAAGAUAUAUUGGAAGUGCUUAUGUCCACUCGAAGUUGUGGGGAGUUAAUGCAUGUAUUGAUUUAUUGGGAGUGUUAAUGCAUGUAUUGAUUGAUUGAGUGAUUGAAUACUGUUUGAUUGCUUCAUAUCAAUUCUAGAAAGUUUAUUUCUUUGUGAAAUUUCAACGAAACGUGUUUUUUAGAAUAAUAAGGGUGUUUUAAGUAAUUUUAAAAAAUGAAUGGACUAAUUAGAAUUAAUUAUUAGGUAAUUAACUCGAAUUGUAGAGGGUAAGCAAACAUUUAUCCUAAUUAUAUUAUGAUAAAUCCUUUUCCAAUUAGAAUUAGGAAACCAUAGAUAUACUGAAUUUUUUUUUAUUUCCCUUCGCGAAAACGGAUCAGAGAAUUAGAAAACAAUCCUAGUGAUACUAUUGUUAGGUUUAAAACACUGCAUAGAUGGUAAAAACAUUGGAAUUGAUGUAGAUUAAUUUGUUAAUUGCUAUCGUACUGAACAUUGUUUUAUGCAAAUUAAUUUGAGAAUUAGAAAAAAGUUUGUUGCAUGCAAACUUUUUGUUUUAUGCAAAUCGUACUGAACAUUGGGACUGAUGUUUAAGAAAAAAAUUCUGUAGUUAAAGAAAAACAAAAAGGCAUGUUGAAUAGAUUACGAUAGUUUAUUCAAUUGGGAAUUUUUUUUCUUUAAUUUUUGUUGUACUUGAUUGAGAUUUCUCUUUAGUCCUUUCGUACUUCCUUUGUAAGCUGAGUAUAAGGAUGAAAUUCUUUUAAGAAAUUAAAAAAGAAAAAAAAGCAUGCCACUACGCAAUUAUAAAUAACCACAAAUAAAUAUAAACAAAAUGUUUAUGAAGUAAAUUAAACAUGCACAUAUUAUUUUCUUUUAUUUGCUGCUUGGAAACCCAUAAAUGCACUAAUCCAAUAUUACAAUUAAUUUCAAACAGAAAAAAUUGAACUCUAGGCUGCAGUUUGACUCAAAAUGAUGACCACUGGCUUCGCACCAUUCAACCGGUAUACAUUUCUACAAACCGAACAACGCUAUUGAUUUUUAUUUUUUUUUUUAAUUUGUCUAUAAAUUACUAUUUUAAUUUUCACUUUUUAUUGGGUUGUUUAACGGAUUAGUGAAGCUGGUGGUCGUUGAUGCACUCAUAAGGUACAAUUUUAUUUUAGAAUUUCAAAUUCGUAUUUUAAAAUGCAGGCACAUUAUGUAUACAUAAUUAUUGAUUUUCAUAUGUGGGUGUUUUGAAAUAUUGCCAAAAGACCAAACUUUAAUAAACUAUUUUUGAUUUUUUUUUUCCUUUUUACCUAAAGUUGGAGUGAUAUCCGCAUUUUAAAUUCAUGUGGAACAAAGCUAAUGUAAGCACAAAAUUCUUUUAUUUUUUCCGAGAAAAAUGGGUAAGAGAAGAAGAUUUUUCUCUUGAAAAAUGAAAAAAAAUACAAUGCAAGCAUAGGAAAGAGGUCAGUGUUUUGGAUUUGAAUUUAGUAUUGAGCUGAAUUUUAUGCUAAGCUCUUUUAUAGUACUGCGAUUAAUAAGCUAGCUCAGGAUUUGCUUUUGCUUUUACUUCAAGUAAAAGAAAGAGGAAGCCUUUUGUUUUUUUGUUUGAUUUUUGACUAUAUAUGUUACCUAUAUAGAGAGUUGAGGUAGCAGCCUUAAGUGAUGGUGAUAAAAAGAUUAAGCAGUGCACACAAUCUUACUGUCAUCCAGACCAUCCAGUGAUGGCUCUAGUUUUUUUGUUACGUUAGCUUUAGUGGAAAGAAGGGCCAAUUUAACAAAGACUAGAUUUGGUGGCUUACUAUGUUUAAUGUAAUGCUUAUUCUCAGCGCACACAAUCUUACUAUGUUUAAUGUAAUGGUUAUGUUGAAUGAUCUUCUAUGAUUGUGAGUAGUAUAGUAUAAUUGAAAAGGGCCUGGGCUCCUAUGAUGAAUAACAGUAACACAUUACUGUGAUUGAGAAAACUCAGUUCCAAUAAACUCUUCAUUUACUCAUUGCGGAGAUCGAAUGGCAAACAGAGAAUAGAAUGAAGCAGAAGAAUCUCAUUGUUAGGUUUUGAUGAUUUCAGAUGCUUUUUUUUUAAAAAAAAAUUGUGACAUCUUUGAUUUACGGCAGUUUUGCAGAAAAAAAAAACAUAUAAAAAUUAAGAGGGAUGAGUUAACUGACGAUUACAAUCAUUACAGCAAUGCUGAUGAGUGAUAUAUCACUUGAAAUUUACUUGUCAGUUGCUGAAAUGAUGAAAAAAAACCAACAAACGAUAACAGUAAUAAUGUUCCCUUGCUGAAAUUCAAUUUUGACUUUCGACUCUUGGCUUUUAUGGAGAGUAAAAUGACUUGUAUAUUAUACUCAUACAAUCCACUCUACAUAAUGAUAUCGUUUUAAUAAGGCAAUGGCUGAUGAUCUCCAUUUAAAAACUACAUCAAUUUUUUUGCUUCAUUUAACUUUUUGGUUGUUGAAAAUAACCUUAAUUAUCAAAUAAUUGGAGAAAGAGUUAAGAACAUUUAACAAAUUUAUGUGCAAAAAAAAAAAAAAAAGGAAGAAGUUGAAGAGAAAGGGUGCUUGCAGAAGUGGGUGUCAAAGAUAAAUCGGUCCAUAAGAAUUAUUGUGGUUAUUUUUUGGCAAUAUAAAAAUUUUUUAGCAAGUAAAAAUAAUUUUUUUUCCGAUUUACUAAAAAAUUAACUAAAAACUUCUGCGAUGUCAUUUUUUAUGGGUGCAUAUACCCUCCCUUUAAAAAAUUUAUAAUAAUUACUGCUUAAUAUAGUAUUAAAUACGAAAAAUAUCAAUAUUUGACUACUCAAAUUUAUAUCAUUAGGUCCUUAAAAUUUAAAAUGGAAGAUAUGAAAGGAAAUAUAUAUAAAUUUCAUUGUCCUGGGAAAGGACCCUCUUAUUAUCUUAUAAUAUUUGAAAUUUGAUAGAUUUUUUGAAACAAAUGUACUUUUAUUUGUGUACAAUCAAUAUUUACUCAUUUAUUAUAUUUUAAUUUAUUAACUAUCAAUCAUGUAAGUAUACUUAGUCAAAAAAAUUAUAUCAAGAGAGAAUUCUAAUUUCACGCAAAAACAAAUACCAAAACAAAUAUCUCAAUUUCUAUACUAUUCACUUUCCUGUAGAAUCAAUUAUUUAAAAUGCAAGUUUGUGGCUACAGAAAACUCGCCAAAGAAAGAAGAUAAUAACAAUUGAGCAUUGAUGGCAAAACUAAUGCAUCCAAUUCUUCUUGACUUGAUGAGAUGGCGCCAUAACGUAGAAACAAGUACCUAAAUUGACCGGCACUGAGUGGUGUGAAUACUACCAGCCAGUUCAUCUCUUCCAGUCUUGCUUAAUCACAAUCACAAACACCACGAGAUCGACAUUUGCAUUAUAUAUAUCUUCUGCAAUCGAAACACCUUGCAUUACCAAAUAAGCCCGUAACAGACAAAGCAAUCUUUCAUGGAGAGAAACCUUAGUCUCAGUAUGAUCACUGUGUCAUUAACGUACUGCCUGCUUCUUUGCUUGGUUGCUGCAGCAGCAGCAGCGGCAAGCAACAAUAUUACCACAGACCAACAAGCUCUUCUUGCCCUGAAAGAUCAUAUAAUUUAUGAUCCGACCAGCCUUUUAGCUCACAAUUGGACCUCGAAUACCUCUGUUUGUACCUGGAUUGGCAUCACUUGUGAUGCCAAUAGCCAUAGAGUCACAACCUUAGAUAUUUCUCAAUUCAAUCUACAAGGCACCAUCCCUCCUCAACUUGGGAACCUCUCUUCACUCACAACACUUAAUCUUAGUCAUAACAAGCUUUCUGGAAACGUUCCCUCCUCCAUCUACACCAUGCAUACGCUAGAAUUUCUUGACUUCACUGAUAACCAGCUCUCUGGUUCAGUGACUUCCUUCGUCUUGAACAUGUCUUCAAUAUUAGACAUUCGUUUGACCAAUAACAGACUUUCUGGUGAGCUUCCGAAAAAUAUUUAGAGCUAUCUUCCUCAUUUGAAAGCCCUUUUUUUGGACAAAAACAUGUUUCAUAGCAAACUUCCUUCUGCUUUAUCAAAGUGCAAACAACUGCAACAAUUAAAUUUGAAGUUCAAUAAUUUAUCCGGUGCAAUACCAAAAGAAAUCGGCAACUUGACUAUGCUCAAAGGGAUAGACCUCGGCUACAACAAACUCCACGGUAUGUUCAUAAUACUAUACAAAUAUUAUCUUUCUUGAAUACUUUAGAUAAGAUCUUGUAUGUGAGAUUUUUUUGCAUCUAUAUUAAUUUUCCAGGUGAGAUACCGCACGAAAUCGCUAAUCUUCCAAAUCUAGAGGCUUUAGCGCUUGGAAUGAACAACCUAGUUGGUGUGUUACCAGCUCCAAUCUUCAACAUGUCAACACUGAAUGUACUUAUCCUCAUAAAUAACUCUCUCUCCGGUAGUCUUCCAUCAAGAAUGGACCUUUCACUUCCAACUAUUGAGCAUCUUAACUUUGCACUUAAUAGAUUUUCUGGAACAAUUCCUAGUUCCAUAACCAAUGCUUCUAAGCUCACAUUUCUAGAGUUGGGAGGAAACACAUUUUCGGGCUUUAUUCCAAACACAAUUGGUAAUUUAAGAAACCUUGAGUUGUUCGGCUUGGUUUUUAACUACUUGACAUCUUCGAGCUCAAAAUUGAGCUUUCUUUCCUCUUUGGCAAAUUGCAAGAAAUUAAGAGUCAUAGGCUUAACAGGCAAUCCACUCAACGGCAUCCUUCCAAGUUCAGUAGGUAAUCUUUCUAUGUCUUUGAAAACACUUCACAUCGCCAAUUGCAGUAUUAGUGGCAACAUUCCUCCAGCAAUUAGCAAUUUAAGCAACUUGUUGGCCUUAGUAUUAGAAGGCAAUAAAUUGACUGGACCAAUCCCAACUACAUUCGGCCAACUACAGAAACUCCAAGGCUUAGAUCUCGCAUUCAAUAAGUUGGUAGGUUCAUUCCCAGAUGAGCUUUGCCAUCUAGCUAGGCUGGAUGAAUUGGUCUUAUUUGGCAAUAAGCUUUCAGGAUCUAUACCUUCAUGCUUAAGUAACCUCACUUCUCUGAGAUCUCUCCACUUAGGGUCCAAUAGGUUUACUUAUGUCAUUCCCUCAACUUUCUGGAGCCUAAAAGACAUCUUGUUCUUUGACUUUUCAUCAAAUUUCUUGGUUGGUCCUCUUUCUUUAGACAUAGGAAAUUUGAAGGUGCUUCUAGGAAUAAAUUUAUCAGAAAAUAACUUAUCGGGUGAUAUGCCAGCCACAAUUGGAGGACUAAAAAACCUUCAAAUUAUGGACCUAACAUAUAAUAGACUGGAAGGGCAAAUUCCUGAAUCAUUUGGUGACUUGACAAGUUUGGAGGUUUUGAAUUUGUCAAAUAAUAAAAUCUCUGGGUCUAUUCCAAAAUCCAUGGAGAAACUCUUUUACCUUCGAGAGUUAAAUCUCUCUUUCAAUGAACUAGAAGGUGAGAUUCCUAGUGGAGAAAUUUUUACCAACUUCACAGUUGAGUCAUUUAUGGGAAAUGAGUUAUUGUGUGGUUUACCAAAUCUUCAAGUCCAACCAUGCAAACUUAGCAAGCCAAGGACAGAACAUAAAUCAAGGAAAAAGAUACUUCUCAUUGUGAUUGUUUUGCCAUUGAGUAUUGCUCUAACAAUAGCAAUCACUCUACCUCUCAAAUCUAAGCUGACCAAAUGUGGAAAAAGAUGCACAGUGUUGUCAAAUGAUAGUGUCUUGUCAUCACAAGCAACACUAAGAAGAUUUUCAUACUUAGAACUUUUACAAGCAACAGAUAAUUUUGCUGAAAACAACGUAAUUGGCAUAGGUGGUUUUGGUUCUGUUUAUAGAGCAAGACUUGAAGAUGGGAUGAAGAUUGCAAUAAAAGUGUUUCACCAGCAAUGUGCAAGCGCAUUGAAGAGUUUUGAGGCUGAAUGUGAAGUGUUAAAAAAUAUUCGCCAUCGAAAUCUUAUCAAAGUUAUCAGCAGUUAUUCAAACAAUGACUUCAAAGCAUUAGUCCUAGAAUACAUGUCCAACAGGAGCUUGGGGGAUUGGUUGCAUUCCAGCAAUUAUAUGCUGAAUAUAUUUCAAAGGUUGAACAUAAUGAUUGACGUUGCAUCAGCUUUGGAAUAUCUCCACUUCGAUCAUUUACCUCCUAUUAUUCAUUGUGACUUAAAGCCUAGUAAUGUAUUGUUGGAUGAAAAUAUGGUUGCUCAUUUGAGUGAUUUUGGCAUAGCAAAGCUUUUAAUUGGGGAGGAUGUGUAUGUCAUGCGAACAAAAACCCUUGCCACUAUAGGUUACAUCGCACCAGGUUUGCUUCAAACAACUUUUUUUUAGUUCAUUUUAAAUUUUCUAAAUCAUUGAUUUUUACGAUCCUCAUAUCAAAUUGUUAUUGAUUAUUUAUCUAAUUGUGAAAUUAAUUUGAUUCAUAGAGUAUGGCAUAGAAGGAGAAAUAUCUACAAAAAGUGAUGUUUACAGCUAUGGGAUUAUGUCGAUGGAAACUUUUACCAAGAAAAAACCCACAGAUGAAAUUUUUGUUGGAGAAUUGAGCUUAAAGCGUUGGGUUGAUGACUUGCUUCCUGAUUCAUUAGUGGAAGUUGUGGACAAAACUCUAGUAAGUGGAGAGGAAAAACAUUUUGCCGCAAAGGAGCAAUGUCUGUUGUCUAUCUUUAGUUUGGCUCUGGAGUGUACAAUGGAAUCACUGAAAAAGAGGAUCAAUGCAAAAGAUAUUGUUACCAGAUUACUCAAGAUAAGAGACACAUUGAGUAAAAGGAUAGGAAAUUUAAGUUAAUAUCGUUUGCUUUCAUUGAUAGUUAUUUUGAAUUCAUGUAAUAAGUGUACGAACCUUAUAUCUUUUCCUUUGAUAUUUUUUUCCUUGAGAAAACUAUUGUAGUCAUCUUAUUUCCAUGGGCAGAGUUGAUUUAGUUCUUCCAAGAAAUGCUACUGAUGACCUUUGUUUUAUACUUUCUCUUUUUUUGCAUGUGUUUAGGUAGAACAGUGGUUUGGCUGCAGGCUAAGAAGACUAACUACACUAAAAGAAUAUGAUUUAAUUUAUUAAACAAAACUUCAAGAAAAGUAUUUCACUGCCCCCAAUGCUUUGGACACCUACUGGUGGGUUUGUACGUGUCCUCAACUUUUUUUUGGAGCACAAAAUUCGAGUCCCAUGGAGACUCAAACAUUCCUUUCCCACAUCUCGAGCACGCUAAAUUUAUCAGACUGACAACUGGGACAUAUACAAGAGUGAAAUGUUUAGAGCACUCUAAGUUCGAGUGAAAGAGAUUAAUUUACAGAAAAUAAAGCCAAGGGUUCAGAAAAAAGUGCAAAGAGAAUAAAGGAACGUCUGAGCUAUUUAAAGCUUCAUGGAAAGUUGAAGGCUCUCCAUAUUUUGUUAGAAGAUAGUAUGCAACAUUGAUCUCUGUGACAUACUCCGAGUGCCACGUUGGCGGUCGUCUCUCACGAGUUGACCGACGAAUUUCUUGAGCCUCGGACUCGACUAGUUCUUGUUCCUCGUGCUCUGGUGCUGCUUCAGAAGAAUUUGAAUCUUUUGAAUUAUUUUUCACAUAUACCGGUACAGUCUCUGACUUUUCUUUUACAGUGCUAUCAUCCUCAUCUUUCCUUUGCAAUUGAUCUUCUAUAAAAAUAACAUCUCUGCUGAUGACGAUCUUGUGGGCAGUGGGAUCCCACAGACGAUACCCUUUUACUCCAUCAGCAUAUCCCAAGAAGAUACAUCUUCUAGAUUUUGCAUCCAGUUUUGUUUUUUCUUGAGCAUUGUACAUCACGUACACAGGACAUCCAAAUGUAUGUAGGUAGGAAUAAUCAGCUGGCUUUCCAGUCUAUAUCUCCAUCGCUGUCUUCAGCCCAAUUACUGUAGAUGGUGAUCGAUUUACUAUAUAACAGGCAGUUUUGGCUGCUUCUACCCAAAAUGAAUUGGGUAGACCAGCAGUCCUCAACAUAGCUCUUAUCCGUUCUGUAAUAGUUCUAUUCAUCCGCUCUGCCACUCUAUUUUGUUGAGGAGUGUAUGCCACCGUGAACUGUCUCUGAAUACCUUCUUGCUUACAGAAAACAAGAAACUCGCCGUCUAUAUACUCUCCACCAUUAUCUGUCCUCAAGCACUUGAUCUUUUUACCAGAUUCAAGUUCUACCGUGCUUUUAAACACUGGAAAUACAUCUGACUUUUUCUUAAUUGGAUACACCCAACAUCUUCUGGAAUAAUCAUUAAUGAAAGUCACCAUGUACUUUGCACCUCCCAUGGAUAUAUCCGGUGAUUCCCAAAUAUCAAAAUGAAUCAAGUCUAUAAUGCAUUUACUUCUAGCAAUAGAUCUACUGAAUUUUAAUUUAUGCUGCUUACUUGUAACACAAUGCUCGCAAAAUGGUAAACUUACCGAUUUGAGCCCCGGAAGCAAUUUUCGCUCAAAGAGAAUCUUCAAUCCUUGUUCUGACAUGUGGCCAAGUUUGAGAUGCCACAUCAUCGUUGACUCUUCUCCAUUUGACGCGACACAUGCAUCAGCCUCUUGUAGUGUUUCUCCUUUAAGCAUGAAUAAAUUAGCACCGAUCUUUUCUGCCUUCAUCAAUACAAACGCACCUUUAACGAUCUUCAUAAUUCCAUUCUCCACAUGAGUUUUGUACCCAUGACUAUCCAUUUGUCCCAAAGGUAAAAGAUUUUUCUUCAGGCCGUUGACAUGUCGUACCUCCCUAAUUGUGCGAAUUGUACCAUCAAACAUUUUUAUUUUGAUAGUACCAAUACCAACGAUCUCCAAGGCAUGAUCAUUACCCAUAUAUACAGAUCCUCCUGAGAUAGGUUCAUAUGUGUGGAACCAUUCUCUCCGAGAGGUCAUGUGUCAGGUAGCUCCUGAGUCUAUAAGUCAGACAUCAGAUAGUCGUUUUCUGCCUUCUAAAACAGUUGUUGCCUCGCUGUAGAGAAUUUCGCCAUCAUCCGAGGUACUUACGACACAACCCUGAGCAUUUGAUGACUUAGGUUCUUUGCCCACUCUUGUCUUCUAAUUACUCCAACACUCUUUCUUGACGUGCCCUUUCUUGCCACAGUUGUAGCAUUUAACAUUCUUCUUACUUCUAGAUUUUGAUCUACCAUGAUUUUGACUCCCAUUGGGGCCACGUUCCGUUGAUCUCCCUCUCGUCACCGAUAGCGCCUCCGCUUGCUGCGAACUUGCUUGUCUGUUUUUCUUAUUUUUUCGUCUGCUUUCCUCAUUUAAUACAGAGGCUGCAACAUCGUCGAAAACUAGACUGUCCACUGGAUUGCUGUUCGUUAGGUUGAUGAUGAGUUGAUCAUACGAAUCUGGUAGACUUUGAAGUAGAAGCUCUGCACGUUCAUUCUCCUCUAUAUUAUGACCCAACGUUGUAAGUUGUGAAAAUAGAGUCUUCAAGGUGUUGAUGUGAUCGGUUACCAUUAUAGAUUCCGCCAUUUGAAGAGUAUAAAGUUUCCUCUUCAAGAAGAUUUUGUUGUGUAGUGACUUGGCCUCGUACAAUUUUGUGAGAGUAUCCUAAAUUUCCUUCGCUGUAUUUUUCUUUGCCACACUGGAUAAUACUCCGUCUGCAAGUGCCAAGUGUAGAUCAGAAAUGGCAUUGCCAUCUAUCUCGUUCCACUUGUCAUCAGUUAUCUCCAUGGGCCUUUCUCCAAUUGCUUCCAAGUAAUUAUUUUUCCUCAAUACAACUUUCAUCUUAAUUUUCCACAACGAAAAAUUAUUUUCGUUAAAUUUCUCAAUUUCAUACUUUGCUGUCAUUUUGUUGAUAAAUAUUGUACACAAACUAGUGUAUCACCUUGAAUAGUUGUGAGUAUGUGUAAGAAUGCACACCAGAAAAGUUCCUAGGAAAGACUGGAGGGGUCACAAUAGUCCCACUUAAAACUCAGACUCCUUAAGCUCUUAUCGCCUUUGUGACAGAACUUUCCUAGACAUGUAUAAAACCACACAAUUGCUUUACUCACACCACUAUUCCCUGCUUUGUACCGCCAAAUUCUUCGAUCGCUCCCACCGUUUCACGUGAAUAGUACUGUAUACGUGAACAGUACCGUGUACGUGAAUAGUAUCCCUUACGUGAACAGUACCCAACUCUAAAAAAUACAAUAAAUAGCUCUGAUACCACUGUUAGGAAAUUGGUGGGUGAAGCAGGACCGCAGCUAAUAUGAAAUUGGAAGAAAAUAAAGAACAAGGACAAAAAGAGGAUACCAGAAAUUACGUGGUUCGGCUUUUAACCUACGUCCACGGGCGAAAACAGAAGGAAAUAUUUUACUCGUAAAAAGGAGUUACAAGUAUUGUAGUAUUUUAGCUCACUUUCCAAAAUCCCAAUACACCCAAACUCUCAAAACACUAAAACAAGAGCUUAUAAUUUCAAGCUCUCUAAACUCUCUCUAAAUACAAGAAAACUCUUCUCAAAAUUGGAUAAGCAAAUGAGGGAAUGAGCCCCUCUAUUUAUAGCCAAAAUCUUGGCUACUAUUCACUUUUUUUUAAAAAUUAUUUAUUAUUGUUCAAAAUUUCAACAUUCAAAGUUUGAUAUUCAAACUUUGAAUAUCUAGAAUUUUGAAUUUGAUAUUCAAAGUUUGAAUAUCUAGAAGUUUGAAUUUGAUAUUCAAAGUUUGAAUAUCAAGACACCCAAUCUUGACACUAAAUUCACCAGACUGACAACUGGGGCAUAUAGAAGAGCGAAAUAACUGGGACAUAUACAAGAGUGAAAUGUUUAGAGCACGCUAAGUUCGAGUGAAAGAGAUUAAUUUACGGAAACUGAAGCCAAGAGAAUAAAGGACAACACUUACGUGAAGCGACAUAAUUGUAUUGAAAGCACAAUGUCAAAUUCAUACGGAGAUCUAGUAUAUUAUUUACAGCUGGUGAGGGCUAAGAAUUGAUGUAGCUAGAAUACAAAGACGAUAAGGUAUGUUGUGCACUAUUGUUUUAUUCUACGAUCAAUCUUGACCCUUGAUGCUUGGCUCUCAAUCUUGUCCAUUGAUCUUCUUUGAUUUUGGACACUUCAAGACCUUUCAGUAUCAUUCCUUGUUGUUGGUGUCUUCCGUGCUGUAGAAUUCAUAUACAAGCCUUCCCGCCGACUUGCCAAGUAUUCGUUCAUUGAUGCAUUUUUAUCAAACAGCUGGGCUACUUAUGCCAAACACCGCCUGGUUUAACUCCCCCUCUCUAGCUCAACUAUCUGGGAAGACAAUUAAUUGAGAUAUGAAUCAGAAAAUUAAAUUUUAAAAAUUGUAUUCGGACUCUACAUUUUGUAAUGAACAUUGGUUUGACUUGUUAUACAUUUAUGCGUACAUAAUUAAUAACCGAUUCUCAAGUGCGGACAUUCAAGAGCACUGCUUAAAGACCAAAUAUUUUGAUUUACUAUUUUUUGUCUUUCAAUUUUCUUUUAAGUUCUGAUGACGUCCGCAUUUUAAAAUCCUGUGGAACAAAGGCCUGACGUGCAUAUAAAAUUCUUUUAUUUUUUCAGAGGAAAAUGGGUUAGAGAAGAAGAUUUGGCAAAAGAAUUGCAACGGCAUUUGAAACUAGUCUUCGUCUUUUAAUUCUUUUAUAUUUGUUUUUGUUAUUGAUGUUAGCUUGGAUGUGAACCCGUGUGACUGAAUUCAACUUAUAUUUGUUUUUGUUAUUGUUAUUAAUUUUAUUUGUUUUUGUUAAAUUGGACCACCAACAAGGGCGGUCCAUUAUCAAAUCAACACGGUUUAAUUAUUAUUAUUUCUACACUUUUUUUAUGAACAAAUAUAAAAUAAAAGGACAUUUACACCCUCAAUUUUAGUGAAAUAGUCAUUAACACCCCUAAAUUUUUAAAAGUAGACAUCAAGAUCAUUUUUUUACCUUAAUACUCUUAUACGGUACCUCUAUUAUUCCCAAAAAUUGAUUCUAAUGUUUUAUAAUAAAUAAAAAUAAAACAUUAAAAUAAAUGUAAUAACAUAUAUAUUUUAAAAUAAUUUCAAUAUUUAAAAAAUAUUUUUAACAUUUUACAAUCUAUUAACUAUAUUUUAUUAUAUUGAAGUAAAUUUUAUAAUAAAUAGAAUCAUAUUAUUAAAAUAAAUGUAUUAAAAUUUAAAUGAUUUUGAAUAUCAUGUACAAUAAUAAUUUUAACAUUACUAAUAUGUCAGAUUUUUUUUUAAGAAUGUAUUUAGUGCAAAUAUUUCUUUCAAAUCUCCACAAUAAAUAAAAGAUUAAAAUAAAUAUAAUAAUUUACAUAUCUAAAUUUAUUAAAAUAUUUUAAUAUUGUUAGUCUACUGCAUAGAUCACAAUAUUUAUAUAAUAUUUGUAUUUAUUAAAAACUUUAAAAUCAAUUCUUUUGAGAAUAAUAGAGGUAAAGGGUAUAAUGGUCAAAAUGGGGACUUUGUACUCCUUUUUGAAAACUUGAAGGUGUUGGUGGCUAUUUUUCCAAACCUUCAGGGUGUAGAUGUCAUUUUUCCACAAAUAUAUGAGAAAAUUAUCAAGAAAUACAGUAUCUGAACUCUGAAGUAACAAGGAUCACCUUUUAUGAAAUCGAUUGCUUUUCAUGAUAGACUGUUACUAUUUUUCUACAAUAGAUUGAAUUUAGUAAAAAAUUGAUUAAGAUGUCUACUCAUGGAGAGUGAAAUUUAUGUUCAAUACUAAUUUCAACAUGCAUGCACCACCGAACGUGUUUCUCACGGAAAAGUUGCUUGGAUUUUUGGGACUUCCUGUUCAAAUAUUCAACACGGCAUGCACCACGCGAUUGAACAUGCAAAAGUAGGGGUCUAUUAUCAUUUCCAGCAUUAUAGAAAUCUUAAUUUUGUUCAUUAUUUAUUUUGAUCAGCACUGUUGAAUCUCCAUGUAUUGCCAAUCACUGGGAAACAACAUAUUCUUAUUAAUUAUAUCCUCUAAUGGAGAGAACUCAUUGUCUCAGUGUAAGAUCACUGUGUCAUUAACCCACAGCCUGCUGAUUUGCUUGGUUGCUGCAGCAAGCAAAAAUAUUACCACAGAUCAAAAAGCUCUUCUUGCCCCAAAAGAUCACAUAACUUAUGCUCCAACCAAUCUUUUGACCGAAAAUUGGACCUCAAAUACCUCUGUUUGUACGGGGAUUAGCAUCACUUGUGAUGUCAAUAGCCGCAGCCUUGGAUAUUUCUCAAUUCAAUCUACAAGGCACCAUUAUUCCAAACACAACUGGUAAUUUAAGAAACCUUAAGUGGCUCGGCUUGGCUUAUAAACUACUUGACAUCUUCAACUUCAAAAUUGAGCUUUCUUUCCUCUUUGGCAAAUUGCAAAAAAUUAAGAAUCUUAGGCUUACUGGAAAUCCACUUGACCGUAUCCUCUCACGUUCAAUAGGUAAUCUUUCUAUGUCUUAGGAAAGAUUUCACGUCGCCAAUUGCAGCAUUAGUGGCAGAAUUCCUCAAGUAAUCAGCAAUUUAAGCAACUUGUUGGCAGUUGUGCAAAAUUUUAAUAUACUCGCAAGUGCACGAAUCUAGAAAUAGAAUAAUGGUAAUGAGGUCAAACCCAUAGGGAUUGUUUUAAAAUGACAAAAGAAUAGCUGCUGGUCUAGAGGUGGCUUACUACAUUCAUACAAGAUCGUUUCUUGUUCUCUAAGAUGUGCAUUAUACUAAUAAUGCUAUACAAACUUAUCCAAAGGUCUAUUAAUUAAUUCAUUAAUCCAACGGCUUGUUAGGUUGUCCUUUCAUCCAUACAGCUGCAUGCUUGUCUUCAUAUACACUGAUCUUAUCCUCUAGAUCUGUUCAGGCUGAGUGAUCUCUCACAUUUGCCAUAUCAGAAGAUUACAUGCCAGUAAUGUCAUGUGAUGACCUGUUGCUUGGUGAUGUCGAAUGCCUGGCCUUUACUUCUCUGAGCAAAUUGAUCAAACAAUUUGUUCAUUUUAUCGAACACCUUCACCAACUAACAUUUUAUUUACUUUGGAUGGUUUUUAAGUGCAUUUAAUGAUUAUUUUUGCUCCAACUUCAGAUAAACCAAACGCCAGUAUAUUAGAAGAAGAAGUUAACUGGCAGCUAACCAGGUCAAAAUAGCGACUCUAUAUAAAAAAAAUAUAUAAAAUAAAAAAAUGGGACUUUAUUUAAUUAAUUGUUGGUCUAAAGCUGUUGGUAUCCGUUGGCCACGUUUCUGAAGAGUCAUCUCAAAUCGAAAUUUUUAACGAACAAAGGACAUUGCUGCUGGCUGCCGCCCGUGAGAUAAAAGUGCUAAAAUCCAAAAUGUUCCACCAUCAUUUAUUCUAAUUUUAAUUUUCCAAUGGAAAAAAUUACAUAAUUAAAAUGGCUUCUAAUAUCAUUUCCACACCUCAAUAUGUGUCACUAUCAUAAAGUUGUUCUCAUGAUUCAUGGAAAAUUUGGAUUACAGCACCUGUACUUUCUGAUGGUUCAUUAUUUAUUCUCAGGAAUCGAGUCUCCUUACAUUACCAAACUAAUAACAAACAGGAAUCUUUUAUCCUUUCACGGUGAGAAAUUACAGUCUUCGUAUGAUCGCAGUGCCAUUAACCCACUGCCUGCUUCUUUACUUGGUUGUUGCAGUAGCAGCAGCAAGCUACAUUACCACAGACCAACAAGCUCUUCUUGCCCUGAAAGCUCAUAUAAGUUAUGAUCCAACUAAUCUUUUGGCUCAAAAUUGGACCUCAAAUACCUCUGUUUGUAACUGGAUAGGCAUUACUUGUAAUGUCAAUAGCCAUAGAGUUACAGCAUUUGGAUGAAUUUUUAUUGAAACCUUUCUGAGAAGUAGGACAUGUCAGACAUCAAAGCACUGAGAUAUCUUCAAAUAGUGGUAACCCCACUCAUCAAGGCACAAUAAAUUAUACAGAUAAAAUCCUCCACUCUUUCGUAAUCAUCGGUGUAGGCACGGUGAUGCGUCGGACAGAUAUGGGUCGGAUCCACUCCAGCUCCAUAUCAAGAUUCAUAAACCAUGACAAAAAUAGAGAAUCAUAGGUGUUGCAGAUAGUGAUGGUUGUUGAUGCACUCGUAAUUUAAAAUUUUAUUUUAUAUCUUCAAGUUCGCAUUUUAAGUGUACAUUUUUUUUUUAUUUUGUGAUCAAUAUAACUUGUCAAAUCUAUUUUUAAAUAAUUUUUUAAAACAUUUUAUUAACAAUGAUAUGAAAAUAUUCGACCCCUUUUCAUAGUAAAGUGAAUUAUUAUCCGACAAUCCAACUCAUGUUUUCAAAUUGUAAAUUGCAAAUCGUGUGUUUGCUCCUGUUAGAGUGCAAUUUAUGCACUAGUUUUGCAUUGUUUACUUCCCUUAAUAUCGAUGUUUUGCACUUAAUAAUAAUGAUUUACUUGUGUUUUACUUUUGUAGGUGCAAUUCUAUUGAUUUGUGAUAAAAUUGAGCUAUAAGAUGAUGUUUAAAGAUGAUUGUUCUCUUGGAGAAAUGAUGAGCGUCAGAAGAACUUUGUUGAUAAGGCGUGAGCGCGUGCUGUCAACUACGGGCCUGCUGUUUUUAGUUUAACGUGUUUUGUAUUUUUGGUUAUUUUUGUAAUUACGAAUUUAAUAUUUCAGAUAUUAGUAUUUUAUUUUAAAUAGAAUUCUAGAGGAGAAGAGAGAGAGAGUAUUUAAGGGAGGAAUCUAUUGUGAAAAAAGGGGAUUUUGGAUUGGAGGAAAAGAAAAGAAACCCUAGAUCUAAUUUUUCUCUUCUCUCUAUGAAGAACUAAACUUAUUUUUCUGGUUGAAGGAUAAUGAAGCUUUGAUUCAUCACUACUGUGAGAUCUUUCUUGUGCUUUAAUUGUUUUAUUGCUUUUUGGGUAUUUGUUUAUUCUCUGAAUUAUUUUCAUGAUUAUGUUUGUUAAUUAGAUAAUUGGCCACUAUUUAAUUAUCAACUUAAUCUAUUGUUAAUUAAAGGAUUUAUCGUAUGAAGAAUUUAAUGUUUGUGACAAAUAACAUAGCAGAGAGUUGUGUUGUGAGAAUAAACAAUCUAAUUUAAAUGAAUCAUCAUAUGUGUUGAUUAGGAUUUAGGUCUCUCUGGUUUUUCAGGCUGUCAAUUGAUUAAAUCCUAUGAUCGUAUCUAGGGUUGUCCAUUGAUUAGGGAAAUAUCCAACGGUCGUACCUUGGUUAUCGACUAAUUAAGGAGAGAUUGGCUAUUAGAGGGUCUCAGUAGCUAUAACCGGUCUAUUCAUAAGUAAUAAUAAUUUAUAUUUGAAUCAAUGAUCAGUAGUCGAAUCAAGCUGAGUUAAUUCCUUCAACCGGAGCUUUCUCCAAUUUGAAUUACAACUUUAAUUUGCAUUCUUGUUAUUUUAAUUUGAUUUUUAUUAUUGUCAACAAUUCCCCCAUUUUACGUUUUACGUUUCAAAAGGAUUUAAAUAAUUACCGAUCUCUGUGGACACGACCCUGCUCAAUCACUAUACACAAUUUAUUUAGAGUAGGAAUUUAUUUUUGUUGGCUUCGACAACCAUCAAAUUUUGGCACUGUUGCCGGGGAUUGGUGUCAUUUAUUUAAUCCUUUUUACGUUUUACUUGGUGUAUGAUUCGUUCUUCUCGUACAGGUACACUUUCGUUUGAUCCUGAAAUUGAGAAGAUAGCUCGCCACCUGAGACAGCAGACGAAGCGAGCUAAGCAACGAUCCUCGUCACCUUUGCUUUCUGAAACAGAUACGGUGCUUGAUUUAGUUGAAUCAUCUAGCGAUUCGGAAGAACAAGUGAUGGAUAGAGUUGCACCUGUAGAAAGAACUCUUAGAGAGUUAGCUGAACCAGACUUGAAUCAACAACCACUCUGCAUUCAAUAUGUAGACUUGGAGGUAAAUUUUGAAUUAAAGUCUGGUCUUAUUCAUUUAUUACCCAAGUUUCGUGGUUUUGCAGGUGAAGAUCCUCAUAAACAUCUUAAGGAGUUUCAUGUUGUGUGUUCAAGUAUGAGGCCACAAGGCGUGACUGAAGAGCAGAUUAAGCUGCGUGCUUUUCCGUUCUCUGUAGAUGGGCUAGCUAAAGACUGGUUGUACUACUUGCCUCCUGGAUCGAUUACAACGUGGAAUGGUUUGAAGAAGCAAUUCCUCGAGAAGUACUUUCCUACUUCAAGAGCUGCCAACAUCAGAAAAGAUAUUUGUGGGAUCAGACAACUUCCUGGGGAGACUUUGUAUGAGUAUUGGGAGCGAUUUAAACAAUUGUGUGCCAGCUGUCCUCAGCAUCAGAUUUCUGAUCAACUUCUUAUUCAAUAUUUUUACGAAGGACUGUCAUUGAUGGAUAGGAGUAUGAUAGAUGCUGCUAGUGGAGGCGUGUUGGUGAACAAGACCCCUACUCAAGCAAGGGAGCUGAUAUCAAAUAUGGCUGCCAAUGCACAACAAUUUGGCAGCAGGCAAGAUCCCACUUCAAGGAAGGUAAAUGAGGUAAAUAUUUCUUCUGUUGAACAACGUUUAGAUAAACUUACUUCUCUUGUGGAAAAGUUUGUUGUAGGUAAUGUGCAACAUAUGAAGACUUGUGGCAUUUGUUACAAUAUGGGUCAUUCAAUUGAUAUGUGUCCUACACUUCAAGAAGAACCCGUUGAACAAGCCAAUGCAAUUCAAGGAUUUCCAGGCAUGCCUCAGAGGAGGUAUGAUCCUUAUGCACAAACAUACAAUCCGGGAUGGAAGGAUCAUCCCAACUUCAGCUAUGGAGUUAGGCCGUCAGGAUUCCCACAACAGUAUCCACCAAGACAACCAGCACCUCCACAGUCAAACUCCAAGUCAGGUAUAUCUCUUGAAGAAAUUGUUAAAUCACUUGCGACUAACACUCAACAAUUUCAGCAGGCAACUACAGCAAGCAUUCAGAAUUUGGAGAACCAAAUGAGUCAAUUGGCGAUUACAGUGAGCCGUCUGGAGUCUCAAGUAUUAGGGAGAUUGCCUUCACAAUCUGAGGUGAAUCCAAAGCAAAACAUUAGUGCUGUCAUCCUUAGAAGUGGGAAGGAGUUGCAAGAGCCUAGUAAGAAAGUGACAAAGCAUGUAGAAGAUGAGUUUGAGAAGAAUGAAUUGAUGCCUCAAUCUCAAGAUGUGGAACCCACCAGAGCGAAACCCCUACCUAUUGUGAUACCUCCUCCUUUUCCAAGCCGGUUUGCAAAAUCCAAGAAGGAGGAACAAGAGAAAGACAUCCUUGAGACAUUUCGCAAGGUUGAGGUAAAUAUUCCUUUAUUAGAUGCUAUAAAACAAAUACCUCGAUAUGCUAAAGUCCUUAAGGAACUGUGCACCUCCAAGAGAAAAUUAAGAGGAGAUGAAAAAGUUCACAUGGGGGAGAAUGUUUCAGCAGUUCUCCAAAAGAAACUACCUCCUAAGUGCAAGGAUCCAUGUAUGUUUACUAUCCCUUGUAAAAUUGGUAGUGUUAGAAUUGAAAAGGCUUUGUUAGAUCUAGGAGCUGCUAUUAAUGUCAUGCCUCGUUCCAUUUAUUCAUCUUUAAAUUUGGUCCAUUAAAAGAAACUGGCGUGAUAAUUCAACUAGCUGAUAGGUCUAAUGCAUAUCCUGAUGGGGUAUUAGAAGAUGUCUUAGUACAAGUUAAUGAGUUGGUUUUUCCUGCUGAUUUUUAUGUACUUGAUAUGGAAGAGGAUAACUCCUCUAAUUCUGUCCCAAUUUUGCUAGGAAGACCUUUUCUUAAGACUGCUAGGACUAAAAUGGAUGUACAUAAAGGGACUCUUACUAUGGAGUUUGAUGGAGAGGUUAUAGAAUUCAAUAUGAAUGAUGCCAUGAAAUAUCAUAGUGAGGAACAUUCGGUAUUUUCUGUAGAUGUUAUUAACCCGAUAGUGCAGGAAGUUAUUUACAAGGAAAAAACGACGACAUUUCAUGAUAGAAUGAUUUUGUGAAAGGAGUUCUCUGUUGGUCAAAAAGUUCUUCUUUUUCAUUCUAAGCUUAAACUUUUUUCGGGUAAAUUACGUUCUUGCUGGGUUGGACCUUUUAUUGUUACUAAUAUUUUUCCUCAUGGUGCAGUUGAGAUUCGGAGUCCGACCUCUGACAAAGUUUCUAAGGUUAAUGGUCAUCGCUUAAAACCUUUUUAUGAAGGUUUUUCGGUGAAUAUUGUGGAGGAUGUGGCUCUCGAGAGUCCCAAUUAUGGAGAUUGAUGCAUAAAUGUGUCUAGCCAAAGACAUAAAACAAAGGCGCUUUUUGGGAGGCAACCCAAAUGAUUUAUUUAUUUUGGUUUUUGUUAUAUCUUCUUUUAAUUUUGAUUCUUUUUUUUUUUAAUGUGUUUGCUUAUUUUGGUCAGAAUAAAAUUUUUGAUAAGGCGUGUCCACGUCUUAACUAAUAAGUACUUCUGUGAUUUUUAAAGUAAAAUGGUUUUAAGGUGUGCCCACGUGCUUAUUAAAAAAGUGCAUCUGAAAUUUUUGUUGUCUCAAAGUGAUUCAUCACAAAAAUAAAAAAAAAAUUAUUUAUUUAUUAUUUUUUUUUCUAUUUAUUUUUUUUUAAAAAAACGAAAAAAAAAGGAGAUUUUCUUUUGUUCUUUCUUUUAUAUAUUUAUUUAUUUAUUUAUAAAAAAAAUUCAAAAAAUCACUGUUAAAAAAAAAAAUUUACUGUUCAUAAAAUCCCUAAUUUUCCAGAACUUGUUUUCUUCUCCAACCGCUUGCAGCACACCAGCAGCAAAGCAGCCCGCCGGAAAACGCACCACCCCGCGCGCGCAGCACCAGCAUCGAGCACCAUCCCGCGAGCGCAGCACCAGCAUUCUGUGUCUCGCAGCCCAGCAGCGCGCAACGAAGUCCCACCAGCGCGCAACGCAGCCUCACCAGCGCGCAACGCAGCCCCAACGCACAGCAAACGAGCACGCCCCGCAACGCAGAUCCGCAGCUCUAGCCCGCCCGCGCAGCGCAAAUCAAUCCAGCCAUCACCAUCGCGCAGCGCAUCGGUCCCGCGCGCGCAACGCAACGCAGCAUCAGCAUCCCACGUCCAGCGAGCAGCAACCCGCGCGCGCAGAUCUAGUCUUCGCCCAGCAGCGCGCAGAACCAGCGUCAGCCUAGCUCUCGCGCGCAACACAGCCCACGCAGCACGCAGAUCUAGUAGCCCCAGCGCGCGCGCACAACACAAUCAGCGCCAUCCCGCGUCCAUCAAGCAAGCUCCAGCCGAGCAGCAAUCGCAACGCAACCAACGUACGACCUAUAUUCCAGCUGGAUAAAUCGAAAUCCGUGAGUGCAAUUAUUGUAACAAUGCCGAAGAGAAAAGCAUCAACUUCCAAGUCAUCUAAAAAGACACCCGUCGCAAAUAAAUCCAAGAUUGCCGGUCCCACUACGGUUCCUUGGAACACAAUUUCAGAUUCACGCCAAGCCGUGAGACAAAGCUCGAAACAUGGAAAAGGCAUGAGUGUUUUGCCACUUGCAGAAUCCAAUCUUGGAGGGUGCCUCGCAUUCGCGACUCAACAAGAGAAAGAGAGGUACAAAGAUAUUUUCACGCACAAAAUACUUCCAGCUAAGUAUAUUCCUUACCUGACUCUUGAAAAAUUGAAUGUUAAGGAUAAUUUUGAUUCUUUGAUAGAUAAGAUUGGGUUGCGUAAGUUUGUUGAUGUUGAUUGUUUGGGUUAUGUUGAGUUGAUUAGGGAGUUUUAUGCUACUUUUCAAUUUAAUAUGUCGAAUGAUUUUACUUUGCAUACCCCGGAUGUCAUAAAGUUUAGGUUAAUGGGACGAAAUUUUUCACACUCUAUCACGGAUUUUAACCUAGCUUUAGGAUUCAUUGAUGAUGAUUAUUCUUCUAGUGAUGCAUAUUUAGGAACAACUUGUGACUUUAGCGAAAAUUUUGAGCCUUAUGGUCUUUGCCGUAAUUUAUCUGUUGAUCACAAUGCUUAUGACCCAAGUAAAUCAAAGAGUUCUUUCUUACGUGAUCCUGUUUUGAAAUGUGUGCAUCGAUUCUUAGCAUAUAAAUUUUUAGGCAAGAAAGAUCACUCAGGAGUUUUCUCUAAAACUGAAUUUUAUUUUAUCUGGUGCAUGUUAAAUGAUGUGAGGCCUAAUUUAGGUUUUUGGUUAGCGGAUUAAUUUCAAAGUGUGCUUAAACGGUAUAUGACUUUAUUUCUUGGUCCAUACAUUACUCUGUUAGCUGUAAACCUACCUAUGUGUGCUUGAUCUUGACAAUAAUGAUUUGCAUCUUGCUUGAUUUUUGGAUAUGUCUGAGUUUGAAAGAACAGGUGUGGUCGAAUUCAAGGAGGGGAGAUUUCAGUUUACUGAACCAGCACCCACUCAACCUCCGAAGAAGCUUUAUGCUAGAAGUGGUGCUACCUCUGAUGACGAGUUUGACGACGACACUGCUGCCCCGCCAACUAUUCCUUCUACAUCCGCACCACCUUUGAGCAUUCAGUUAGAGAAAAUGGAGCACAAGCUGCACAAGAUGGAGCAGAAUUUGGCCGCACACUUCGAGAGUGUGGGAUUUACCCCACCAUUUCCGCCAAGCCCAUAGACGUUAUGUGGAUCAAAGUUCACAAUUCAGGGAAGUUUCUUUUUGCCCUUAAUCUUUUAUCCUUACGCUUUAAUUUUUGUGUGAGCUUUGAUUAUCUUACAUUGGGGACAAUGUAAGUUCUUGGUGUGGGGGAGGGAUUUUUGCAUUAUUGAUGUCUGAAAUUAUUGUUUUCACUCUACUCAUCCUUAAAUGAUUUUGGAGUUAGUAUGCUUUAUAUAUUAUUAAUUUUCUUUUCCUUUCUCUCUCACUACUCUUUUCCCAUCUAUCUCAAAUUAUUUACAUCUAUUUUUUUUUCUAUCAUACUCUUUCAUCACUCACAUUUUAUCUUUCAUUUUUUUUACUACAUACAUCUUUCUCGCUUAUUAUCCUUUUUACCUUUCCUUUUAUAUCUCACUCAUACCUUCUUCUCAUUCUACACCACUAUUGAUGGUUGAUUCGUUUGAAGAGUGUACAGGAUUUGAUGGCAAAUUUACCAACUUUGUGAGGAUUUAAGCCUAUGAGCAACCACUUUGCUCUAAUUAUUUUUUGUUAUGUGAAUAUCAAUCCUAGUUUGUUUAUUCUAGAACUUGCUUUGUUAUGCAUGUUGAAGCCACAUUACGGGAUUUUAUGCAUUAAAAUGAUAAGGGCAAACCCUUUUCUAUUUUUCUAUUCUCCCAUUUUUUUUUCUCUAUCCGAAGACCUUUAUUUGCUAUCUUGGUUUGAGCCUUAACCAUUACCCAUCUAAUUCUCUCCGUCUACUUAACCAUUUUUCUUCUUUUUGAGCCUCAAUUUAAUGAGAUUUUUUUUGGACUCAUUGUGUGGAUAUAUUUUGUUGCUUUUUCUACCUUGUAUUAAAGUUUCUCAAUUAGAUCAACAAGCAUUAUGCUUGAAUUGAAUUGUGCAAGGUUCGUUUCUUUUGUUUGAUUCAAAAACAAAAAAAAAAAGAAAAAGAAAAAGAAAAAGAAAAAUCGAAAAAAAAAGAAAAAAAAUGUUUACAUUCUUGGUGACAUGAGUAGAAAUAAGCAUUUUGAUAUCAUAAGUUCAUUCAAUGAGUUCAUUCUUCUCAUUUUGAUCUCUUUUUCUUUCGUAAACCUUUCUUUUUCAUUCAACCUAUUUAACCCCAUUACAACCCUUUUAAGACCCUUAGAUUUUUGCAUUUUAUUCAUGUUUUGUGGAUUGAGAUGUGAUAUAUGAGCAAGCUUAUGGUAAUAGCAUUCUUUGAUUUGAUUUGAGUGAAUAAAUGACACCCUAAAUACUUUGAGUGCAUGGAGUGAAGUUAUUGAGAGGGCUAUUAAAUAUUGUUGCACUUGAAUUUUGAAUGGAUCUUCUUGGUGGUUGAAUGUUCUUAUUCUAUCUUAUGAAAUUCUAUGCUUUAAAAUCCUUGUCUCUAGAAUGUUGAUCGACUUAAUUUCUUGAGGUAUGCUUGCCUAAAAUUGUUUUUGGAUGAGUUGAGAUGAGAAUUGAGUGGAACUUUGGGAUUAAUCUUGAGUUAUAUGCUUGAGGACAAGCAUCAUCUUGGUGUGGGGGAAUUUGUUAGAGUGCAAUUUAUGCACUAGUUUUGCAUUGUUUACUUCCCUUAAUAUCGAUGUUUUGCACUUAAUAAUAAUGAUUUACUUGUGUUUUACUUUUGUUGGUGCAAUUCUAUUUAUUUGUGAUAAAAUUGAGCUAUAAGAUGAUGUUUAAAGAUGAUUGUUCUCUUGGAGAAAUUAUGAGCAUCAGAAGAACUUUGUUGAUAAGGCGUGGGCGCGUGCUGUCAACUACGGACCUGCAGUUUUUAGUUUAACGUGUUUUGUAUUUUUGGUUAUUUUUGUAAUUAUGAAUUUAAUAUUUCAGAUAUUAGUAUUUUAUUUUAAAUAGAAUUCUAGAGGAGAAGAGAGAGAGAGUAUUUAAGGGAGGAAUCUAUUGUGAAAAAAAGGGAUUUUGGAUUGGAGGAAAAGAAAAGAAACCCUAGAUCUAAUUUUUCUCUUCUCUCUAUGAAGAACUAAACUUAUUUUUCUGGUUGAAGGAUAAUGAAGCUUUGAUUCAUCACUACUGUGAGAUCUUUCUUGUGCUUUAAUUGUUUUAUUGCUUUUUGGGUAUUUGUUUAUUCUCUGAAUUAUUUUCAUGAUUAUGUUUGUUAAUUAGAUAAUUGGGCACUAUUUAAUUAUCAACUUAAUCUAUUGUUAAUUAAAGGAUUCAUCGUAUGAAGAAUUUAAUGUUUGUGACAAAUAACAUAGCAGAGAAUUGUGUUGUGAGAAUAAACAAUCUAAUUUAAAUGAAUCAUCAUAUGUGUUGAUUAGGAUUUGGGUCUCUCUGGUUUUUCAGGCUGUCAAUUGAUUAAAUCCUAUGAUCGUAUCUAGGGUUGUCUAUUGAUUAGGGAAAUAUCCAAUGGUCGUACCUUGGUUAUCGACUAAUUAAGGAGAGAUUGGCUAUUAGAGGGUCUCAGUAGCUAUAACCGGUCUAUUCAUAAGUAAUAAUAAUUUAUAUUUGAAUCAAUGAUCAGUAGUCGAAUCAAGCUGAGUUAAUUCCUUCAACCAGAGCUUUCUCCAAUUUGAAUUACAACUUUAAUUUGCAUUCUUGUUAUUUUAAUUUGAUUUUUAUUAUUAUCAACAAUUCUCCCAUUUUACGUUUUACGUUUCAAAAGGAUUUAAAUAAUUACCGAUCUCUGUGGACACGACCCUGCUCAAUCACUAUACACAAUUUAUUUAGAGUAGGAAUUUAUUUUUGUUGGCUUCGACAACCAUCAGCUCCAUUACAGAGUUUCAUCAAUUUGAAAUAGAGAAUCAUUUGUGUUCUAGAUUAAUCGAGGGUCUAUAUCCAAAUCUAAAAAUUGACUAACUUGGUUUCUAUUAAAUUCUUAAUCCUAACAAGAAAAAUAGAAGAUUAAAAAUGACUAAUUUGGUUUCUAUUAAUUUGAGUAACGAUCGAAUUACCUCAUUUAUUAAGAUUUAUCAAAAUCCUAUGUCAAAAUCCAUUAAUAAUAUAGGUUGGAUGAUGAAAUAGUCACUUAUUAUUAUUUUUGACUUCAUAAAUAGAUGAACGGAUGUUAUUUUUGGAUUCUGGAGAAUCCAAAAUAUCAGGAUAUGUGAUAAAUGGAAUUAAGUUGUAGAUAAGAUAGAAAUGGAUUUGGAGAGAGAUUGGAAUCCUGGGUAAUCCGGUGUACGUUGUUGUGUUGAAUGCUCGUUGACUUCACGUUGACUGACACAUUAUUGGAAGAAGUGAGCAAGCUUAUUUUCUUCUCUCAUUUUUAAAUUUGUCUAAGUUUAUUGAUGUGAGGCCUUUGAGAUUGUAAGUUUCAAAUCUGAGAAGAAUAACCACACACCCAUUAAUAAAUUUGUGAGGAUUGUGAGGGUUGAUGCAAUAUAAUUUAGAUGCAAAGUGUUUACAAGUACGAUGCUUCAUAAGUGUUCUUCAAUCAUUAUAAACUCACGUUAUUUUUAUAAUGAUUGUUUCAUCUGCACAUGGAUAUAAUCAUAUGUUGAGAUUUUUUCCUAAAUUAUGGUCUUAUUUGGUAUUGAGGUGUUAGAUCUUUUAAGAUACAAUUACUAUUGGAAAAAAUAGUGCAACUAUGAAAUAAAAGUUAAUAUUGUGUACUAAUUAUAAUUGUUAAAUAAUAAUUUUGACAAAAUUAGUGAAGAUAUAUAGUUUUUUUUUUAUCAUAUAAGUAUAAAAUCAAAUCAACUUAACUUCUAAACUAUAUAGCAGCUACUGCUUACCAAAUAUUUUAGUGCUGUAGCUUUUAAGUUAUAACUGCCUAACCUCAGUCUCAAACAAUGGCUAUAAAGAUCAAAGAUUUCCUCAUAAAAAUUAUACGUCUUGUGAUUGCUUAUUUAAUUUAUAUUUUUUUAUUUAUCUUUAUUAAUUACAAUCAUCUUUUAAUAAAUUACAAUUGGAGGAAGUUGAUGUUCGAAGUGCUUAUGUCGACUCGAAGUUGUUGGGAAUUAAUGCAUGUAUUGAUUUAUUGGGAGUGUUUAAAUGAUUUUGUGAUUUACUUGAUUGAUUGAUUGAAUAUUGUUUGAUUACUUUGUAUCCAUUCUAGAAAGUUUAUUUCUUUGUGAAAUUUCGACAAAAUAUGUUUUUCUUUUUAAAUAAUAAGGGUGUUUUAAGUAAUUUUUAAAAAUAAAUGGACUAACUAGAAUUAAUUAUUAGGUAACUAACUCGAACUGUACAAGGUAAGCGAACAUUUAUGCUGAUUAUAUCAUGAUAAAUCAUUUUCCGAUUAGAAUUAGGAAACCAUUAGCAUAUUGACUUUUUUUUUUUUUUUUUUCAAUCUCCCUUUGCGAAAACGGAUUACAGAAUUAGAAAACAAUCCUAAUGAUAUUAUUGUUAGGUUUAAAACACGGCAUAGAUAGUCAAAAGCUAACUAGUCUGCAGUAAUUUGUUAAUUGCUAUCGCCUCUCCAUGCGUGGUGAAUAAUUUGUUGCAUGCAAACUUUUUCCAUUUUAAAUAAACACAACGCGAUGUUUAUCUGCUCCGCGUUUUGCAAUCUGUUUAUUCGUUGUUUAUUUGCUUCGUAAGUCCUCAAACUUUGAUAACCAAAAAUUUCACCAAACUAUGAAAAUUAUUCUGCAGGUUAGUUUUUAUUUUCGGAAUAAUUAUUUGAGAAUACUAAAACACAAUAUAAAAUAAGAAAAUAGGGGGUUAAAAUUUGAAAAAAAAAAACAAAAGGGCAUGUUGGAUAGAUUACUGUGGUUUAAGAAAAAAAAUUAUUCAGUUGGGAAUUUUUUUUCUUUAAUUUUUGUUUUACUUAAUUGAGAUUUCUCCUUAAUCCUUACAGUUUUAAAUUUGGAUAACAUAGGAUUAGUAAUUUAGUACUUCCUUUGCAAGCUGAGGUUAAGGAUGAAAUUCUUUUAAGAAAAAAAGAUAAAAGAGCAUAACAAUAGUCAAUUAUAAAUAACCACAAAUAAAUACAAACAAAAUGUUUAUGAAGUAAAUUAAAAAUGCACAUAUUAUUUUUUAUUUUAUUUCUUACUAAUCUGUGUAUUUGCUGCUUGAAAAACCAUAAAUACACAGAUGACCAUUGGCUUCGCACCAUUUAAUCGGGAUACAUUUCUACGUACAAACUGAACAAGGCUAUUGAUUUUUAUUUAUUUAUAAAUUACUAUUUCAAUUUUCACUUUUUAUUGGGUUGUUUAAUGGAUUAGUGAGGCUGGUGGUCGUUGAUGCACUCACAAGGUACAAUUUUGUUUUCAAAUUUCAAAUUCGUAUUUUAAAAUGCAGCACAUUAUGCAUACAUAAUUAUUGAUUUUCAUAUGUGGGUGUUUUGAAAUAUUGCUAAAAGGCCAAACUUUAAUAAACUAUUUUUGAUCCUUUUUUGUUUCUUUUUUCCUAAAGUUUGAGUGAUAUCCGCAUUUUUAAAAGCUAAUGUAUGCAAAAAAUUCUUUCAUUUUUCUGGGGAAAAUAGGUAAGAGAAAAAGUUUUGGCAAAUGAGCUGCAACUGAAUUCAAAACCAAUACGAUGCGAGCAUAGGAAAGAGGUCAGUGUUUUGGAUUUGAAUUUAAAGAGGUCAGUGUUUUGGAUUUGAAUUUAGUAUUGAGCUGAAUUUUAUGUUUAACACAUGAUUCUAUUAUAGUACUGCGAUUAAUAAGCUCAGCCCCGGAUUUGCUUUUGCUUUUGCUUUUACUUCAAGUGAAAGAAAGAGGAAACCUUUUGUUUUUUCUUUGGUUUUUGACUAUGUUACCUAUACAGAGAGUCAAGAUAUCAGCCAUAAGUGAUGGUGUUAAAAAGAUUAAGCAGCGCACACAAUCUUACUGCUGUCUAGACGAUCCAAUGAUGACUCCAGUCUUUUGGUUACAUUAGCUUUAGUUGAAAUAAGGGCCAAUUUAGCAAACACUAGCUUUGGUGGCUUAUUAUGUUUAAUGUAAUGCUUAUUCUUAAGGAAUCUAAUGUAUAUAAGAUGAUUGAAUGAUCUUCUAUGAUUGUGAGUAGUAUAGGAUAAUUGAAAAGAGUCUGGUGUUAAAGGCUUACAGUUUUAAGCCUUUUAAACCAUGCGAUUUUAAAGUUUUACCGGAUUUUCCCGCACUUUAAAAUUUUAGACUGAAACAUUUUUGUAUAUAUAUACAUAAAAAUAUAUAUAUAUAAAUAUAUAAAUUAAGAGGGAUGAGUUAACUGAAGAUUAUAAUCAUUACAACAAUGCUGAUGAGUGAUACAUCACUUGAAAUUUACUUGUCAGUUGCUGAAAUGAUGAAAAAAAAAAUAAACAAUAACAGUGAUAAUGUUCUCUUGCUGAAAUGACUUGUAUAUUAUACAAUCCACUCUACUUAAUGAUAUCGUUUUAAUAAAUGUUUGAUGAUCUCCAUUUAAAAACUACUUCAAUUUUUUUCUUCAUUUAAGUUUUUGGUUGUUGAAAAUAACCUUAAUUAUCAAAUAAUUGGAGAAAGAGUAAAGAACAUUUAACAAAUUUAUGUGCAAAAAAAAAAAAGGGAGAAGUUGAAGAGAAAGGGUGCUUGCAGAAGUAGGUGUCAAAGAUAAAUCGGUCCAUAGGAAUUAUUUUGGUUAUUUUUUAGCAAUAGAAAAAUUUUUUAGCAAGUAAAAAUUAAUUUUUUUCCGCUUUACUAAAAAAUUAACUAAAAACUUAUGCGAUAGCAUUUUUUAUGGGUGCAUAUACUUCCCUUUAAAAAAAAUAUAAUAAUUAAUGCUUAAUAUAGUAUUAAAUACGAAAAUAUCAAUAUUUGACUACUCAAAUGUAUAUCAUUAGGUCCUUAAAAUUUAAAAUUGAAGAUACAAAAGGUAAUAUAUAUAAAUUUCAUUCUCAUGGGAAAGGAUCAUCUUAUAAUCUUAUAAUAUUUGAGCUUUGAAAGAUUUUUUUGAAACAAAUGUACUUUUAUUUGUGUACAAUCAAUAUGUACUUAUUUAUUAUAUUUUUAUUUAUUAACUAUCAAUCAUGUGAGUAUAUUUAGUCAGAAAAAUUAUAUCAAGAGAGAACCCUAAUUUCACGUAAAGACAAAUACAAGACAAAUAUGGCAAUUUCUAUACUAUUCACUUUCCUGUAAAAUCAAUUAUCUAAAAUGCAAGUUUGUGGCUUCAAAAAACUCGCCAAAGAAAGAAGAUAAUAGCAAUUGAGCAUUGAUAGCAAAUCUAAUGCAUCCAAUUCUUCUUAACUUGAUGAGUGACGUGAAUGCUACCAGUCUGUGACACCCAAAUUUUUAUUAUUUUAUUUAUUUUUUUAAUGGAAUUUGUAAAUGACGUUUUUGCCCUUAUAAAAAGGGUUAUUCAUGGAAUAAUUUUUAGGAAAGGGUUAUUUUUCCAAAUUCAAUAGGGUUUCUUAAGACUCCCUAUAAAUUCAUAUUUUUCUCCUUUCAUAACCCUAAAAGCACGACGUUUCUUCUUUUUCUAUACUGCUCAUUACACUCUUACCCAAACCCUAAGAUUCAAACCUUUGGUUAAGAGAGAAUCAAAGCGAUUGGUAAGUUUAUUCCCCUUAUUCUCUACAAGAUUCCCAAUCACUCUAUCUAGGGUCUAUAUUGGCAUGAUUUUAGAUUGUUAUAGAUCAUAAUACAUGAUUUAGAAUGUGUUUAGGCUUUGUUUAGAGUUUUGAUUUAUUAUGAGUUUAGUUAAUCAACCUUGACGUAUUAAGCACAUAGAAUAGUUCCAUAGAAUAUUAUGUUAUUCUAAGUUUUAGAUUAAGAGUUAAAAUUCUAAGCAUCAGACUUGUACGGGUACGAAUUAGAAAAAUCGGGUUCUUAGAAUAAGUUAUUAAUUGUCAUAUCUUGUAUUUGUUUAAGGUGAUUGAGGCUCUUAGAGGGUUAGAGGUGUGUUAAUUCAAAUUCUUUUGUCGAGGUAAGUAACUUCAUUCCUAAUGUACUGGAUAUAUAUAUAUAUAUAUGAUUAUUUUGAUAUUAUUAUAAGUACACAAAUUUUUUUACUACUUAGAAGAUUAAUUGAUUUUCAUAACAAAAUCAGUUUGUGUAAAUGUUUUCAAACCUAAAUUCCUUUUAAUAAAUUAUUUUGUAAAGGCUUUUAAAUAUGUAAGUUAUUUUAUGACAUGACUACCUUUUAUAAUUUUGUCUAUGAAAUAUUUGCAAGCCUAAAUUGUGGUUAUGGACUUUCAUGAAACUAAUACGAAUGUUUUGUACCUAUGUAUGAUUUCAAUUAUUUAUGAUUGUACGGGGGCCACCUCUUGGGACUAUAUGGGGGCCACCUCUUGAAAUUCAAAGCAUCACAAAAGUGCCACGUAUAAGUCAUUAUGUUUUGGCUCAUUAUCUGUAGUUAUUCUGAUUCUGAUUCUGAUGGUAUAAUACAAUAUAUGUCUGUUCUGGACCAGUACUAGGUUUUUGUUUUGAGUGUGCACAUGAUAUUCUGACUCUGUUUCUGGCCGGGUCACUAGGACUAUAGGUGACACUAUGUGACAUGAGCUAACCUUUUGUUUUCUGUGAAUGUGAUAUAUGAUUUGCUUUUGUAAAUAACUAUGCUUUUGAUAUUCUGAGUUACAAUGAAUUUAAAUUAUUUUAUAGUGAUAUAUCGUUUUAUGAAAUUUAUGGAUUAUGAUAUAUGUUUUAAUUAAAAGAAGGCUUGCAAUAUUUUUGGUAUUGAUAGGUCUAGUGUGUUAGGAAUAUUUUUACUUACCGAGUUGACGGCUCACCCCUCGUCAUUACUUUUUGCAGAUUAAGUUUCUUUUGAGAGCUGCGCUUAGCUUUGGAGUUAGUAAUUUUCUGUUUCCGUUUGCCAUUUGAAUAAGAGGAGAAAUAAACUCAUGUUUCUAUUUAGUUUAUUUAUGUUAUGAAUGUGUAAUUUGGAGUUUGAGACUUUUGUUAUUUUUUUUAUGUCCUCGGGAGAGAUUAUUUAGUAUUAGACGUUUGAAUUUGUGGAUUUAUUUGAAUAAGAAUUUGAGGUAUUUCAGUUUGAAACUUAUGAGUAAAGAUUAUGAUUUGUAAGUAACAUCCUUCUUCACGUGCUCCGCACGUGUUAGAUUUGGGGUGUUACAAUUGUGGUAUCAGGGCAUUAGGUUUGGGAUUCUGUAAACUUUAUUUGAGGCUAGAUUUCUUAAGCACAAUCAAUUAGUUCAAUGGUAUUGCUUGCCAUGAGGUUAUCGGAAAGAGUAGAUCUUUAAGGCGAGGAGUAAUUUUGGUCUUUUUGAUUUUCUAGUUGCUUGUGACUUUGUAAUAACUCCUUGAUAUAGGAUUUUGGUAUUAACGUAGAAUGAAAUAUUUGUUUGCUCUUGUUGUCAAUUACUAACUUUUCUCAAUUAUACUAUUUACUCAGUACUUUGUGCUAUAGCAAGCCCUUUAACUAUGAAUUAUUUACCAUUUUAUUUAUUUAUUUAUUUUUAUUCUUCGUGUUAUAGUCAAAAGAUGUCACGUAGGGGAGGUGCUAGGCAUGCCUUUAGCUCGAGAGAUGUUUUAGGUAUCGUUGAUGACGCUGACCUAACCUUGCGCGAGAUGGCUAACGAAGGGAAUCCUAUGAUGCGCGCAAUGGUUAGAUUGAUGGAACAACAAAGUAAGUUGAUUCAAGAUAUGGCUAGAGGUAAAGUUGGGGCACAUGAGAUUGUGCCAGUUGAAAGACAAGGUGGUGGAAGAGAUCAGGGAGGUAUGAUGAGCUUAGAGCGGUUUAGGAAAUUGAGACCACCUACCUUUCAGGGGGCUGCCAAUCCUAUGGUUGCAGAGGCAUGGCUAAAACAGAUGGAGAAGAUAUUUAUGGCUAUGGGUUGUAAUGAUGAUUAGAGGGUGAUAUUGGCCUCAUUGGUCCUUUAGGGUGAGGUAGACCACUGGUGGGAUGCCAAAUCCCGUCUUUUGAGGGCCGGGUUGCAAGAUGCACCUAUUACUUGGGAGUUAUUUCUGAAGGCUUUUCAUGAAAAAUAUUUUCCUGAACGAGUUCGACAUCAGAUGGAGGCUGACUUCCUGAAAUUGACUCAAGGAACAAAGCAUGUUGCGGAGUAUGAGGAGCAAUUUACUGCUCUAUCUCGUUUUUCUCGUACCUUAGUUGCUAAUGAGGGUAGUAAGUGUAGGAAAUUCUUGGAAGGCUUACAUCCAAACAUAAAAAGACGGUUGACCAUCCUUAAGCUUAAUAAUAAUGCCCAUUUGGUGGAUAGUACGAUUAUUGCAGAGAGGGAUAUAAUUCAAUCUCAAGUUGCACGAUCUAAUCGACAUAAUAACCAGCCAAUAAAACAUGAUAGUAAUGGUAGUGAAGGUGAACAUAAGUGCACUCUAAUGGUGGGUCUAUUCAAGAGAACAAACCAUUCUGUAAUCGUUGUGACAAGUACCAUAAUGGCACGUGUUAUUUAAAGAUAUGAGCUUGUUUUGGCUAUGGACAGAUUGGGCAUAAGGUUAUAAAUUGCCCAAAAAAGCACAGUGGUAACAUAGAUUCUGCCGAGAACCAAAGGAAAAAGCCACGUGUCUUCGCCAUGGUGGAGCAAGAUAUUAAAAAACCGAAUAACGAAGCCUCAGGUGCAUUACCUAUUUUCCAUAGAAAGCCUUGAAUUUUUGAGUAAUUGGUAUUGUGCUUUUCCUCCAUCCUUUCUUAUUGGAUGCAUCGUAGCUAGAGUUUUUAGCCUAAUAAUCACUACUAGAAAAAUAGGCUUUACUGACGCUAAAUUAGUGUCAGUAAUUACUUUUCCUGACACUUAUUAAUUGUGUCAAUAAUGCUCCAGCCAUAAUACACUGACACUAAUUUCUAGUGUCAGCGAUUUUUGUGUCAGUAAUUCAUGUCAUUAUGGUAUCACGAAAAUAAUGACACGAUAGCGUUAGUAUUUAAUGAUACUAUUUAUAUGUCAGUAAUUUAUGAGACUACAGUAUCAAGAGCACACUGACUCAAUAACAUCAAAAAUUACUACUGCUAUUUUAAACAUUUAGUGUCAGUAUUUAGUGAUGUUAUGGUUCUUUUGGUUAAUAGUAUACUUUGAUUUUAAUUAUAUUUUCCUAUUUGUUUUACAACUGAAAGAAAACUCAAAAUAUAUUAAAUAUACAAAAUCUCGCAACACAAUUGCAUAAGAAACAUCUCAAAUACAUCACUCAAAUUCAUAUCAUUAAACUACAUCAUUGUUUGGAAAAGAAAAAUAUAAAUACUAAAUUAAGUCUUGGACAAGCUCUUAACAACCAAGUACUAAGUUAAGAUUCAACAAAUAUUAACCAACAAAAAGAAGCACAUAAUGUCAUUGAACAUCCACAAGCGGCUUCAUUUUUCUUUUCCCACCUACAAGUACAUAAAAUCAAUUAGUAUACCACAAAAAGUAAUUCUUGAAUUUUUGGGAGAAAAAACAAUCAGGCCAAUUUCAGUGUUCAAAGAGACUAACAAAGAAUGGGGGCAAAAACAAUACAUAGCUCUCUUAGUGCAAGCUAAUUGUAAUAGGUAGUAUUGUGAAGAAUAUUUAUCUGCUAAGAAUUGAACUUGAGUGGAUUUUCCUACAGAUCUAUACACAACUCAACUUAAGAAGAAUAAAAAAAUAAAAAAAUAAAAAUCCUAAGGAUUAAGAAAGAUAAAUGGAGAUUUAUUAGUAUACAUCCAAAAUUAGAAACUCAUUAAACAAUCCAGGGGUAAAAAUUGAGGAAUAAGAAUAUAGCGUAUCUCAGGAUAAGACCAAAGACAUAAUAACAGAAACAUUUGAGGCAAACCACUACAAAGUUUUUACAUAAUAACCCAAAGCAAAGCAAACCAUUAUAAAAUUUUUACAUAAUAACCUAGAAACAAAACAGACGAAAAUUGGGCAAGUCCAUAUCCCAAACCUCUGUUAGGAAAAAUGUGUUCAGCAGACUCAUGGCUCCAACAAUAGAAAUUAACCCGUACACAAGGAAACAAAUUAAUUGAUAUAAAAAACAGUCAAAGACAAAGCCAACUAAGAAGAUUAACUAAUUUGGAGAUUGAAUUACAUAGUUAUUUUUACAAAAUAUAGCAUAAGCCCAUUGUAUUUCAUAGUAAGCAACUGCAAAAAUGCCUAGAGGCAAAUUCAUAAAGGAAGAGUAGAUAGAAGAAAAAAAAGACGAGGAAAUAAACAGCUUGAAACAAACAAAUCACCUAACACAUCAUGGGGAAUUGACUUGUUAACGUUAAAGAGCAAAAUAAAACUUGGCACCUUCAUUCGAAAAAGAACAGACGCUUACCCCUUACGGAGAAUGGCUUAGGUUUUUCUUUAGAGUUUCAGGCUGAUUUAUAAGAAUAUGAAGAAGAAAUGAUUAUGGAAGUUUGAUAGUGAUCAAGGAUUGAAUAUUGGGCUUAAAAUACAAAUUGGCAGUGAGGGCUGGUUUUCGAUCAUAAUGUUGAGAGACCACUAAUUCCCAAUACUUGUACCCUCUCACAGAAAAAUCCAAAUUUAAUAAACAUGAACUAAAUCCAGUGUAUUGAGUGUUAUUAUUUAAUGGAACAUAAAAUCUCUGGGUCAAAUAAUUCUAAAGUUAAACCAACAAUAAUCCCAAAAGCUAUAGUUGAUAAGAAAGGCCCAACAGUAUACUUCUAUCACACAAAAUUUGAAGAUAGAAAAAAGAAGGGCCUUUUUGUUUUUUAACUGAAACUGAAAAAAGAUUCAGUAUUAACAAUUCAUAAAUUUUAAAGACGUUGGUUUUCCAUCUUAACACUGAAAACUUGGUGUUUAUAUAUCCGAAUAUAAUUAAGCCAAAAAUUUUAAUUUAUCACUAAAUAGGAAAACAACUAAAUAAGCUGCAUAGUUUUAUUUUCCAAUAAAUGCUUAUAAUAUUUAUUCAUUCCUUACCAUAUAAAAACCUAUCCUUCAUUAUUUAUUUAUUUUUUAUAGGAAACAGAGAAAUUAGUAUUAAUAAGAACAAUAAUUACAAAAUGUCAAAAGGGUGUCCACAAAAAAAGGCUAUUGAAGUAUCACAGACCAAUCUCCAAAUUAGGCAAGCACUCAGAUUCCAAGCUAAUACUCCAAAAAACAAAUCUAACCUCAAACUACCUGAUAAACAGCUCAAAAUGACAUAAUCCUCAACAUUCUUCAGACUAAUUGAUCAUGCAUCAAGGUAUGUUGGGAUCUACAAAUACAUUGAAAAGAUCUUUGCAAAUAACAGUACAACUAGAAAGCUUGGUGUUUACAUUCUUGAAAAUUCUUUUUAUUGCUGACAAUAGAAAGGGAUUCCUUUUUCUGCUUAUUUCCUAAAAAUACUAAUAUAUGCUGCCCCACUAUACUCACAAGUAAUCUUACACAAAUGCUCUUUAGACAAGAUUAGUAUUUGCUACCUUUCACCCCAAUUACAAAACCAUAGAAACUCACCACCUAGACAAAUUUUAAAUUGUCUCUAUAGUUGGCUAUUAAAAACUGCUAAAUUUGUUUGCAGCCAUGCCCAAAAAUUUCAAGAACAUUGAACACAACGUAUUAUAGGUACAAACAAGAUAAAAUGAUGUUCCAGGAUUCACUCGACAUGUCAUCCAAGGUGAUACAAAACGGUAGAACUAUAGAACUAGGACAAAACUUGCAGCAAGAUAAUGGCAAUUUCCCCCUUUCGUGUAAGAUAAUCAUAUUAUUCUUCAAAGAGAGACGCACAAAAAAAAAAUGCUUGUUGAAAACAAGCAAGCAUAUGGGUAUGAGUCUAUUGUUGUUUAUCUGUGAAUCAUGUUAAUAACCAGCCACAGAAAAAUAGUAAACAAUAGUUUUCACACAAUCGAUGCAUAUUAACACAAGCCACGGAUUAUGAUUUCACUAACCAUUGCACACAAAGGUUCCAGACCAAUUUUAGAAGGAGGUUCUACAAGUUACUUUCCUUCAACUACUUGAAAAUCAAUCAUUAACUAAAGAAAUACACAUGAAAUUAGUUUAAAUAAUAGGAAAGGUAAAGGAGACAUUUUAUAAAAACUCUUAAAUGUGGUACUAUGAUUUCCACAGACUGUGCAACAAAAAUAAAAUUGGAUGAACUAUAAUAAGUGAGAAGACAUAUUGUAAUUCUAUCAUCAAAGAAAGAUAAGCUUAAUCAUUUUUAAUUUUUUCUCAAAUAUCCAGUAGUACCUUAAGGUAAUAGGACAAGAUCGCAGAAGUUGUCAUGAAGAGUGUAAAGCACUAAAUAACAAAAAUUAUACUAAUAAAUAAAACUCAAUUUAUUUUCUCCCUCAAUCAAUUGCUUUGAGCUUACUAUGAAUUCAACUAUGAAUUUGAGGAAAAAAUACAGACCUCAGUUUGUCAACUUCUUGUUCAUGAGAUUCAGCCGCAGUAAAUGCAAACCUCCAUUUCUCGUCAAGCAUUGUUAACCUCUACGACAAAUUGAAGGUAAGAAGAUGAACAAAAUAAGUGUAAUGUGCAGGAAAAAAAAUGAAGUCUAUGGGUACAACAACACUUCAAGAUUUUUCAAGUUCUAGUUCAUUUAAAUAGACAUUCCUUGAACUUCAGUAGCAAAGAAAGUACAUUAUAGCAACAAUUUCAAUUCAUUUCAAUCUUUAGAAUUUUUUAUUUUAAAAAAAUAAAUUCCUUCAAACUAGUGAAAGGAAAAUAAAAGUGUGUUUACAGAAGAAAAAUCAUGGAAUGAAUUAAUGACCAUGCAAGUGAGGAAACACAGAAAUUUCUGAAUAAGAGCGAAACUAACCGUGCAAAUGAACAAAGAAAAUGUAAGUCUUCAAGUGCUACAACAAGCAAAACUACCUAAAAACAAGCAUUUUCUUCUUGAAUUAAAGACAAAUCAUGAACUUUGUGCAAUCUCAAAACAUUCAGACAAGCAUGAACUUAGUUAAUUCAUAUCAUAGUCAUUGUCUCUAUUAAAAAUCUUCCAACUAAAAAAAAUAAAAAAAUAAACAUGUUGGUUUCUAUAACAUAAUUUGCCUAUCUUUACAUGAAACAGAGCAAUAAAUAACACUUAAUAAUUAUGAAAUACACAGCCAUUCAAUCUAUAUAAUAUAGAAAUAAAGGAAAAAAAAGAAAAAAAUUCAAAUUACAAUUAAAUAAACAAAAAAUAGAUAUGGAAAAGAAAUCCCACCAAGACUGCACUACUGGGAGAAUUUCUCAACAUCUGCAACAACCCAUAAAAUUAAAAUUAACAAAAAACCCUAAUAAUCAUAAGCUAAAAUAAAACAAAUUUAUUAAUUAAUUUGACAAAGAAAAUAAAAUAUUAAGCCAUUACCAGCAGUUAAAGCCUUAAUCAAGGCAACCUGUUUGCCCUUAAAGUCAUUGAAAAUCUCCUUCACAGGUCUAAGUAUAAGGUGUGGUAUCCCUUCCAUAGCAAGAAAAUUAACUAAUUUCUCAAUAAUUUUAUUCAAAUUCAAGCAAAUGGGUUUUGAAUAUUGAACAAAAAAAAGUGAAAUUUGACCAUAAAAAGAAAAAAAAUUGAUAAAAGAAGCCUCGAUUACGGUUUUGGUCCGUUUUUCAAUUUGAGAAAAAAAAGGAAAAAGGGAAUAAAAGCCUCACUUAGGGUUUUAGCUUUAUAUUAUCUAUUUGAGUUAAAUGAACGAGUUUGUGAAUGGAAAGAAAAAAAAGGAAGAGAUCGAGAAGAGAAAAAGGAAAGAGAAAGGGAAAGAGAAAGGCAAGAGACAGUUUUGGGUUUGAGUUUGGGUUAGAGAUUUGUGUGUAUAAAAGACAGGGAGAUGGGGACAAUUGCUAAGUUUGGGAUAUGUUUUACUUUCGUUUUACAUGUUUUAAAUUCUUAAUUUAGUACCUGCAGUGUCGAACCACUUGAACGGAAGUGAUAGUGGCAACGGCGUGGGGGUGGGCGCAGCCAUGGGGGUUGGGCGCGGCCGUGGGCGUGGGCGUUUGGGCCUGGUCAUUCUCCAUCUUUCACGAUAGAGAAGAAGAAGUCAAGAAAGGCAAGGAAAUUACGCAGCAGCUACGACAUGGGCUCUAUUGCACAAUGGAAAAGGGGAAUUAGGGUUUGGUUUUUUAUAUGUUAAUAUUUUAUAUAACAUUGUAAUUCCAACUCAAUUUUAUGGGGUCCAGUGGUUUGCAAUCUAAACGUAAAAGUUUUGAGUUUUAGAAAUCCCAGGUUCGAGUUAAAAUCAAAACAAAUUUUAAUGAUUCUUUUUAGAUCUCUGAUGCUGAAGUAUCAGUGAUCUCUAAUAUUUAAUUUACUGAUACAUUAGUAUUAAUAAUUUGUGACAUUUAUUUGUUAAAAGUGGAAAAUGGUGCAUAGUUAGGUAAUUACUGACACUUUUUUUAAAGUGCCAGAAACAAAGUGUCAGUAAAAGUCAUUUUUGUAGUAGUGAAUUUCUUUUUUCAUCCAUUGAAUUUCUAUGGUACAUUAGUAGGAUAUGAGGUGUGAUUUUAUAAGGCCAUUAGGAUUAACUUAUGGUUGGAUGGAGUAGGGACUAAUAUGAUAUUUAGUAGGAUAUGGGAUGAAGAUUGCAAUAAAAGUGUUUCACCAGCAAUGUGCGAGCGCAUUGAAGGGUUUUGAAGUUGAAUGUGAAGUGAUAAAAAAUAUUCACCAUCGAAACCUUAUCAAUGUUAUUAUUAGUUGUUCGAACGAUGACUUCAAAGCAUUAGUCCUAGAAUACAUGUACAACGGGAGCUUGGAGGAUUGGCUGCAUUCUAGCAAUUAUGUGCUUAAUAUUUUUCCCAGGUUGAACAUAAUGAUUGACGUUGCAUCAGCUUUAAAAUAUCUCCACUUUGAUCAUUCAACUCGUAUCAUUCAUUGUGACUUAAAGCCUAAUAAUGUGUUGUUGGAUGAAAAUAUGGUUGCUCAUUUGAGUGAUUUUGGCAUAGCAAAGCUUUUAAGUUGAAGAUGAGUCUACGAUGCGAACAAAAACCCUUGCCACUAUAGGUUAUACGGCACAAGGUUUGCUUGAAACAACUUUUUUUUAGUUUAUUUUAAAAUUUCCAAAUUAUUGAUUUUUACGAUCCUCAUAUCAAAAUGUUAUUGAUUAUUUAUCUAAUUAUGAAAUAAUUUGAUUCAUAGAGUAUGGCAUAGAAGGAGAAAUAUGUGCAAAAAGUGAUGUUUACAGCUACGGGAUUAUGUUGAUGGAAACUUUUACCAAGAAAAAACCCACAGAUGAGAUUUUUGUUGGAGAAUUGAGCUUAAAGCGUUGGGUUAAUGACUUGCUUCCUAAUUCAUUAGUGGAAGUUGUGGACAAAAUUCUGCUAAUUGAAGAGGAAAAACAUUUUGCCGCAAAGGAGCAAUGUCUGUUCUCUAUCUUUAUUUUGGCACUAGAGUGUACAAUGGAAUCACCGGAAAAGAGGAUCAAUACAAAAGAUAUUGUUACCAGAUUACUCAAGAUAAGAGACACGUUGAGUAAAAGGAUAGGAAAUUUAAGUUAAUUUUGUUUGCUUUCAUUGAUAGUUACUUUGAAUUCAAGUAAUAAGUGUAAGAAUCGUUUAUCUUUUCUUUUGAUAUUUUUUUCUUGAGAAAACUGUUGUAGUCAUCUUUUUUCAAUGGGCAGAGUUGAUUUAGUUCUUCCAAGAAAUGCUAUUGUUGAUCUUUGUUACAUACGUUUGUCUUUUUUUGCAUGCAUUUAGGUAGAAUAGUGGUCUAGCUGCAGGCUAACAAGUCAAGCUACGCUAAAAGCGUAUGAUUUAAUUUAUUAAACCUAACUUCAAGUUCAAGAAUUGCAUCUCAUUGCCACCAAUGCUUUAGACACCUAUUCGUAGGUUUGUGUCCUCAACUUUGUUUGGAGCAAAAGUUCCAGUCCCAUGGAGGCUCAAAUAUUUCUCUCCUACGUCCCGAACACGCUAAAUUCAUCAGCCUCUUGAACCCUCUCCUGAGGGCGCCUUCUGUCCUCUGUUUUCUGUUUCCAUACACAAAUAGCAAAAAGAAUUCAGACUGAUAACUGGGUAUCUAAGAAUAUAUAAGAGUGAAAUAAUUAAAAAAAAUUGUGCUUUUUUGUUUGUCGUGUUAAAAUCGUAAGGUAUCUAAGUACUAUGAAAGAGAUUAGUUUACGAAAACUGAAGCCAAGGGUUCAUAAAAAAAAGUGCAUAGAGAAUAAAGGACAACGCUUAUGUAAAGCGACAUAAUUGUAUUGGUAGCACAAUGUCACGUUCAUACAGAGAUCAAGUACAUUAUUUACAGCUGGUAAGGGCUAAGAAUUGAUGUAGCUAGAAUACAAAGAUGAUAUGGUAUGUUGUGCACUAUUGUUUUAUUCUACAAUCAAUCUUGACCCUUGAUGCUUGGCUCUCAAUCUUGUCCAUUGAUCUUCUCUGAUCUCGAAAACUUCAAGACCUUUCAAUCUCAUGCCUUAUUAUUGGUGUCUUCUAUGCUGUUAAUUUCAAAUACUAGCUUUUCCGCCAACUUGCCAAUUAUUUGUUCAUUGGUGCGUUUUGUCAAACAGUGUGGAUACUUAUACCAAACGCUUUCUGUUUUAACUACCCCUUUCAAGCUCAAUUAUCUGGGAAGACACUAAUAAGCUUGUUUCUCAAGUAUAUGUAUCUGAAAAUUAAAUUUUCAAAAUUAUAUUCGGACUCUACAUUUUCUAAUGAACAUUGGUUUGGCUCAUAAGCUUAUUAUACUUGGGCUUGGUAGGAUUAUCGGUCGGUAGAUGAACAAGUGUUAGAGCUUUCGAAUUUAUGCCAAUUAAAAAAAAUCUAUAUAAAUUUUCCACUAGGCUAUUACCACAAUAAACAUUUGGAUGAACUAUUAUUGAAACCUUAUUGAGAAGUAGGACAUGUCGCAUACCAAUGCACUGACAUAUCUUCAAAUAGUGGUAACUCCACACAACAUGGCACAAUAAAUUAAGAGUUAUAUAGAUAAAAUCUUUCACUCUUUGGUAAUCAUCAAUGUCGGCAUGACAAUGCGUCCCACAAAUAUGGCUCCUUAUCAAAAUUCAUAAAUCAAAACAAAAUAGAGAAUCAUAUUUGUUCCAGAUUGUAGUGAUGGUUGUUGAUGCACUCACAAUUUACAAUUUUAUUUAAUAUCUUCAAAUUCGCAUUUUAAAAUGCCCAAAUGUUUGUGUAUACAUAAUUAGAUAAAAUCUUUCAUUCUUUGGUAAUCAUCAAUUUCACUAUUAUUCGCUUUAUUAUGUUUGUUUCUUGCAGUAUGUUAAAAGAUUAUGUUGUGAAUUUGUUUUACAGGCCGCCCGUAAGUCUGCGCCCACUGUUGUGAAUUUGUGUAUACAUAAUUAGUAAUCGAUUCUCAAGCACGGACAUUUAAAAGCACUGCCGAAAGACAAAAUUUUAAUUUACUAUUUUUUGUCUUUUAAUUUUCUUUAAGUUUUAAUGAUUCCGCAUUUUAAAAUCCUGUGGAACGUGUAUGUAAAAUUCUUUUAUCUUUUAGAGGAAAACGGGCAAGAGAAGAAUAUUUGGCAAAGGAAUUGCAACCGCAUUUGGAGCUAUAUUUAAUUUUGUCUUUUAAGUCUUUUACACUUGUUUUUGUUAUUGAUGUUAGCUUGGAUGUGUGUGCGUGUGCGACUGAAUUCAACUUACAUGCUAUUGAUGCAGCCACCAAAAAGGGGUGGUCCAUCAUCAAUCAACAAGGUUUAUUAUUAUUUUCAUAUGGAUUUUCUUAAUUAUAAAUAAUACUAAUGCUAUUUCAUAGUUAUAAAUAUAUUAGAAUUAAUCGAAAUCAUUUUUUAGUGUGGCAUUGCCAAACUACCUUUUUUUAUAAGUAAUUACUACUUUCACAUUAAGAAAAAUACUCCUAUUUUUAGGGAAAAAUCAAGUACUUGUAGUUGUGAAAACUUGAGCUCACUCGCGUAUGAUAAAUCUUCAUAUUAAUUACAUAAAUAUCCUCUAAAAUUUUAAAUUAACUAUUCAAAAUUCGAUGUUAUACGGGUAUUUCAUUUAUUUGAGUAGGGGUUAGGGGUCAAUUGGAUACAAAUUCAAAAUUAUCCUUACUUGAGAAGGUGAUAAAAAUUGGGGAUUUAAUUUGGAUGUCAUUAGCUACAAAUAUUAAAUUCAUACAUUUAAUUCAAAAUUGGAGGGUUGAUAUAUGCGCAUCAUCGUGCACGUUAUAGUGACACUGCGUCACCAUCCCACAACCUCUCCAAUGAAAAAUUAACACGUUUCUCGUGUGCAUUUGAUCAGAAUCCUGAAAAUUAAUCACAAAAUUGUACUUUUAUUAUAAAAAGAAUAAAGAAACUCCUGAAAAAAAAAUACUUACAUAAAUGGUUUGAAAAUUCUAGAUUUCAAGUUGUCUAUAUUAGCUUGAUAUUUUUAUAAAUAGUCAUCCUCUCAAAAAAAUUCCAUCAAAAUAUAUAUUUUAAUUUUAUGUUAAUUCAUAAACAUGAAAAAAUCAUUUCAUAAUUAAUUAAAACAUAAUUUAUUGUUUCUCAAAAAAGGUAGAACUUAGUGAUAAGAAAAAAGUAUCUCAAAUAUAUGUAAAAAAAAAAAAAAUCUUGGUUGGUUGGAAUGAUUGAAUUUGCUUUUCUUUUUCUUUUUUAAGAAUUAAGACAAUCGGAUUGAUUGAGUAAUAAUAAUAUAUAUUUAUUUGGAGGUAGGCUUUCGUCUCAUGCAGAUUGAUUAGAGAGAAAACAAAACAAUUUUAAGCUCGUUAGAUUCGAAGCUGCUUACCUGUCGUGUGGGGAUCACUUCCGUGUCUUAUUUUUCUAAAAAAGUCUGGACCAUUGGAUUUAUGUGAAUCGUACUGAACAUUGGAAUUGAUGUAUAAGAAAAAAAUUUUGUAGUCGUUUAAGGAAAAAAAUUAUUCAAUUGGGAAUUUUUUUCCUUUAAUUUUUGUUGUACUUGAUUGAGAUUUCUCCUUAGUCCCUACAGUUUUAAGUUUGGAAACCGUAGGAUUAGUAAUUUCGUACUUCCUUUGCAAGCUGAGUAUAAGGAUGAAAUUCUUUUAAGAAAUUAAAAAAGAUAAAAAAAAGCAUACCAAUAGGCAAUUAUAAAUAACCACAAAUAAAUAUAAACAAAAUGUUUAUGACGUAAAUUAAACAUGCUCAAUUAUUUUCUUUUAUUUUCUGCUCGGAAACCCAUAAAUGCACUAAUCCAGUAUUACUAAUUUCAGACAGAAAAAUUUGAAUUUAACCGGUAUACAUUUCUACAAACCAAACAAGGCUAUUAUUUUUAUUAUUAUUUUUUUUUUUUUAUAAAUUACUAUUUUAAUUUUUCACUUUUUAUUGGGUUGCUUAACAGAUUAGUGAAGUUGGUGGUCGUUGAUGCACUCACAAGGUACAAUUUUAUUUUAGAAAUUGAAAUUUCGUAUUUUAAAAUGCAGGCACAUUAUGUAUGCAUAAUUAUUGAUUUUCAUAUGUGGGUGUUUUGAAAUAUUGCUAAAAGACCAAACUUUAAUAAACUAUUUUUGAUCUUUUUUUUUCCUUUGUACCUAAAGUUAGAGUGAUAUCCGCAUUUUAAAUUCAUGUGGACCAAAAGCUAAUGUAUGGACAAAAUUAUUUUAUUUUUCCGAGAAAAAUGGGUAAGAGAAGAAGAUUUUUCUCUUGAAAAAGAAAAACUAAUACGUUGCAAGCAUAGGAAAGAGGCUAGUGUGUUUGGAUUUGAAUUUAGUAUUGAGUUCAAUUUUAUGCUAAGCUCUUUUAUAAUACUGCGAUUAGGGAGCCCUUAAGUUACAUGUAAUAUAACUUACACUCGCUCACUUAAAUAGUGGGUGGGUUGGGGGCCCACUCACUGUUCAUGUGAGUGAGUGUAAGUUCCAUUAUAUGUAAUUUAGCACUUGCCUUGCGAUUAAUAAGCUCAGGAUUUGCUUUUGCUUUUACUUCAAGUAAAAGAAAGAGGAAACCUUUUGUUUUUUGUUUGAUUUUUGACUAUAUAUGUUACCUAUAUAGAGAGUUGAGAUGGCUGCCUUAAGUGAUGGUGAUAAAAAGAUUAAGCAGCGCACACAAUCUUACUAUCGUCCAGACUGUCCAGUGAUAGACUCUAGUUUUUUGGUUACAUUAGCUUUAGUGGAAAGAAGGGCCAAUUUAACAAAGACUAGAUUUGGUGGCUUGUUGUAAUGCUUAUUCUCAGGGAAUCUAAGGUUAUAAGAUGAUUGAAUGAUCUUCUAUGAUUGUGAGCAGUAUAUUAUAAUUGAAGAGAGCUUGGGCUCCUAUGAUGUAUAACAAUAACACAUUACUAUGAUUGAGAAAACUCAGUUACAAUAAACUCUUCAUUUAUUCAUUGCUGAGAUUGAAUGGCAAAUAGAGAAUAGAAUGAAGCAGAGGAAUCUCAUUGCCUGUAAAAUUGAGCCUAUUUAAUAUUACUUGUAGUUUUUAUUGUAAAAUAUACAGGUAUGACCAUGAUCAGAUGCUUUUUUUAAAAACAAAUGAGACAUCUUUGAUUUAUGGUAGUUUUAGAGAAAAAAAAAACAUAUAAAAAUUAAGAGGGAUGAGUUAACUGACGAUUACAAUCAUUACAGCAAUGCUGAUGAGUGAUACAUCACUUGAAAUUUAUUUGUCAGUUGCUGUAAUGAUGGAAAAAAACAAUAAACAAUAACAGUAAUAAUGUUCCCUUGCUGAAAUUCAAUUUUGACUUUCGACUCUUGGCUUUUAUGGAGAGUAAAAUGACUUGUAUAUUAUCCUCAUACAAUCCACUCUACAUAAUGAUAUCAUUUUAAUAAGGCAAUGGCUGAUGAUCUCCAUUGAAAAACUUUUUGUUUUAUUUAACUUUUUGGUUGUUGAAAAUAACCUUAAUUAUCAAAUAAUCAGAGAAAGAGUAAAGAACAUUUAACAAAUUUAUGUGCCAAAAAAAAAAGGAGAAAUUGAAGAGAAAGGAUGCUUGCAGAAGUGGGUGUCAAAGAGAUAAAUCGGUCUAUAAGAAUUAUUGUGGUUAUUUUUUUGGUGCCUUGGAGUUCUUUAAAUUAAGGGCCCAGUUUGUCCAUUUGUUUCAGUUAGGUCCUUAUUAAAAAUUAAUUUUAAUAUUGGUUUUCUUAAUUAUAACUAAUACUAAUGAUAUUUCAUAGUUAUAAAUAUAUUAGAAUUAAUCCAAAACAUUUUUUAGUGUGGCAUGGCUAAAACUACCUUUUCUAUUAGUAAUUACUACUUUUGCAUUAAGGAAAAUACUCCUAUUUUUAGAAAAAAGUCAAGUACCUAUAGUUGUGAGAACUUGAGCUCACUCGCUUAUGAUAAAUCUUCAUAUUAAUUACGAAAAUAUCCUCUAAAUUUUAACUAAACUAUUCGAAAUUCAAUGUUAUUCGGAUAUUUCGUUUAUUUGAGCAGGGGUUAGGGGUCAAUUUGAUACAAAUUCAAAAUUAUCCUCAUUUGCGAAGAUGAUAAAAAUUAGGGAUUUAAUUUGGAUGUCACUGGCCACAAAUAUUAAACUCAUGCAUCUCAAAAUUAGAGGGCUGAUAUAUAUGCAUUAUCGUUAUAUUGACAUGUGUCACCAUCCCACAACCUCUCCAAUGAAAAAUUGACAUGCAUCUUGUGUGCUUCUUAUCAAAAUCCUGAAAAUUAAUCACAAAGUUAUAUUUUUAUUAUAAAAAGAAGAAAGAAACUCCAUAAGUGAAAAAAAAAAAGACUUAAACAUAAAUAUUUUAGAUAAUCUAGAUUUCAAGUUGUCUAUACUAGCUUGAUAUUUUUAUAAAUAUCAAGAUUUCAAGUUGUCCAUAGUAGCUUGAUAUCUUCUAAAAAAAUUCCAUCAACAUAUAUUUUAAUUUUACGUUAAUUAAUAAAUAGAAAAUUCAUUUUAGAAUUAAUUAAAACAUUAUUUAUUGUUGCCAAAGAAGGAAGUACUUAGCGAUAAGAAAAAAGUGUCUCAAAUAUAUGUUAAAAAAAAAUCAUGGUCGGUUGGACUGAUUGAAUUUUUUUUUCUUUUUCUUUUUUAAGAAUUAAGACAAUUGGAUUGAUUGAGUAAUAAUAAAAUAUAUUUAUUUGGCAAAUGGCAGGUAGGCUUUCUUCUGAUGCAGAUUGAUUAGAGAGAAUAUGCAGCAAUUUUAAGCUUGUCAGAUUCGGAGGCUGCUUAUCUGUCGUGUGGGGAUCACUUCCAUGUCUUAUUUUUCUUGAAAAAUCUGGACCGUUGGAUUUACCAUUAGUCAAUAGAGAAAUGCUGAUCUUGAUUCUUGAUCAAGAUCGAAGUUUGAUUCUAUCUAACAUGAUAUCAGAUUGCGAAGCAAGCAAAUUGAAAGUAACUUGUUCUAUUUUGAUGGAAGAAACACAAUUUCUAUUGUUCUAAUAAAAAAUUUUAAUUAUACAUAUUUUUCUUUUGCCACUUGGGUUUGUAGUCCAGUGGUGAACUAUUGGCCUUAAAGUUAAGUAUGACUAUGAGGGCAAUGGUUCGAGUGCCCACGAACUCAAACUCCCUCAAUUAAACAUAAUUAUGUGGAGAUUACUUAUAACGUCUUUCUCUCUUGUGAAAUCUGAGUGGAGUAGAAAUAUCCCUUUCCCGUGAGGGUUAUUUGGCUAGGCAUGUACUUUAUAGAAUAAAAAUGUAAUAAUGUAAGUCAGUGCAAUGAUCUACUGUCAUAGUAGUUGUAAAUAUCUAGGUGUAAUACAGUAACCUGAUGCUUAAUCAGUUAAAAAAAAUGUAUAUCUUUUUUUUAUUUUUUUCAUUGUGAUCACUAUAACUAGUCAAAUUUAUUUUUAAAUAUUUUUUAAAAAAAUAUUUUAUUAACAAUGAUAUGAAAAUAUUCGAACCCCUUCUCAUAGUAAAGUGAAUUACUAUCCAACUGAUGCCUUCAAACUGUAAAUUGCAAAUCGUGUGUUUGCUCCAUUACAGGGUGUCUUCAAUUUAAAAUAGAGAAUAAUUUGGUUCUAGAUUAAUCGUGGGUCUAUAUCCAAAUCCAAAAAUUGACUAACUUGAUUUCUAUUAAGUUCUCAACCCUAACACGAAAAAUAGAAGAUUAAAAAUGACUAUUUUGGUUUCUAUUAAUUUGAGUAACACUUAAUAUUUAUCAUACAAUAGUCACUUAUAUUAUCAAAAUCUUGGGUCGAAAAUAUUAGGAUAGGUGAUAAUUGGAAUUAAGUUGUAGAUAAGAUAGAAAUGGAUUUGGAGAGAGAUUGGAAUCCUGGCUAAUCCGGUGCACGUUGUUGCGUUAAAUUCUCGUUGACUUCACGUUGACCGAAGCAUUAUUGGAAGAAACAAGCAAGCUUAUUUUCUUCUCUCAUUUUUUACUUUUGUCUAAAUUUAUUGAUGUGAGGCCUCUGAGAUGGUAAAGUGUUAAAUCUGAGAAGAGUACCCACACACCCAUUAUCCUAUUACUCUUAUUUUAUCACAUGCAGAGACGUCAACGUUUGAUUCGCACGGAAAAAAAUUUGCUAGGAUUGUGAGGGUUGAUGUAAUGUAAUUUAGAUGCAAAGUGUUCACAAGUGCGAUGCUUCGUAAGUGUACUUGAAUCAUUAUAAACUCACCUUAUUUUCAUAGUGAUUAUUUCAUCUGCAUGUGAAUAUAAUCAUAUGUGGAGAUUUUUUUCCUAAAUUAUGAUCUUCUCUGGUAUUGAGGUGUUAUAUUUUUUAAAGGUUAAUGUUAAGUUACAUGCAUGUAACUUACAACCCUCUCACAUGAAUAGUGAGUGGACCCACACCAUUCACUAUUCAUAUGAGAGGGUUGUAAGUUACAUCCUCUUUUAAAUUAUAAUUAUUAUUAUAAAAAAACUGCAACUAUGAAAAAAAAUUAAUAUUAUGUCCUGAAUAUAAUUGUUAAAUAAUAAUUUUGACAAAAUUAAUGAAUAUAUACAGUUUUUUUAUCAUAUAAGUGUAAAAUUAUAUCAAAUUAGCUUUUAAAUUAUACAGUGGCUACUGCUUAUCAAACACUUUAGUGUUGUAACUUUUAAGUUAUAACUGUCUAGCCUUUAACCUCAAUCUCAAACGAGGCUUAUAAAGAUCAAGGAUUUCCUCAUAAAAAUUAUACGUCUUGUGAUUGCUUAUUUAAUUUAUAUUUUCGUUAUUUAUCUUUAUUAAUUAUAGUCAUCUUUUUAUAAAUUACAAUUGGAGAAAGUUGGUUGAUGUUGUUGACACACACACACACAUACAAAGAUAUAUUGGAAGUGCUUAUUAUGUCGACUCGAAGUUGUGGGGAGUUAAUGCAUGUAUUGAUUUAUUGGGAGUGUUUAAAUUAUUUUGUGAUUUACUUGAUAGAUUGAUUGAUUGAAUAUUGUUUGAUUGCUUCAUAUCAAUUCUGGAAAGUUUAUUUCUUUGUGAAAUUUCAACGAAAUAUGUUUUUUAAAAUAAUAAGGGUGUUUUAAGUAAUUUUGAAAAAUAAAUACACUAAUUAGAAUUAAUUAUUAAGUAAUUAACUCGAACUGUAGAGGAUAAGCAAACAUUUAUCCUAAUUAUAUUAUGAUAAAUCCUUUUCCAACUAGAAUUAGGAAACCAUAGAUAUACAGAUUUUUAUUUUUAUUUCCCUUUGCGAAAACGGAUUAGAGAAUUAGAAAACAAUCCUAGUGAGACUAUUGUUAGGUUUAAUAUUUUGUCGAAUUUGGAAACUUUUUGUCGAAUUAGAAAACAUGCGUGGUGAAUAUUUUGUCGCAUGCAAACUUUUUGUUUUAUGCAAAUCGUACUGAACAUUGGGACUGAUGUUUAAGAAAAAAAUUCUGUAGUUAAAGAAAAACAAAAAGGCAUGUUGAAUAGAUUACGAUAGUUUAUUCAAUUGGGAAUUUUUUUUCUUUAAUUUUUGUUGUACUUGAUUGAGAUUUCUCCUUGGUCCUUACAGUCUUAAGUUUGGAUACCGUAGGAUUAGUAAUUUCGUACUUCCUUUGCAAGCUGAGUAUAAGGAUGAAAUUCUUUUAAGAAAUUAAAAAAAAAUGAUAAAAAAGGCAUACCAGUAGGCAAUUAUAAAUAACCACAAAUAAAUAUAAACAAAAUGUUUAUGAAGUAAAUUAAACAUGCACAUAUUAUUUUCUUUUAUUUUCUGCUUGGAAACCCAUAAAUACACUAAUCCAGUACUACUAAUUUCAGAUAGAAAAAUUUGAACUCUAAGCUGCAGUUUGACUCAAAAUGAUGAUCACUGGCUUCGCACCAUUUAACCGGUAUACAUUUCUACAAACUGAACAAGGCUAUUGAUUUUUAUUAUUAUUUUAAUUUGUUUAUAAAUUACUAUUUUAAUUUUCACUUUUUAUUGGGUUGUGUAACGGAUUAGUGAAGCUGGUGGUCGUUGAUGCACUUACAAGGUACAAUUUUAUUUUAUAAUUUCAAAUUCGUAUUUUAAAAUGCAGGUACAUUAUGUAUACAUAAUUAUUGAUUUUCGUAUGAGGGUGUUUUGAAAUAUUGCUAAAAGACUAAACUUUAAUAAACUAUUUUUGAUCUUUUUUUUUCCUAAAGUUUGGGUGAUAUGCGCAUUUUAAAUUCAUGUGGAACAAAAGUUAAUGUUUGUAUAAAAAUUCUUUUAUUUUUUUGAGCAAAAUAGGCAAGCGAAAAAGUUUUGGCAAAUGAGUUGCAACUGAAUCCAAAACCAAUACAAUGCAAGCAUAGGAAAGAGGCCAGUGUUUAGGAUUUGAAUUUAGUAUUAAGCUGAAUUUUAUGGUACGCUCUUUUAGAGUACUGUGAUCGAUAAGCUCAGCCCCGGAUUUGCUUUUGCUUUUGCUUUUACUUCAAGUGAAAGAAAGAGGAAACCUUUUGUUUUUUCUUUGGUUUUCAACUAUGUUACCUAUACAGAGAGACAAGAUACCUGCCAUAAGUGAUGGUGUUAAAAAGAUUAAGCAGCGCACACAAACUUACUAUCGUCUAGACCAUCCAGUGAUGACCCUAGUCUUUUGGUUACGUUAGCUUUAGUUGAAAGAAGGGCCAAUUUAACAAAGACUAGAUUUGAUGGCUUACUAUGUUUAAUGUAAUGCUAAUUUUCAGGGAAUCUAAUGUUAUAACUUAUAAGAUGAUCUCCUAUGAUGAACAACAGUAACACAUUACUGUGAUUGAGAAAACUCAGUUACAAUAAACUCUUCAUUUACUCAUUGAGAAGAUUGAAUAGCAAACAGAGAAUAGAAUGAAGCAGAGGAAUCUCAUUGCCAAUAAAAUUGACCCUCUUUAAUGUUAUAUGGCACAGGUGUGGAGGAAGAACAAGUUACUUGCAGUUUUUAUAGUAAAAUAUACAGGUAUGACCAUGAUCAUUACAGUUAGGUUUUGAUGAUUUCGGAUGCUUUUUUUAAAAAAAAAAAAAUUGUGACAUCUUUGAUUUACGGUAGUUUUGUAGAAAAAAAAUAUAUAAAAAUUAAGAGGGAUGAGUUAAACUGACGAUUACAAUCAUUCCAGCAAUGCUGAUGAGUGAUACAUCACUUGAAAUUUACUUAUUAGUUGCUGAAAUGAUGAAAAAAAAAAACAAUAAACGAUAACAGUAAUAAUGUUCCCUUGCUGAAAUUCAAUUUUGACUUUCGACUCUUGGCUUUUAUGGAGAGUAAAAUGACUUGUAUAUUAUACUCAUACAAUCCACUCUACAUAAUGAUAUCGUUUUAAUAAGGCAAUGGCUGAUGAUCUCCAUUUAAAAACUACAUCAAUUUUUUUGCUUCAUUUAACUCUCUGGUUGUUGAAAAUAACCUUAAUUAUCAAAUAAUUGGAGAAAGAGUUAAGAACAUUUAACAAAUUUAUGUGCAAAAAAAAAAAAAAAAAGGAGAAGUUGAAGAGAAAGGGUGCUUGCAGAAGUGGGUGUCAAAGAUAAAUCGGUCCAUAAGAAUUAUUGGGGUUAUUUUUUGGCAAAAUAAGAACUUAUGCGAUAGCAUUUUUUAUGGGUGCAUAUAACCUCCCUUUAAAAAAAUAUAUAAUAAUUACUGCUUAAUAUAGUAUUAAAUACAAAAAUAUCAAUAUUUGACUACUUAAAUUUAUAUCAUUAGGUCCUUAAAAUUUAAAAUGGAAGAUAUGAAAGGAAAUAUAUAUAAAUUUCAUUGUCCUGGUAAAGGGCCCUCUUAUAAUCUUAUAAUAUUUGAACUUUGAUAGAUUUUUUGAAACAAAUGUACUUUUAUUUGUGUACAAUCAAUAUUUACUCAUUUAUUAUAUUUUAAUUUAUUAACUAUUAAUCAUGUAAGUAUACUUAAUCAGAAAAAUUAUAUCAAGAGAAAAUUCUAAUUUCACGCAAAAACAAAUACCAAAACAAAUAUCUCAAUUUCUAUACUAUUCACUUUCCUGUAGAAUCAAUUAUUUAAAAUGCAAGUUUGUGGCUACAGAAAACUCGCCAAAGAAAGAAGAUAAUAACAAUUGAGCAUUGAUAGCAAAACUAAUGCAUCCAAUUCUUCUUGACUUGAUGAGAUGGCGCCAUAACGUAGACACAAGUACCUAAAUUGACCGGCACUGAGUGAUGUGAAUACUACCAGCCAGUUCAUCUCUUCCAGUCUUGCUUAAUCACAAUCACAAACACCACGAGAUCGACAUUUGCAUUAUAUAUAUCUUCAGCAAUCGAAACACCUUGCAUUACCAAAUAAGCCCGUAACAGACAAAGCAAUCUUUCAUGGAGAGAAACCUUAGUCUCAGUAUGAUCACUGUGUCAUUAACCUACUGCCUGCUUCUUUGCUUGGUUGCUGCAGCAGCAGCAGCGGCAAGCAACAAUAUUACCACAGACCAACAAGCUCUUCUUGCCCUGAAAGAUCAUAUAAUUUAUGAUCCGACCAGCCUUUUAGCUCACAAUUGGACCUCGAAUACCUCUGUUUGUACCUGGAUUGGCAUCACUUGUGAUGCCAAUAGCCAUAGAGUCACAACCUUAGAUAUUUCUCAAUUCAAUCUACAAGGCACCAUCCCUCCUCAACUUGGAAACCUCUCUUCACUCACAACACUUAAUCUUAGUCAUAACAGGCUUUCUGGAAGCGUUCCCUCCUCCAUCUACACCAUGCAUACGCUAAAAUUUCUUGACUUCACUGAUAACCAGCUCUCUGGUUCAGUGUCUUCCUUCGUCUUCAACAUGUCUUCAAUAUUAGUAAUUCGUUUGACCAAUAACAUAUUUUCUGGUGAGCUUCCGAAAAAUAUUUGCAACUAUCUUCCUUAUUUGAAGGCCCUUUUCUUAAACAAAAACAUGUUUCAUGGCAAAAUUCCUUCUGCUUUAUCAAAGUGCAAACAACUGCAACAAUUAAAUUUGCAGUUCAAUAAUUUAUCCGGUGCAAUACCAAAAGAAAUCGGCAACUUGACUAUGCUCAAAGGGAUAUAUCUCCUCUACAACAAACUCCACGGUAUGUUCACAAUACUAUAUAAAUAUUUUAAUUUAUCACUUAUUAUCUUUCUUGAAUAAUUUAGCUAAGAUCUUGUAAGAGAGAUAUUUUGCAUCUACGUUAAUUUACCAGGUGAGAUACCCCACGAAAUCGCUAAUCUUCCAAAUCUAGAGGCUUUAGCGCUUGGAAUCAACAACCUAGUUGGUGUGUUACCAGCUCCCAUCUUCAACAUGUCAACACUGAAGGUACUUAUCCUCAUAAAUAACUCUCUCUCCGGAAGUCUUCCAUCAAGAGUAGACCUUUCACUUCCAACUGUUGAGCAACUUAACUUGGCACUUAAUAGAUUUUCUGGAACCAUUCCUAGUUCCAUCACCAAUGCUUCUAAGCUCACCUUUCUAGAGUUGGGAGCAAACACAUUUUCGGGGUUUAUUCCAAACACAAUUGGUAAUUUAAGAAACCUUAAGUGGCUCGGCUUGGCUAAUAACUCCUUGACAUCUUCAACCUCAAAAUUGAGCUUUCUUUCCUCUUUGGCAAAUUGCAAGAAAUUAAGAUUCGUAAACUUAAUAGGCAAUCCACUGGACGGCUUCCUUCCAAGUUCAAUAGGUAAUCUUUCUGUGUCUUUGGAAACACUUGGCAUCGGCAAUUGCAGUAUUAGUGGCAACAUUCCUCCAGCAAUUAGCAAUUUAAGCAACUUGUUGACCUUAGUAUUACACGGCAAUAAAUUGACUGGACCAAUCCCAACUACAUUCGGCCAACUGCAGAAACUCCAAGGCUUAGAUCUUGCAUUCAAUAAGUUGGUAGGUUCAUUCCCAGAUGAGCUUUGCCAUCUGGCAAGGCUGGAUCAAUUGAUCUUAUUUGGCAAUAAGCUUUCAGGAUCUAUACCUUCAUGCUUAAGCAACCUCACUUCUCUAAGAUCUCUCUAUUUAGGGUCUAAUAAGUUUACUUCUGUUAUUCCCUCAACCUUCUGGAGCCUAAAAGACAUCUUGUUCUUUGACUUUUCAUCAAAUUUCUUGGUUGGUCCUCUUUCUUUAGAUAUAGGAAAUUUGAAGGUGCUUCUAGGAAUAAGUUUAUCGAAAAAUAAUUUAUCCGGUGAUAUCCCAGCCACAAUUGGAGGACUGAAAGAUCUUCAAUUUAUGGACCUAGCAUAUAAUAGAUUGGAAGGCCCAAUUCCUAAAUCAUUUGGUGACUUGAUAAGUUUAGAAGUUCUGAAUUUAUCAAAUAAUAAAAUCUUUGGGUCUAUUCCAACAUCCAUGGAGAAACUUUUUUACCUCGGAGAGUUAAAUCUCUCUUUCAAUAAACUAGAAGGUGAGAUUCCUAGUGGAGGAACUUUUGCCAACUUCACAGCUAAGUCAUUUAUGGGAAAUGAGUUUUUGUGUGGUUUACAAAAUCUUCAAGUCCAACCAUGCAAAGUUAGCAAGCCGAGGACAGAACAUAAAUCAAGGAAAAAGAUACUUCUCAUUGUGAUUGUUUCGCCAUUGAGUAUUGCUCUAACAAUAGCAAUCACUCUAGCUCUCAAAUCUAAGCUGAUCGAAUGUGGAGAAAGAAGCACAGUGUUGUCAAAUGAUAGUAUCUUGUCAUCACAAGCAACACUAAGAAGAUUUUCAUACUUAGAACUUUUACAAGCAACAGAUAAUUUUGCUGAAAACAGCAUAAUUGGCAGAGGAGGUUUCGGUUCCGUUUAUGGAGCAAGACUUGAAGAUGGGAUGAAGAUUGCAAUAAAAGUGUUUCACAGGCAAUGUGCAAGCGCAUUGAAGAGUUUUGAGGCUGAAUGUGAAGUGAUAAAAAAAAUUCGCCAUCGAAACCUUAUCAAAGUUAUCAGCAGUUGCUCGAACGAUGACUUCAAAGCAUUAGUCCUAGAAUACAUGUCCAACGGGAGCUUAGGGGAUUGGCUGCAUUCGAGCAAUUACGUGCUGAAUAUUUUUCAAAGGUUGAACAUACUAAUUGACGUUGCAUCAGCUUUAGAAUACCUCCACUUCGAUCAUUCAACUCCUAUUAUUCAUUGUGACUUAAAGCCUAGUAAUGUAUUGUUGGACGAAAAUAUGGUUGCUCAUUUGAGUGAUUUUGGCAUAGCAAAGCUUUUAAGUGGAGAAGAUGAGUCUACGAUGCGAACAAAAACCCUUGCCACUAUAGGUUAUAUGGCACCAGGUUUGCUUCAAACAACUUUUUUUUUUUAAACUUCAUUUUAAAUUUUCUAAAUCAUUGAUUUUUACGAUCCUCAUAUCAAAUUGUUAUUGAUUAUUUAUCUAAUUGUGAAAUUAAUUUGAUUCAUAGAGUAUGGCAUAGGAGGAGAAGUAUCUACAAAAAGCGAUGUUUACAGCUAUGGGAUUAUGCUGAUGGAAACUUUUACCAAGAAAAAACCCACAGAUGAAAUUUUUGUUGGAGAAUUGAGCUUAAAGCAUUGGGUUAAUGACUUGCUUCCUAAUUCAUUAGUGGAAGUUGUGGACAAAACUCUGCUAAGUGGAGAGGAAAAACACUCUGCAGCAAAGGAGCAAUGUCUGUUGUCUAUCUUUAGUUUGGCUCUGGAGUGUACAAUGGAAUCACCGGAAAAGAGGAUUAAUGCAAAAGAUAUUGUUACCGGAUUACUCAAGAUAAGAGACACAUUCAGUAAAAGGAUAGGAAAUUUAAGUUAAUUUCGUUUGCUUUCAUUGAUAGUUAAUUCGAAUUCAUGUAAUAAGUGUAAGAAUCUUAUAUCUUUUCCUUUGAUAUAUUUUUUUUCUUGAGAAAACUGUUGUAGUCAUCUUGUUUCCAUGGGCAGAGUUGAUUUAGUUCUUCCAAAAAAUGCUACUGAUGACCUUUGUUUAAUACUUUCUCUUUUUUUGCAUGUGUUUAGGUAGAACAGUGGUUUGGCUGCAGGCUAAUAAGUCAAGCUACGCCAAAAGCGUAUGAUUUAAUUUAUUAAACAUAACUUCAAGUUCAAGAAGUGUUUCUCAUUGCCACCAAUGCUUUGGACACCUGUUGGAAGGUUUGUUGUCCUCAGCUUUUGUUUAGAGCAAAAGUUCGAGUCCCAUAAAGGCUCAAACAUUCCUUUCCUUCAUCCCGAGGGCGCCUUCUGUCCUCUGUUUUCUGUUUCCACACACAAAUAGCACAAAGAAUUUAGAAUGACAACUGGGACAUAUAUAAGAGUGAAAUAAUUAAAAAAAUUAUGCUUUUUUGUUUGUCGUGUUAAAAUCGUAAGUACCGAAGUACUGUGAAAGAGAUUAAUUUACAGAAACUGAAGCCAAGGGUUCAAAAAAAACUAUUGAUGUAGCUAGAAUGCAAUGUCAUAUUCAUACAGAGAUGAAGUAUAUUAUUUACGGCUGGUAAGGACUAGGAAUUGAUGUAGCUAGAAUCCAAAGAUGAUAAGGUAUGUUGUGCACUAUUGUUUUAUUCUACGGUCAAUCUUGACCCUUGGUGCUUGGCUCUCAAUCUUGUCCAUUGAUCUUCUCUGAUCUUGGAAACUUCAAGACCUUUCACUCUCAUGCCUUAUUAUUGGUGUCUUCCAUGCUGUAGCUUUCAAAUACAAGCUUUCCCGCCAACUUGCCAAUUAUUUGUCCGUUGGUGCAUUUUAUCAAACAGUUUGGAUACUUAUACCAAACGCCUCCUGUUUUAACUCCCCCCUCAAGCUCAAGCAUGUGGGAAGACAUUAAUAAGCUUGUUUCUCAAGUAUAUGUAUCUGAAAAUUAAAUUUUAUAAAUUAUAUUCGGACUCUACAUUUUCUAAUGAACAUUGGUUUGGCUUAUAAGCUUAUUAUACUCAGGUUUGGUAGGAGCCAUGUCACAAUGUUAACGCUAACCAGCAGUACUGCCAAAGCUGGCCAACUCAGCCUGCAAGUUCAUAGCAACCAUAGUUACAGUCCUAGUCCGGUACAAAAAUCGUAAAUAUCAUUUACAUUACAAUGGUGUGGGGGGGGGGGGGGGGGGGGGGGGGGGGUGGCUGGAGAGGGAAUCAACAAAGAUCUAGAACGAAGGGUAGGCUUGUAUCCGUAACCCAUGUCACAGUGUUAAUGCUAACCGUGGACCUUAUUAUAUUAGUUUCUGGACUAUUAUUACUUUUGAAUUGCCAUCUUUGAAUUUACGUUCAUUUCUGCCUCGACAAGAUGUUUGUAAAAAUAUGCUAAUUAUUAAUGUGCCGUGUACAAAUAAGCAUGUUACUGUGCAAGGAUUGUAGUCAUGAUACAGUGGUGCAAAAUGUACAUGCUACUUCUUCUUUUCCUCAGUUAGGAUCACCGUCGUCACCAUUUAAUUCUAAGUCCACCCAUGCGGCCUAUGCAAUUGAAAUCAUGUGACCAUGUAAUUUUAGGUUCUGAUCUUCCUUGUGGGGUUAAACCUCAAAACUGUGACCAUUUUGGGACUUUUAAUCAGUUCCAAUCAUUUUCUGGUUCCCAUUCGUCCACCCAAGCCUUGAUUCCCCCGAUAUAGCAUGGCAAUAUAUAUAGGAAUAUUAAGGUUGUGUACAGUUUUUUUCUUUUCUGUUUUUAAUUUGAUAUAAAUUAUCAAUCAUGAAUCUACAUAAAGUUUCAACUAGGCUACUACCACAAUAAACAUUUGGAUGAACUAUUAUUGAAACCUUAUUGAGAAGUAGGACAUGUCGCAUACCAAUGCACUGACAUAUCUUCAAAUAGUGGUAACUCCACACAACAUGGCACAAUAAAUUAAGAGUUAUAUAGAUAAAAUCUUUCACUCUUUGGUAAUCAUCAAUGUCGGCAUGACAAUGCGUCCCACAAAUAUGGCUCCUUAUCAAAAUUCAUAAAUCAAAACAAAAAUAGAGAAUCAUAUUUGUUCCAGAUUGUAGUGAUGGUUGUUGAUGCACUCACAAUUUACAAUUUUAUUUAAUAUCUUCAAAUUCGCAUUUUAAAAUGCCCAAAUGUUUGUGUAUACAUAAUUAGAUAAAAUCUUUCAUUCUUUGGUAAUCAUCAAUUUCACUAUUAUUCGCUUUAUUAUGUUUGUUUCUUUCAGUAUGUUAAAAGAUUAUGUUGUGAAUUUGUUUUACAGGCCGCCCGUAAGUCUGCGCCCACUGUUGUGAAUUUGUGUAUACAUAAUUAGUAAUCGAUUCUCAAGCACGGACAUUUAAAAGCACUGCCGAAAGACAAAAUUUUAAUUUACUAUUUUUUGUCUUUUAAUUUUCUUUAAGUUUUAAUGAUUCCGCAUUUUAAAAUCCUGUGGAACGUGUAUGUAAAAUUCUUUUAUCUUUUAGAGGAAAACGGGCAAGAGAAGAAUAUUUGGCAAAGGAAUUGCAACCGCAUUUGGAGCUAUAUUUAAUUUUGUCUUUUAAGUCUUUUACACUUGUUUUUGUUAUUGAUGUUAGCUUGGAUGUGUGUGCGUGUGCGACUGAAUUCAACUUACAUGCUAUUGAUGCAGCCACCAAAAAGGGGUGGUCCAUCAUCAAUCAACAAGGUUUAUUAUUAUUAAUUUCCAUAUUGAUUUUCUUAAUUAUAAAUAAUACUAAUGUUAUUUCAUAGUUAUAAAUAUAUUAGAAUUAAUCGAAAUCAUUUUUUAGUGCGGCAUGGCUAAAACUACCCUCUUCUUUUUUUUUAUAAGUAAUUACUACUUUCACAUUAAGAAAAAUACUCCUAUUUUUUAGGAAAAGUCAAGUACCUGUAGUUGUGAAGACUCGAGCUCACUCCCUUAUGAUAAAUCUUCAUAUUAAUUACGUAAAUAUCCUCUAAAAUUUUAAAUUAGCUAUUCAAAAUUUGAUGUUAUACGGGUAUUUCAUUUAUUUGAGUAGGGGUUAGGGGUCAAUUGGAUACAAAUUCAAAAUUAUCCUUACUUGAGAUGGUGAUAAAAAUUGGGGAUUUAAUUUGGAUGUCAUUAGCUACAAAUAUUAAACUCAUACAUUUAAUUCAAAAUUGGAGGGCUGAUAUAAGCGCAUCAUCCCACAACCUCUCCAAUGAAAAAUUAACACGUUUCUUGUGUGCAUUUGAUCAGAAUCCUGAAAAUUAAUCACAAAAUUGUCCUGGAAAAAAAAAUACUUACAUAAAUGGUUUGAAAAAUCUAGAUUUCAAGUUGUCUAUAUUAGGUUGAUAUUUUUAUAAAUAGUCAUCCUCUCAAAAAAAUUCCGUCAAAAUAUAUUUUAAUUUUAUGUUAAUUCAUAAACAUGAAAAAAUCAUUUCAGAAUUAAUUAAAACAUAAUUUAUUGUUUCUCAAAAAAGGUAGAACUUAGUGAUAAGAAAAAAGUAUCUCAAAUAUAUGUAAAAAAAAAAAAAAUCUUGGUUAGUUGGAAUGAUUGAAUUUGUUUUUUUUUUUCUUUUUUAAGAAUUAAGACAAUCGGAUUGAUUGAGUAAUAAUAAUAUAUAUUUAUUUGGCAAAUGGCAGGUAGGCUUUCGUCUCAUGCAGAUUGAUUAGAGAGAAAAUAUAACAAUUUUAAGCUCGUCAGAUUCGAAGCUGCUUUCCUGUCGUGUGGGGAUCACUUCCGUGUCUUAUUUUUCUAGAAAAAUCAGGACCAUUGGAUUUAUGCGAAUCGUACUGAACAUUGGAAUUGAUGUAUAAGAAAAAAAUUCUGUAGUUUAAGAAGAACAAAAAGGCAUGUUGAAUAGAUUACAAUAGUUUAAGGAAAAAAAUUAUUCAAUUGGGAAUUUUUUUUUUCUUUAAUUUUUGUUGUACUUGAUUGAGAUUUCUCCUUAGUCCUUAGAGUUUUAAGUUUGGAAACCGUAGGAUCAGUAAUUUCGUACUUCCUUUGCAAGCUGAGUAUAAGGAUGAAAUUCUUUUAAGAAAUUAAAAAAGAUAAAAAAAAGCAUACCAAUAGGUAAUUAUAAAUAACCACAAAUAAAUAUAAACAAAAUGUUUAUGAAGUAAAUUAAACAUGCUCAUAUUAUUUUCUUUUAUUUUCUACUUGGAAAUCCAUAAAUACACUAAUCCAGUAUUACUAAUUUCAGACAGAAAAAUUUGAAUUUAACCAGUAUACACUAAUCCAGUAUUAUUUUUAUUAUUAUUUUAAUUUGUUUAUAAAUUACUAUUUUAAUUUUCACUUUUUAUUGGGUUGUUUAACGGAUUAGUGAAGCUGGUGGUCGUUGAUGCACUCACAAGGUACAAUUUUAUUUUAGAAUUUCAAAUUCGUAAUUUAAAAUGCAGGCACAUUAUGUAUACAUAAUUAUUGAUUUUCAUAUGUGGGUGUCUUGAAAUAUUGCCAAAAGAUCAAACUUUAAUAAACGAUUUUUGAUCUUUUUUUUUCCUUUGUACCUAAAGUUUGAGUGAUAUCCGCAUUUUAAAUUCAUGUGGACCAAAAGCUAAUGUAUGCACAAAAUUCUUUUAUUUUUUCCGAGAAAAAUGGGUAAGAGAAGAAGAUUUUUCUCUUGAAAAAGAAAAACUAAUACGUUGCAAGCAUAGGAAAGAGGCCAGUGUUUUGGAUUUGAAUUUAGUAUUGGGUUGAAUUUUAUGCUAAGCUCUUUUAUAAUACUUUAUAGAAUAAAAAUGUAAGGGGUAUUUGGUUAGGCAUGUACUUUGUAGAAUAAAAAUGUAAUAAUGUAAGUCAGUGCAAUGAUCUGCUGUCAUAAUAGUUGUAAAUAUUUAUGUGUAAUAUAGUAACAUGAUGCUUAAUCAGUUAAAAAAAAAUUGUAUAUCUUUUUUUAUUUUUUUUUAUUGUGAUCAAUAUAACUAGUCAAAUUUAUUUUUAAAUAUUUUUUUAAAAAUAUUUUUAUCGUGUGUUUGCUCCAUUACAGGGUUUCUUCAAUUUAAAAUAGAGAAUCAUUUGUGUUCUAGAUUAAUCGUGGGUCUAUAUCCAAAUCCAAAAAUUGACUAACUUGAUUUCUAUUAAGUUCUCAACCCUAACAAGAAAAAUAGAAGAUUAAAAAUGACUAUUUUGGUUUCUAUUAAUUUGAGUAACGCUUAAUAUUUAUCAUACAAUAGUCACUUAUAUUAUCAAAAUCUUGGGUCGAAAAUAUUAGGAUAGGUGAUAAUUGGAAUUAAGUUGUAGAUAAGAUAGCCUUUCAAAAAAAAGAAAAGAAAAAAAGUUGUAGAUAAGAUAGAAAUGGAUUUGGAGAGAGAUUGGAAUCCUGGCUAAUCCGGUGCACGUUGUUGCGUUAAAUUCUCGUUGACUUCACGUUGACCGAAGCAUUAUUGGAAGAAACAAGCAAGCUUAUUUUCUUCUCUCAUUUUUUACUUUUGUCUAAAUUUAUUGAUGUGAGGCCUCUGAGAUGGUAAAGUGUUAAAUCUGAGAAGAGUACCCACACACCCAUUAUCCUAUUACUCUUAUUUUAUCACAUGCAGAGACGUCAACGUUUGAUUCGCACAGAAAAAAAUUUGCGAGGAUUGUGAGGGUUGAUUCAAUAUAAUUUAGAUGCAAAGUGUUUACAAGUGCGAUGCUUCGUAAGUGCACCCGAAUCAUUAUAAACUCACCUUAUUUUCAUAGUGAUUAUUUCAUCUGCAUGUGAAUAUAAUCAUAUGUGGAGAUUUUUUUUUCCCUAAACUAUGAUCUUCUCUGGUAUUAAGGUGUUAUAUCUUUUAAAUUAUAAUUAUUAUUAGUAAAAAACUGCAACUAUGAAAAAGAAAUUUAAUAUUAUGUCCUGAAUAUAAUUAUUAAAUAAUAAUUUUGACAAAAUUAAUGAAUAUAUACAGAUUUUUUUAUCAUAUAAAUGUAAAAUUAUAUCAACUUAGCUUCUAAGCUAUACAACGGCUACUAUUUACUAAAUACUUUAGUGUCGUAGUUUUUAAGAUAUAUUUAUCCAACCUCAAUCCCAAACAUAACCUGUAAGGAUAAAAAAUUUCAUCCUAAAAAUUAUACGUCUUGUGACUUAUUUAAUUUAUAUUUUUGUUAUUUAUAUUUACUAAUUAUAGUCAUCUUUUAAUAAAUUACAAUUGAAGGAAGGUGGUUGAUGUUGUCGAGACACACACACAAAGAUAUAUUGGAAGUGCUUAUGUCCACUCGAAGUUGUGGGGAGUUAAUGCAUGUAUUGAUUUAUUGGGAGUGUUAAUGCAUGUAUUGAUUGAUUGAGUGAUUGAAUACUGUUUGAUUGCUUCAUAUCAAUUCUAGAAAGUUUAUUUCUUUGUGAAAUUUCAACGAAACGUGUUUUUUUAGAAUAAUAAGGGUGUUUUAAGUAAUUUUAAAAAAUGAAUGGACUAAUUAGAAUUAAUUAUUAGGUAAUUAACUCGAAUUGUAGAGGGUAAGCAAACAUUUAUCCUAAUUAUAUUAUGAUAAAUCCUUUUCCAAUUAGAAUUAGGAAACCAUAGAUAUACUGAAUUUUUUUUAUUUCCCUUCGCGAAAACGGAUUAGAGAAUUAGAAAACAAUCCUAGUGAUACUAUUGUUAGGUUUAAAACACUGCAUAGAUGGUAAAAACAUUGGAAUUGAUGUAGAUUAAUUUGUUAAUUGCUAUCGUACUGAACAUUGUUUUAUGCAAAUUAAUUUGAGAAUUAGAAAAUAUUUUGUUGCAUGCAAACUUUUUGUUUUAUGCAAAUCGUACUGAACAUUGGGACUGAUGUUUAAGAAAAAAAUUCUGUAGUUAAAGAAAAACAAAAAGGCAUGUUGAAUAGAUUACGAUAGUUUAUUCAAUUGGGAAUUUUUUUUUUUAAUUUUGUUGUACUUGAUUGAGAUUUCUCUUUAGUCCUUUCGUACUUCCUUUGUAAGCUGAGUAUAAGGAUGAAAUUCUUUUAAGAAAUUAAAAAAGAAAAAAAAGCAUGCCACUACGCAAUUAUAAAUAACCACAAAUAAAUAUAAACAAAAUGUUUAUGAAGUAAAUUAAACAUGCACAUAUUAUUUUCUUUUAUUUGCUGCUUGGAAACCCAUAAAUGCACUAAUCCAAUAUUACAAUUAAUUUCAGACAGAAAAAAUUGAACUCUAGGCUGCAGUUUGACUCAAAAUGAUGACCACUGGCUUCGCACCAUUCAACCGGUAUACAUUUCUACAAACCGAACAACGCUAUUGAUUUUUAUUAUUUUUUUAAUUUUUUUAUAAAUUACUAUUUUAAUUUUCACUUUUUAUUGGGUUGUUUAACGGAUUAGUGAAGCUGGUGGUCGUUGAUGCACUCAUAAGGUACAAUUUUAUUUUAGAAUUUCAAAUUCGUAUUUUAAAAUGCAGGCACAUUAUGUAUACAUAAUUAUUGAUUUUCAUAUGUGGGUGUUUUGAAAUAUUGCCAAAAGACCAAACUUUAAUAAACUAUUUUUGAUUUUUUUUUCCUUUUUACCUAAAGUUGGAGUGAUAUCCGCAUUUUAAAUUCAUGUGGAACAAAAGCUAAUGUAAGCACAAAAUUCUUUUAUUUUUUCCGAGAAAAAUGGGUAAGAGAAGAAGAUUUUUCUCUUGAAAAAGAAAAAAAAAUACAAUGCAAGCAUAGGAAAGAGGUCAGUGUUUUGGAUUUGAAUUUAGUAUUGAGCUGAAUUUUAUGCUAAGCUCUUUUAUAGUACUGCGAUUAAUAAGCUAGCUCAGGAUUUGCUUUUGCUUUUACUUCAAGUAAAAGAAUGAGGAAGCCUUUUGUUUUUUUGUUUGAUUUUUGACUAUAUAUGUUACCUAUAUAGAGAGUUGAGGUAGCAGCCUUAAGUGAUGGUGAUAAAAAGAUUAAGCAGCGCACACAAUCUUACUGUCGUCGAGACCAUCCAGUGAUGGCUCUUGUUUUUUUGUUACGUUAGCUUUAGUGGAAAGAAGGACCAAUUUAACAAAGACUAGAUUUGGUGGCUUACUAUGUUUAAUGUAAUGCUUAUUCUCAGCGCACACAAUCUUACUAUGUUUAAUGUAAUGGUUAUGUUGAAUGAUCUUCUAUGAUUGUGAGUAGUAUAGUAUAAUUGCAAGGGGCCUGGGCUCCUAUGAUGAAUAACAGUAACACAUUACUGUGAUUGAGAAAACUCAGUUCCAAUAAACUCUUCAUUUACUCAUUGCGGAGAUUGAAUGGCAAACAGAGAAUAGAAUGAAGCAGAAGAAUCUCAUUGUUAGGUUUUGAUGAUUUCAGAUGCUUUUUAAAAAAAAACAAUUGUGACAUCUUUGAUUUAAGGUAGUUUUGCAAAAAACAAAACAUAUAAAAAUUAAGAGGGAUGAUUUAACUGACGAUUACAAUCAUUACAGCAAUGCUGAUGAGUGAUAAAUCACUUGAAAUUUACUUGUCAGUUGCUGAAAUGAUGAAAAAAAACAAUAAACGAUAACAGUAAUAAUGUUCCCUUGCUGAAAUUCAAUUUUGACUUUCGACUCUUGGCUUUUAUGGAGAGUAAAAUGACUUGUAUAUUAUACUCAUACAAUCCACUCUACAUAAUGAUAUCGUUUUAGUAAGGCAAUGGCUGAUGAUCUCCAUUUAAAAACUACAUCAAUUUUUUUUUGCUUCAUUUAACUUUUUGGUUGUUGAAAAUAACCUUAAUUACCAAAUAAUUGGAGAAAGAGUUAAGAACAUUUAACAAAUUUAUGUGCAAAAAAAAAAGAAGGAGAAGUUGAAGAGAAAGGGUGCUUGCAGAAGUGGGUGUCAAAGAUAAAUCGGUCCAUAAGAAUUAUUGUGGUUAUUUUUUGGCAAUAUAAAAAAUUUUUAGUAAGUAAAAAUAAUUUUUUUUUCGAUUUACUAAAAAAUUAACUAAAAACUUCUGCGAUAGCAUUUUUUAUGGGUGCAGAUACCCUCCCUUUAAAAAAAAUAUAAUAAUUACUGCUUAAUAUAGUAUUAAAUACGAAAAUAUCAAUAUUUGACUACUCAAAUUUAUGUCAUUAGGUCCUUCAAAUUUAAAAUGGAAGAUAUGAAAGGAAAUAUAUAUAAAUUUCAUUGUCCUGGGAAAGGACCCUCUUAUAAUCUUAUAAUAUUUGAACUUUGAUAGAUUUUUUGAAACAAAUUUAGAUAGAUUUUUUGAAACAAAUUUACUUUUAUUUGUGUACAAUCAAUAUUUACUUAUUUAUUAUAUUUUAAUUUAUUAACUAUCAAUCAUGUUAAUAUAUUUAGUCAGAAAAAUCAUAUCAAGAGAAAAUCAUGACCCCACGCACGGAUAAAUACGUUAAUUUCUAUACUAUUCACUUUCCUGUAGAAUCAAUUAUUUAAAAUGCAAGUUUGUGGCUACAGAAAACUCGCCAAAGAAAGAAGAUAAUAACAAUUGAGCAUUGAUAGCAAAACUAAUGCAUCCAAUUCUUCUUGACUUGAUGAGAUGGCGCCAUAACGUAGAAACAAGUACCUAAAUUGACCGGCACUGAGUGGUGUGAAUACUACCAGCCAGUUCAUCUCUUCCAGUCGUGCUUAAUCACAAUCACAAACACCACGAGAUCGACAUUUGCAUUAUAUAUAUCUUCAGCAAUCGAAACACCUUGCAUUACCAAAUUAACCAGCAACAAACAAAGCAAUCUUUCAUGGAGAGAAACCUUAGUCUCAGUAUGAUCACUGUGUCAUUAACCCACUGCCUGCUUCUUUGCUUGGUUGUUGCAGCAGCAGCAGCAGCAAGCAGCAAUAUUACCACAGACCAACAAGCUCUUCUUGCCCUGAAAGAUCAUAUAAUUUAUGAUCCGACCAACCUUUUAGCCCAUAAUUGGACCUCGAACACCUCUCUUUGUACCUGGAUUGGCAUCACUUGUGAUGCCAAUAGCCAUAGAGUCACAACCUUAGAUAUUUCUCAAUUCAAUCUACAAGGCACCAUCCCUCCUCAACUUGGAAACCUCUCUUCACUCACAACGCUUAAUCUUAGUCAUAAUAAGCUUUCUGGAAGCGUUCCCCCCUCCAUCUACACCAUGCAUACGCUAAAAUUUCUAGACUCCACUGCUAACCAGCUCUCUGGUUCAGUGUCUUCCUUCGUCUUCAACAUGUCUUCAAUAUUAGACAUUCGUUUGACCAAUAACAGACUUUCUGGUGAGCUUCCGAAAAAUAUUUGCAACUAUCUUCCUCAUUUGAAAGCC